UGUGAUGUAUAUUGGUGAGGGUGCUAGUUGGAGAGCUAUGAUUGUAUUAUGAGAAGAAUAUGUAUUCAUGUUUUGGGAAAUGAAGAUGUAAUCAAAAUAUGUAAAGGUUGAAUGUGGUGUAAUAGCUAGAUUAUCUCUCUUUUAUGCACUUGUAUAUUUACUUGUAUCUUGCUCUUGCUGGUAUAGCACUUGUGGUGCUUCGUUGAAUCAUGUAUGUUAAUUGAGUUUAUUCUGGGCAACUCUUGUACAUGAUCUUGUUGUUGAGCCUUGGGCGGACAGGGGAGGUGCUGUCCGUCCGGCGUCUGUUCAACGUGCCCAGAUCUGACCAAAUUGGCGGGUCGCGGGGCGUGACAGAUAAGAUGGUAUCAGAGCAAGUUAAGAGCAAGUAAAGAGAGAGUUUAGGAUGGACCUAGGAGACCCUAGGAUGGUAAACCGUAAGGUUAUAGGUACGUGAGUGGAACGUGAACCUAUAACGGUGGCGGAAGUUGAAUCGAUUGGGUUAAGUUAGUAAAUCUCUAAGACGGAUGUUAGAAGUGGAUUCAAGGUUCAGCUUAUUCUCACCUGAGGGUGCUCAUGUUGGAUGCAUACAACAUGAAACCGAGAAAUAAGAAUAGGCACCCUUGUAUGACUUUCGCCUGAUUUGAGUCACGUUGUCUAGUAGUUGCGACGAGAUUAACGGGUUAAGGUGAUUAGCCGAGUUGUUGCGUUUCAGGAGCUAAUGUCCCCGAGACGCUACACGCGUAGAUCUAUUCCGGCACCGUCUUCUGAGAUGCCCGAGCAAGUUGGGUCUAGCGAGGUGCAGGAGUUGCGGGCGCAAGUGACUGCACUAGCCAGUGUGGUGUUGCGCCAAGAGAGCUGCAAGUAAUUGCACUAGCCAGUGUGGUGCUGUGCCAAGAGAGCCGGUUCGAGCGGCUCCAAGAGCUAUUGGAGCGGCAAGUGGCGGCAGCGGCCGCGACGGCAACUGAGGGCCGUGAUCCGCCCGCACCCUCGGCGCGCGCGCCUGAAGCGGCUAAGGGUGAGGGCAUAGCGGCGGUUCCGGUGGCGGCAUGUCCCCCGCCGGCAAGUGUUCCUCCGGCAGCUUCAGGUUCGGCGACACCCGAUACUGCGGCCGAGGAGGCGGAGAGGGAGCGCGCGUUGGCGGCUCUCAUUGUCACGCCCCCGCCUCGAAACCCCUACCAAUUUGGCACGGUUCGGGUGCGGCGAACGGACGCCGAAUGGAUAGCACCUCCCCUGUCCGCCCAAGGCUCAACAAUAGAUCGAGUACAAGAAUUUAUCCAGAAUUUUAAAUUUUAUAAGUCCACAAUCAACGGGGCACAAACAAUGCCAACAACAAAGGGCAAGAAUCCACAAGAUACACAAGUGAAAUAAAUAAAGAGAGUUUUUUUUUUUUUUUUUACUAACUAUUACAUUAAUUGCAUCACAUUCUUUUACAUUUACAUUUUUCUCAAAAUGAAUACAUACUCUCAAGUACAUAGCUCUCCAAAGUCCUCCCCUACAUGAAUCUCUCUCUCAAAUACAUAGGUGUGCUAAUGCACAAGGAAAGCUACUACUCUACCAAUAAUCCUUACUAGUCGGGCACGAUGCCCUUGCCGCGGUCCUCGCCCGGCAAACCUGUACCUUGCCCUGGAAAUAGAGAGGGGUGAGAACUAUCUUUCAUAGUUCCCAGUGGGCUCGACCGCCGACUCCGCCGAUCUCCCUACUAGGUCCAAGUGGGCACAAGUAACAACGAGAUAGAUAGAUAUAUAUAUCAAAGCUGUAAAGACAUAAUAGGAAAAUAUACUACUAUGCCCAUAAUCAUGUGAAAUGAAUGCAUGCAUCAUUUAGUAAAAGUUUACUAUCAUGCUAACAAGUUCGAUCCAUGUUCGAUAAGCAAUGUUUAAUGACAAUGUUAACUUUUCAUUUACCCAAUCUGUGGCGAAACCCUUGGGUUUGCCUACACCUCACAUAUCCAUCCCAUUGGGUAAGGAGGCUCCAUGUGCUCCCGAACCCGGGACUGUCUGCGAACAUCAAUCUAUCCUUAUCGCCCGACACUCUGGAGUACUCGACGACCAAUCCUCUCCAUGUGAGGAUAUGGAUGGCUUUACCAUCCCGAAUAACAGACCGUGAGCUUGAUCUAUCCUCUCCACGUGAGGAUACCCUACGAAAUAGGGCCAACAUUUCUCACGAAACUUACCUAUUCCGGCUUUCAUGCAUAGUUACUUAGCUCUACUAAGUUCAUUGUUCACGAGUCAUUUUCUAGGGAAUCCACCUAUCCCUAAGUUCAUGAACCUCUAGUGUCAAAUACACUACAUAAUGCCACUCGUUCUGUUCUUUAAACAUUUAGACGCCACUCUCUAUGUCACUAUAUAAUAAUCGAGUUCAUCUCUUUCCUUUAGCACUAUAGGAUCCAUGUUCCGACCCAAUCCUUACCUAUCUAUUUCACCAAGUAUUCCAUAUACACUAGGUUAACAUUUAGAAGCAUAAGGAAAAGGUAGUAUAAUGCAACAUGCAAGAGAUGAAAAUUAUGUAUUUCUAAGACAUAGAAAAGAGUUCAGUUGCUUCGGGAUGACACCCCUCCACCUUUUGAGGGUACGAAGGUUCUAGAAACGCUUCCUAACGAACGUUACGACGAUGUCUCGGCCUCCUUGGUCAAAAACGGUGCUCAAUCGGCUAUAUUUCGCCGAUAGCUUUUCACCCGCUCGACGAAUCGAAAAUCUGACUUCGCCCCCCGCGUUUAGACACCUAUCAAUUAGGUUUACAAGCCACUAAAUGAGAUCAAUCUCAUGUAUUCCCAAAAACCCCUAUUUGGGUGCCCUAGGGUUCACAUCUUGCAAUUAGCACUAUAGAACCCUAGCUUCUAGCUCUAUUCCACUAUUAAUGGUGCUAGAGGUCCAUUUGACCUCAUCUCAAAAGCCAAAAAUCCAAAAACCCUAAGUUCUACCAUUAGGGCUCAAGAGCUUACCUCUAGGUUAGCUCCAAUGGAGAGGAGAGGAAGAGGAGAAGAUGCUCCAAGCUUUCCCUAGCUUGCUCUCCUUCUUCUUCUUCUUCUUCUUCUUCUUCCUUUCUCCGUUUUCUUCUUCUCCUUCUUUUCUUCUCUUUCUUUUCUUCUAGAGAGAGAGAGGGAGAGAGAGAGGGAUGGGAGUUGGGAGGGAAAUGAGAGAGGGCGAGAGAGCCCUUUGCCCUCUAUACUCUCUAACUAAGGCAUAAUUGCAGCCAAGCCCCUCAACUUUUCAUUUCUUAAGUUGCUCUGCCUGGGCAGAUUUCGCGCGGACGGACCGGUCCUUCCCUAUCAGGGACCGGUCCCUGAGGACCUUCCAAAAUUCACGCAUAUGGGAACCGGUCCCUGCCCGAGAGACCGGUCGCUGGGAAACCGGUCCUUGCCUAAGAGACCAGUUCUCGAAAGUGGGAUUCUCAGGACUUAGCCAAAUUUUCCUCUGCUCGCUGAUUUCACCUACGGGGACCGGUCCUUCAACCCUGGGGACUGGUUGCAUCAAGCAUUCUUGCAACCACUAGCUACGGGGACCGGUCCGUCCCUGCCAGGGACUGGUCCCUGAGAGCAGAAUCUGUCAAGUUCAGAUUUUGCACCAUUUGCUCUCGUGGACUCGACUCCAAAGCACUUUUUGUGUCUUGGACAUCUCUAGCUUCUCCGAAGCCUACUCACUCGACAAUUAGUCGAUCCUGGACGAAAUAUAACUCUCGGAUUUCGAGAAUUCACUUUCUUACAUCCUCCCCUCCUUAAAAAGAGUUUUGUCCUUGAAACUGAUUCAACUUAAUUUAAACUCUGUUUCUAUACCUUAUUCCUCAAACAAGUGAGGAUGAUGCUUUCUCAUCAAAUCCUCGAGUUCCCAUGUGGCCUCGCGAUCAUCAUGAUUGCUCCACCGGAUUUUCACGUAGGAAAUCUCGUGAUUUCGCAGCUUUCGCACUUCUCGGGCGAUAACCAUCACCGGAAACUCCUCGUAGCUCAAAUCUUCUUGGAGUUCCAGUGGCUCGUAUAGCAUCGCGUGCUCGGGGUCAUGAAUGUACUUGCGAAGGUUGGAGACAUGGAACACAUUGUGUUCAUCCGCGAGCUUCGACGGCAAGGCAAGUCGAUAGGCCACCGUGCGAACUCGCUCCAAUAUCUCAUAUGGUCUAAUGUACCGGAGACUGAACUUUCCCCGCACUCCAAACCGCUUUACGCCCCGCAUUUGCGAAACUUUUAAGAAUACGUGGUCACCCACCGCAAAUUCUAUGUCUCAACGGUGCCUAUCAGCAUAGCUUUUCUGUCUUGACUGCGCCGUGAGUAAUCGCUUUCGAGCAAGGCGGACUUUCUCAUUCGCUUCUCGCAGAACAUCAGGGCCGAACUCUGCACGCUCACCCACAUCGCUCUAGUGUAUAAGAGACCGACACUUCAGCCCAUAAAGAGCCUCGAAUGGUGCCAUCUCCACACUAGCGUGGUAACUAUUUUUGUAGGCGAACUCGGCCAUCAGCAGAUGAUCACACCAACUCCCUUUAUAGUCGAUGACACACGCCCGCAGCAUAUCCUCCAGAGUUUGAAUAGUCCUUUCUGUUUGCCCAUCAGUCUGAGGAUGAAACGCUGAGCUAAAAUCGAGCCGUGUGCCAAGGGCUUCCUGCAGGCUCUUCCAGAAGUGUGAAGUGAACCGAGGGUCGCGAUCCGACACGAUCGAUUUCGGCACCCCGUGCAACCUCACUAUCUCAUCAAGGUACACCUAAGCCAACUUGUCACCUGCCCACAUGGUGUGGAUCGGCAAAAAGUGAGCCGACUUCGUCAAUCGGUCCACAAUUACCCAUAUCGCAUUGUGGCCGCCCGUUGAGCGAGGCAAGCCGACCACAAAGUCCAUCGACAUAUCCUCCCAUUUCCAAAUGGGGAUUGGUAGGCUUUGAAGCUUUUCACUUUUUAUUCCCGGCUACCAAUAGUGCAUUUUUAAUCCCUGAUACAUCUUGGUGCCGCCCGGGUGAUCAGCAUACGGAGACGGGUGUGCUUCUUGCAAGAUUAGCCUUUGGAUCUCCUCGUUGUUCGGCACACACCAUCGGUUUCGAAACCGAAGUGCACCAUCGGCGUCUACUAUGAAAUCGCCGCCACGACCAUUCUCGAUGUCGCGCCGCACCUUUUGGAGUUCCGGGUCCGCGGGUUGCAGAUCUUUGAUCCUCUCUAACAAGGUCGGUUGGACAACGAGUGCCGUCAAUUGAGCCGGAAUCUCAGGAGUAACCACCUCAAGGUUCAUUCGCUCCAUGUCCAGCCACAGGGGUGUUUGAUUUGUAACCCACAUAGCGAGGUUCUCUGCGGACUUUCUACUGAGCGCAUCCGUGGCCACAUUCGCUUUCCCCGAGUGGUAAAGGAUAUCCACAUCGUAAUCCUUUAGUAGUUCUAACCACCGCCGCUGUCGCAUGUUGAGCUCUUUCUAUGUAAACAGAUAUUUUAGGCACUUGUGGUCGGUAUAGAUCUCACAAUGGGCACCGUAUAGAUAGUGCCUCCACAAUUUCAAAGCGAAGAUCACCGCUGCAAGCUCUAAGUCAUGGAUGGGGUAGUUCUUCUCAUAACUCUUCAGCUAACGGGACGCAUAAGCGAUUACCUUCCCGUUUUGCAUCAGUACACACCCCAACCCCAGAUAGGAUGCGUCGCUGUAGACCACAAAGUCUUCACCCUGCACCGGUAGAGCGAGUACCGGAGUCAAAGUUAGCCUUUCCUUCAACUCUUUGAAACUCCGGUCGCACUCCUCGCUCCAGACGAACUUGGUGCCUUUCUUAGUCAGAUAGGUAAGAGGAAUUACUAUCUUCGAAAAGCCCUCCACGAACCGUCUAUAGUAGCCCACCAAGCCCACGAAGCUUCGAACCUCCGUGACAUUCGUCGGGCGCGGCCAAUCCUUGAUUGCCUCAACUUUCCUCGGGUCUACUGAAACUCUACCCGCAAAAAUCACAUGCCCUAGAAAUGCGACCUCUCGAAGCCAGAAGUCACACUUCUUUAACAUAGCAUAUAGCUUCUCCUCCCGAAGGACUUGAAGCACAAUCCUCAAAUGCUCGGCAUGUUCCUCGUCACUACGAGAAUAGACCAAUAUGUCGUCUAUGAAGACUACGACAAAUCGGUCCAAAUACUUCCUGAAGACACGGUUCAUCAAGUCCAUAAACGCCGCUGGAGCAUUCAUGAGUCCAAAUGGCAUGACCGUGAAUUCAUAGUGCCUGUACCGCGUACGGAACGCAGUUUUCUGCACAUCUUCCGGCUUGAUCUUCAACUGGUGAUAGCCGGACUGUAAAUCUAUUUCGAGUAUACACACGACCCUUGCAACUGAUCGAACAGGUCAUCGAUUCGGGGUAGUAGGUACUUGUUCUUGAUCGUGACUCUGUUCAACUCUCGAUAAUCCAUGCAGAGUCGAAACGAUCCGUCAUUCUUCCGCACAUAUAACACCGGGGCUCCCCACGGUGAUACACUUGGCCGGAUAAAUUGCUUAUCGAGGAGGUCCUGUAACUGGCUCCUCAACUCUUUCAGUUUCACCGGCGCCAUUCGGUAUGGAGCCUUCGAGAUCGGUGUGGUACCGGGAAUCAAGUCUAUGACGAACUCGAUCUCCUGAUCCGGUGGUAUCCUCGGUAACUCCGCGGGAAACAUAUUCGGGAACUCCCGCACCACCGAUAACUCUAAUGUUGGAGCUACUCGAUCCACUUCCACAACAAUUGCCAAGAAUGCUACGCAACCGCUGUUGACCAACUUUCUUGCUCUCGUCGCCGACACCAUCGCGGCGAAGCACAAGCUUUGACAAUCCCGAUAAGUGAACUCCUUCUGUCCUGGCUCACGAAAUGUAAUCACUCUGCUCUUGUAGUCGAUCGAUGCGUGAUACUUUGAGAGCCAGUCUAUGCCCAAUAUGACAUCGAACUCUUUAAGAUUCUUGAGCUCUAGCAUCCUAAUGGGCAUUAUCCAGUCGCCUACUUGUACUGGACACGAUGAACAUUUCGUGUAGGUAUUAAAUGUCAACCGAGGGCCCUCAACUCGCCACUUGUCACUCGCCUCUAUAAGUAUGUCAUGCAUGCGUACGAAUGAUCUACUGAUAAAUGAAUGCGUGGCUCCUAUAUCAAACAUAGCCCUGGAGUGAACUCUGUUAAUUAAAACCAUACCUACCACUAGGCAAUGCUCCUCUGCCUCCGCAGGCUCUCGGCUUGGAUCUGAGCGGCAAAUACACGUCCGCUCGGGGCCGAUCGCGCCAUCUCGGGCUGGCGCGGCAUCAUCGCACGUCCUGCCGACACGGCCGUCGGUGGAACUCCUCCAUAGUGAGCCGGAAUCACCGGCGUCGAUGCAGUGGAUGGGGUAGGUGAGGCUCCUCCUCUCGGGCAAUCACGUAUGAAGUGCCCCGGUUGCCCGCACUUGUAGCACUUGCCUUGGCAUUGCUCACAACGCGACACCAGGUGGUCUGCACCACAUAUGACGCACCGUGGCGCUCCACUGCCCUUUGGCUGAGUCCGCAGAUACUUCGGGGGCUUCUUGGAACGUGCUUGCCCCCCCGAACUGCCGCCUUGAUGCUUCUUGCCUUUGUCCUUGGACUCGGCCAACAUCUCACGCUUCUCCCGAACAUGGGCGUCACCGUGCUCCGCCCAGAGUGCUCGAUCGAAGACCUCCGCGAAGGUCGUGAGCUUGAGUAUCUGCACGGCCUUGUAGAUCCCCGGCCGAAGUCCUCGCAAGAACCAAUCGGCCCGGUCCCGGUCAUCUCGUACUACGUCCGGGACACAGUCAAUGAUAUGGGAGAACUCCUGCUCAUACUCCGCUACUGAGCGGUCCCCUUGCUCCAAUUUGCAGAACUUCUCCUGGAGCUUCCGCUUCAAUGUGUCGGGAAAAUAAUUGGCGAACAUCGCCCUCUUGAAUUCCUCCCACAGUAUCGACGUGAGGUCGGGAAGUCGAUCCCAUCUGAGCGCUUCCACCAGACCUUUGCCGCUUUCUCCGAGCAGUGGGUGGCGAGAUACACCCUAUCUCUCUCCAAAGUACGCAGAUCUUCGAAGAGAGUCUCCAUCGAGUCGAUCCAAGGCUCGACCAUCGCCGGCUCCACCUUCUCCCCCUCGAAGAUGGGCGGGUUGAACUUCUUGAACUUGAUAAGAGCCGCCAACGCGCGCUCUCCUUCCACGUCUUUGGCCGUCACAUCGGGUGUCGCCGAUCCCGACACCGCCUGAGGAAUAAUUGCCGGCGGUGGACGUGCCAUCACCGGAACCGCCGCUAUGCCCUCACCCUCUGCCGCUUCGGGUGCACGAGUCGAGGGUGCGGGCGGGCCACCGCCUUCAGUCGCGGCCGCUGCCGCAACCUGCCGUUCCAAGAGCUCCUGGAGACGCUCAAAUCGGCUCUCCUAGCGCUGCACCACACCAACCAAUGCGGUCACUUGCGCCCUCAAUAGAUCCACCUCGCUUGAUCCAGCCUGCUCAGGCACCUCAGAAGACGAUGUUGGGGCGGAUCUACGUGUGUAGCGUCUUGGAGACAUUAGUCCCUGAAAAGCAAAUACUUGGUCAGUUAUCUUAACCAAUUACCUCGUCGCGACUAUGACUCAAACUAAUCCAACAGCGAAAUUGGGCGGAAGCACACAAGUGUACUCGUUCUAGACCCUUGGCAUCAUGUCGUCGGCCGCCGGCAUAACCACCUCAAGUCAAGAACUAAUACUACUUGAAUCCAUCUCUAGCAUCUACUAGAGAUAUUUCACCAACUUCAACCCAAUCGAAUCACUUCCGUCACCGGUACAGGUUCACGUUCCAUUCACGCACCUAUAGCCUUAGGGUUUACCAACCUAGGGUCUCCUAGGUCAUCCUAGACUUUCUCUUUUUACUUACUCUUAUUGCUCUGAUACCACACACUGUCAUGCCCCCACCCCGAAACCCUUAUCAAUUUGGCACGAUUCGGGUGCGGCGAACGGACGCCGAACGGACAGCACCUCCCCUGUCCGCCCAAGGCUUAACAACAGAUCGAGUACAAGAAUUUAUCCAGAAUUUUAAAUUCUAUAAGUACACAAUCAACGGGGCACAAAUAGUGCCAACAACAAAGGGCAGGUAAUCCACAAGAUACACAAGUGAAAUAAAGAGAGUUUUUUUUUUUUUACUAACCAUUACAUUAAUUGCAUCACAUUCUUUUACAUUUACAUUUUCCUCAAAAUGAGUACAUAGUUUCAAGUACAUAGCUCUCCAAAGCCCUCACCUACAUGAAUCUCUCUCUCAAAUACAUAGGUGUGCUAAUGCAAAAGAAAAGCUACUACUCUACCAAUAAUCCUCACUGGUCGGUUGCGAUGCCCUUGCCACGGUCCUCGUCUGGCAAACCUGUACCUAGCCCUGGAAAUAGAGUGGGGUGAGAACUAUCUUCCAUAGUUUCCAGUGGGCUCGGCCACCGACUCCGCCGAUCUCCCCACUACGUCCAAGUGGGCACAAGUAACAACGAGAUAGAUAGAUAUAUAUAUCAAAGCUGUAAAGACAUAAUAGGAAAACUAUGCUACUAUGCCCAUAAUAAUGUGAAAUGAAUGCAUGCAUCAUUUAGUAAAAGUUUACUAUCAUGCUAACAAAUUCGAUCCAUAUUCGAUAAGCAAUGUUCGAUGACAAUGUUAACUUUUCAUUUACCCAAUCUAUAGCGAAAUCCUUGGGUUUGCCUACGCCUCACAUAUCCAUCCCAUUGGGUAAGGAGGCUCCAUGUGCCCCCAAACCCGGGAUGUCUGCAGACAUCAAUCUGUCCUUAUCGCCCGACACUCUGGAGUACUCGACGACCAAUCCUCUCCAUGUGAGGAUAUGGAUGGCUUUACCAUCCCGAAUAACAGACCGUGAGCUUGAUCUAUCCUCUCCACGUGAGGAUACAUACCGAACUAGGGCCAACAUGUCAUGCCCCGGAACCCGGCAUAGGCCCGCCCGGUGCAUGCCCAGACCCGCCAUAUGUCUACACAUAUAAGGCGUCUACAACAACAGCGAAAAAUAAAGCCAAAGAUAGUCUACCACUAGAGUUAUCAGAGCGAGUAAAUCUAUCAUCUAUAACAAGGUGGUAGGAAAUAGACUAAACAAUAAAAGUGAAUCAUAAAGUUAUACAAUAACCAUUUCCAAAAGGGUGCACAAAGGGUGGUCUCUAUGCAUGGAUACAACUCUCAACCUCUAAAAAAAAAAAAAAGAAAAACAACGAGAGGUAGACCACCUAUCAACGCGUCCCUCGAUAGCAAGCUAACUCAAGGCGAUACCCUUUCCGCGGUCCCUAGCCUCCCCCGACGUGGAAGGUGAAAGUUUUGAGGAGCCCAAGGAUCUAUCUAGAUUGUAUCUAUCACCUAGAGGGGGGGGUGAAUAGGUGUAACGACCAAAAACCACAAAUCUCGAUGCAAUAAAAAUAAAUGCAGAAAAUAAAAAGCACACCGAGAUUUACGUGGGAAAACUCCAACUUGGAGAAAAACCCACGGGACCAACACGCGAAAAAACAAUUCACUAAGAGAAAAGAUUACAAGGUGAUUACCGACUCCACGGACUUAACCUCUCUUAACCUCCUAUGAAUCUUCGCGCUACCCUCCGGGUUGUCCACGCCCUCACGUCCGAGUCCACGAACGCCUCCACUUCGAAUCCACGAAGCUUCAAUCACGCCAAAUCCACGACGCCACUCGAAUCCACGAGUCCACGAUCCGAAUCCACGAACCGCCGUCAAAUACGCCGAAUCCACGACGCCACCAUGAAGAAUAUCAUGAAUAUGGUGAUCCUUCGCUUUGGAGUAUUGUAGAAAACCAGGGAAUAGAACUCCAAGCAAAGCGGAGAUCAAAUCGACAUAUUGAGAAUGCGAAACGAUAUCUCGAUUUGAUCUAAAAGAGGCUUUUUGUGGAAAAUAGGUUUAAGAUGAAAUCCGAGCCUCUAGGGUUUCUCAAAUAUGUAUUUUCGUGAUGCUUAAUCAAUUAGAGAAGCCCAAUAGCUUAUUUAUAGACUUUAGAAUCAAUUGGAGUCGAAUUAGAAAGUUUCUUUCCAAAAACAGCACCUUGUACCGGAACAAGGAAUGUUGUCCAGGGUACACCAGACGGAAGAUUUUUCUGCGAAGCUGCUGUACCCUGGACAGGCUGUUGCUUGUUCCGGAACAGGGCUUGUACCGGUACAGCAUGAGCUUGUACCGGAACAACCAUCAAACUUCUGCGCGAACGUUGAUGGCUGUACCCUGGACAGAAAAGCCUUGUACCGGUACAGCAAUGCAAUUUUCGCUGAAAAUGCAUUGUUUUGAAUUUUACAAACUCUUAGAAACUUUCUAAUUAAUUACAACUUGAAAACAUGAUUCUAAGAUCUAUAAUUAAGUAUGAAUCACCAUAAACAAGAUUUAAAGAUUACCUACGCAUCGUGAUUCGUGUUUUGCAUCCUUUCCAAUUCUUCGAAGUCUUGGAUUCUUCCAUCUUCAAUACUCCGAUCCGAACUUCUUCAAGACUCCGACUCGACCCACGAAACUUGCCAACACAUAGGACCUAACAGAAGGCUCUGAAAUAAAAAUAUAAAACAGAGGGCGUGAGAACUAUAAUUUAUAGUUCCCAGUGGGCAAUUACUGACCUCAGCUCAAUGCACCACUAGGCCCCAAAAGAAAAGGGUAAGUACGAUAAGAAACAAUAAUAAUAAUGAUGACCGCGGUAGGAAAGCAUGUAUGAUUACUAAGAUUACUAUACCAUAAGCAUUACGAUGUCAAUGUGUUCUACAUUUACUCUUUCAUAAUGAAGUAUGUCCAAUGCACAAAUAAUAUGUCCCAACAUGGCAAUAAGUAAAUAUCAUGAUCCGUUCUAUCAAUGUAUGAUGAUUAUGAUCUAUCAUCAUGGCAACCAAGUAUACUAUGAUGCAACAAGUAAACUGUCAAGUAUACUACAUGUCUCAACACUAUGCUAUAAGCAUGUCAAAGUAAUCCAACUACCAAGCCUAUCUUGUAGUGAUUGUCAUUUCCCCGUUCAAUGUCAUUGUUUCCAACAUGAACUAGGACCUACAUAGUGUAGUCCAGCUUGUGCCAGCUAAGUGUCGGUGGUAGCUUCAGCAUUCUCACUCUAGGAAUGAGUCUAUCCCUUCCGACCCCGUAGGUUUCUCGAUACCGCACGAGCGAGCAUAAGUCGCGUAGGCCAACUCCGAAGUGCCGGCUUGUAGGGAGCUACCCUUACAAACAUGUGUGAAAGAGCACAAAUGGCAAGCAAGCGUAGUCAAUGUCUCAAGUUCCCAAUCGUCAUGUCUCUAACAUGGUAAUAGCCACUAGCAUCCAACGAUCUAGUUCUAUGUCUUAAGGUAAAGUUCCAACUCUCACUAUGCUUAGUGCCUCUUUAUGACACUUAAGCAUUACUAUAGGUCAAGCACACCACCUACUCAAUAUUCCAUUAAUGACCUUAACACUAGGUUCAUACAUGACCCGAGCUCAAUGCUGCUUAAUGACAUUAGCCCAAUUAUUCUCAAGUAAUACAAGUCCCCAAGCCUCUUUAUGACUUACUAAGAUUCUUUAAGUCUUAAGUAGGAAUAGCUUUAAAUGCAUGAAAGUAAUGCUCAUUUUCACAAUAGGAAUUAUGAUUCCAAGUCUCAAUAGGAUGCCAAUCAUGUACAAGUUCCCAUGCUAGUUCUCUACUACAUAGAGGUCCGAAAAUUCAUCACACAUAACAUAGGCAUUUUAAACAUCCUAAAAUUCACAAUAAUUAUAUUUAUCAUGGAAAUGCAUGAAUUUCUACUUUACGAAGCAUAAAAUAUAGGAUAUGAGAAUUUCUCAUAUGCUAGGCUAGGUCAAACCCACCGAACCGUCUUAAAACCCUUCGUAAGCUCCAAUGAAGGUGUCCUCUAGCCUCCUAACACCCUAUAGAUGUAGGAACAAGGGUUAAACGAACCUUACGAUCAACCCUAAACUCAAACAUUAACCAACUCAAGCUAAGGAGGAGAGAACUCACCUCUAGAGUCAAAUCUCUUCUCAAGCUUCAAAAGAAAGCUAGAAUCCUUCCAAUCUAAUCUAGAGGAAGGUUCUAAUCCAAGAAAUUGAGCUCCAAAAGUUCUAAAUCCAAAAUGCCCAAAAUCAAGCCCUAAAAACUCAUUCUAGGAUUUCAUCUCAAAGAAACCCUCAAAUCUCGAAAUCUAGAGGAAAGAACAAGUCACUUACCUCUAAUCCAAGCUCAAAACCCUCUAGGUUCAAAGAUCUUCCCCCAAUCAAGCUCCAAGUCCAAGCUCCAAGCCUCUACCAAGGUAGAAAUGGCACCAAAGAGCAAAAGAGAAGAUCAAGCCACCAAAAACCGAAGCAAAAAUCAAAGAAGAAGGAAUAGGGAGGUGUGGAAGGGUCCCUUACCUCUCUCCCUGCUGUUCCAAGCUCAAAGAAUAGCCCUAGGGGCGUGGGUGGUAAUAUAGAGAUGCCACCUUGCAAAAACACCCCUGCAGUUUCGACCAUUCAGAAACUGUCACUGCGUACCGGUACACAGGCCCGCAUACCGGUACACAUCCCACGAAAAUGCCAAACCCGAGCCUCGGGUUGGGUGGGAAGCUGCCUGUGUACCGGUACACGAGCCCGUACCGGUACAACCAUCAACCCUGUACCGGUACAGCCAUCAACCAUGUACCAGUACACAGCUUGCUGAAAGCUACCCGAGAGUUGACCAAAAAUCCGACUUUUCGAGUUUUGGUGCAAAGCUUCAAACCUAAAUUCUUGGGGUACGAGCCAUAGGUCGGAACACUGUUAACGACCCACCAGAAAAUCUGGAAAAACUCAGAACACAAGCAAAACACUUGAACCUCGCAAUUUGCAAAGGUCAAGUGCGUUACACAACAUUUCUCUUGGAACUCACCUAUUCCAACUUUCAUGCAUAGUUACUUAGUAGCUCUACUAAGUUCAUUGUUCACGAGUCAUUUUCUAGGAAAUCCACCUAUCCCAAAGUUCACGAACCUCUAGUGUCAAAUACACUACAUAAUGCCACUCGUUCUGUUCUUUAAACAUUUAGAUGCCACUCUCUAUGUCACUAUAUAACCAUCGAGUUCAUCUCUUUCCUUUAGCACUAUAGGAUCUAUGUUCCGACCCAAUCCUUACUCAUCUAUUUCACCAAGUAUUCCAUGUACACUAGGUUAAUAUUUAGAAGUAUAAGGAAAAGGUACUACAAUGCAACAUGCAAGAGAUGAAAAUCAUGUAUUUCUAAGAUAUAGAAAAGAGUUCGGCUCCUUCGGGAUGACACCCCCCACCUUUUGAGGGUACGAAGGUUCUAGAAACGCUUCCUAACGAACGUUACGACGAUGUCUCGGCCUCCUUGGUCCAAAACGGUGCUCAAUCGGCUAUAUUUCCCCGAUAGCUUUUUACCCGCUCGACGAAUCGAAAAUCCGACUUCGUCCCCACGUUUAGACACCUAUCAAUUAGGUUUACAAGCCACUAAAUCAGAUCAAUCUCAAGCAUUUCCAAAAACCCCUAUUUGGGUGCCCUAGGGUUCACAUCUUGCAAUUAGCACUAUAGAACCCUAGCUUCUAGCUCUAUUCCACUAUUAAUGGUGCUAGAGGUCCAUUUGACCUCAUCUCAAAAGUCAAAAACCCAAAAACUCUAAGUUCUACUAUUAGGGCUCAAGAGCUUACCUCUAGGUUAGCUCCAAUGGAGAGGAGAGGAAGAGGAGAAGAUGCUCCAAACCUUCCCUAGCUCGCUCUCCUUCUUUUUCUUCUUCUCAUUCCUUUCCCCUUCUUCUUCUUCUCCUUCUUUUCUUCUCUUUCUUUUCUUCUAGAGAGAGAGAGGGAGAGAGAGAGAGGGAUGAGAGUUGGGAGGGAAAUGAAAGAGGGAGAGAGAGCCCUUUGCCAUCUAUACUCUCUAACUAAGGCAUAAUUGCAGCCAAGCCCCUCAAAUUUUCAUUUCUUAAACUGCUCUGCCUGGGCAGAUUUCGCACGGAGGGACCAGUCCUUCUCUGCCAAGGACCGGUCCCUGAGGACCUUCCAAAAUUCAUGCGUACGGGAACCGGUCCCUGCCCGAGAGACCGGUCCCUGGGAUACCGGUCCUUGCCUAAGAGACCGGUUCCCGAAAGUGGGAUUCUCAAGACUUAGCCAAAUUUUCCUCUGCUCGCUGAUUUCACCUACGGGGACCGAUCCUUCAGCCCUGGGGACCGGUUGCAUCAAGCUUCCCCGCAACCACCAGCUACGGGGACCGGUCCUUCCCUGCUAAGGACCGGUCCCCGAGAGCAGAAUCUGCCAAGUGCAGAUUUUGCACCAUUUGCUCUCGUGGACUCGACUCCAAAGCACUUUUUGUGUCUUGGACAUCUUUAGUUUCUCCGAGGUCUACUCACUCGACAAUUAGUCGAUCUUGGACGAAGUAUAACUCUCGGAUUUCGAGAAUUCACUUUCUUACACUCAUGAUGUUCCGAAAGUUCAGUCCACCGAUGUUCAACGGGGAGAAGGUUGAGCCUUAGAUGGUUGAGUCAUGGGUGGACUCGAUGGAGACUCUUUUCGAAGAUCUCUACACGUUAGAGAAGGAUAAAGUUCCCCUCGCCACACAUUGCUUGGAACGAGCGAUGAAGGUGUGGUGGAAGCGGAUCAAGCGAGAUCGGUCUCCCGACCUUCCGCCGCUGACGUGUUGUAUAUCAACUAUUUCCCCGAUAGUGAGAAAAAGAAGCUCCAAGAGAAAUUUCGAAAGUUAAAGCAAGAAAACCGCUCAGUUGGAGAAUACGAGCAAGAGUUCUCAUAUAUUAUCGACUGCAUCCCCGACGUGGUGCGAGACGACAGGGAUCGAGCCGAUUGGUUCGAGCGAGGGCUCCGGUCGGACAUCUAUAGGGUGGUUCAUAUUCUGAAACUUACCACAUUCGCGGAGGUGCUUGAUCGACCGUUGUGGGCGGAGCAUGGUAAUGCCCACAUCCGUGAGGAGCGAGAAGCAUUCGAGAGGGACGGGGGUAAGAAGCGAGCCCAAGAUGGUUCAGGAAGUCGGUCGAGGUCGAAGAAGCCUCCGAAGUACCCGCGAGCGCAAUCCCAGAGUCGUGGGACUUGGCAGUGCGUCAUUUGCGGAGGUAACCAUGAUCCGAACCAUUGCGAGCAAAAAGAGGAAAGAUGCUUCACAUGUUGUAAGAUAUCGAAUUUAGACGAUAUUAGCUAACCUUGGCCAAAUGGGCCAAAGUGGGCGAUUAAAUGAAUUGGAUAAGUUCCAUUCGGUGUUUCGACAUUUUUGGAAGAGUAAAAAUGAGUUCCAAAGGUGUUGGAAUGGUUUUAGCGUUGUUCGGUGCGAAAAGAAACCGAAACAGCUUAAGAAACAUCAUUCUGUGAGUGCUGUACCGNCGUUUAUCGUUGUUUGAUUGUGUAUGUAUGCAAGUUGUUUUCCUGGGAACUUGUUGUACACAAUCUGUUGCUUAGCCUUGGGCGGACAGGGGAAACUCCGUCCGUUCGGCGGUCGCGCCGCCGCCCUCGAACCGGACCAAAUUGGUACCGUUUUCGGGCCGCGCGGUUGGGGCGUGACACAUGUGGUCAGGCAGGGCACAUCAGUCGCCACUGUCCUGGGAGGACCUCGCCUGUCCCGUCUAUUGCAUCGGAUCCGGCAAUUCCGGGCCAUUAUGGAGGAGCACCACCUAUUGCUGCGUCAGCUGGACGCGCGUUGGCACCUCGUCAGUCCGAGGUGGCCCGGUCGGCUCCGAGUGGCUGGGUGUUUGCCGCUCAAGUCGAGGAAUCUGCCACUGUCGAAGAUGCCAUGGCAGGUAUGGUUUAGUUGCAGCAAAUAUGUGUUUCUGCAGGGUAUUAAAUUGGUGCAUUGCAUGUAUUUUCAUGGUCAGUUGUGCUAUUUAUACAUUAGUAUAGUAAGGACCAGUGGACGGGUAGGUGAGAGUACCCGGGCAUGCUUGUGUGAGAGAGUAUAGCGCCUGCUUGAGCAGGAAAAAGAGCUAGACGGCACUAGCAAAUUGCUAGUAGUGGUUCUUAGGCGAGAAAUGACACCCGUGGUGGAGAUGAAAUGGCGAAGCGACUCUCAAGGCAAUGUGAUCAGUAGAUUGCGAGAGUUGAGCCAUGAUACUUGUAGGCACCCGAGUAAUCCGAGAAUUUCGAAUAUUGUUCCGGUAGAUUGGACGGUGAAAGUAGAAUCACUGUUGAGAGAACGGUCGAUUAGUGGCCAAGUAUGAGCACGUGGGCCUACUAGUACCUCAAGGUGAGGUAGGCGGUUGUGCUCGUGCGGCCGAUGUGCAUAGGCAAGAUUGCCUAAUGCUAGAUUUCGUGUGGAACGCUGUAGAGGCGUAGAGCGCUCGAGUGUAGAUACUCGUGGAGUGCGGAUGCGGAUUCAGCCUAGAGAGUGUGUUGGCAGUAGCACUUCAGCAUCGCUAAGUGUGAAACGGGCCAUGGGUCACUCGUGGGGCUGAUGGCUCGCACUAGGUGCUUAGGAGCUGAUAGUGGUGUAUGUGACUCGGUAGAGUAUGUCGUGUAGGACGACGACGUCGGGUGUCGCUUGGGGACGACCCGUGCCUGGACCAUUUGUGGACUGUGGAGCCUGGGCCCAUUGGGCUGGCGCAGUCAGCUGUGAGUGACAGCGGCCCGGUACCUACGGAUAGGCAGAGUUAUGGUCAGGACGGUGGUCCGAGCUUAGACCCGGGAGCGUGGGAUGCCACGUGUUGAAUUGCGAGAUCGAGAAUACACCGAGUGUGUAGUGACAAAACCUAAGGAUUUGAUAAGGUGUGGGGUCAUGGUUGAUCCUGGUUGGAGUGUGUGCGAAUUUCCAAGUGAAAAUUUUGCCUAAUUAUGAUUGGGUCCACGCUUGUGAGCGAGAGACGUGCAAGUUGCGACAAGUUUAGGCAGUAGUCCUACAUCGGGUUGGUGACCUUUGGUCCACCCAUGGAAGCCGAGACGAGCGGUUUGGCCGGUAACUCAGUUAGUGAGUUGGCAUGGAUUCACGAACAGAGUGUUCAUGUGAGCUCGUUGUAGAGCAAUUGACGUUGGUCGUGGCAACUGAAAGAGAAAAUAAAGUGGUCUCUUGGAGACACUUGAAUACCGGAUAGCCACGCAGUUUGAGGGUGAUGCUCUUUUGAGGAUUGAGAUGGAAGAUGUGCCGGAGUGUGCCAUCUCGUAGUAGAGCAAAGAUCCGAUUGUGAUAGCAGCACUUGCGAUUGAUCGAUGCACCAACAAUAUUGCUUUUAGGCAAUACUGGUGAUCGGAUCGGAGUGUAUUCCAUAGAUUGUGUAGCGAGUGGUGUUGGAGCAUGAAGAGUCAUUGAGUGUCGACUUACGCUGCCACCGAGACUUGCGGAGUUGUAAUGCACUUUUGGUGUUGCACUUGGCAAUGUGUGUGAGUUUGAUCUCACAUCCUUCGUAGUGGGCCUUUGGAUAGUUCCGAUGAGUGAAAGGCCACUCCGGAGUAGAAAAGUGCAUUGUUACCCUUGAGUACUCGAUAACUCGAAUUAAAGAAUGAUUUAAGUUUCGAGGACGAAACUCUUAUUAAGGAGGGGAGGAUGUAAGAUACCGAACUUCUAAAAUUAUGAAGUUACGGUGGGAUGUAAUAUACCGGAUUUUUAAUAUAAAGAUAAGUAUAAAUAAAAAUAGUAUGAGAUACUAUUUUUAUUUGACUUAGAGAAGUAAAAUAGAAGUCGAAAAUGACUUGUGCUGAAAUCGGACCUGAAAUAGAAGAUUUAGAAUUUUCUAUUUGAAACGGGGCUGAUAUUUUAGCAGAAAAUGCACAGUGUCAGAAAAUUAUGAAAACUUGAGAAUAUGUCGGGAUUAUUUUUAUGAGGCUAGAUUUAAAGUUUCAUGUCAAUCUGACACCCGGAAGGUGAAAAAUAAAAUUCGACUGCUAUCUGGUAGAGAUUACAGUUCGGUAGAGCUUUCGGUGACCAAACGAGGUCGAAACUGAAAGAUUAAAAUUUCUUUGUACUUAUUAAGUAAAACUGAGCCUGACUGUAAAAUUUGAGCGCAAACGGACAUUCAAAAGGGCUCCGACGAAAAACGUCAGUUUGUAGCUGCUAAACUGAAAUAGUGUAUGCUACUAUUGAGGGGUGUUCACUAUAAAUAGAAGCUACUAGUCUUCUUCUUCUUCCACAGCCGAACACUCCACAACACCACACGUUCAUGGUGGUAGUGAGAGAAACCCUCCCUUUCUCUCUCUAAAUAUCUUCUCAUCUCUCUAAAUCUCUAUCUCAAAUUCGCGGCGUUGGCAGAGAGCGAGCUUGUGAACGCGUUGGAAGCGACGGAUCGAGCUUUCGUGCGCCCGUUGGAGCGGCGUGCUUCCGUCUUGGCCUUCACAUUUUGGUAAGCUUUUAGGAUUUGGUUUAAUCCUUAUGCUUAAGUGUUCUAGUAGCCUCUAAUGUGAUGUUUGCAUAUUUCCUCCAUUUAAUUUAGGUUAUUUGGAGCAUGUGUAGAGGCUAGGUUUAGAAUAGGGUUUUUGUGAAAUGAUUGGGUUUAAUCUAAAUUGAACCUAUAUAAAUCUAAUUGCUAGGUAUUCCGACGUGUUGGCAAAGUCGGUUCGGCGAUCCGUCGAGCCUACGCGAAGAUAUUGGCAAAAAGGCCGUUUUAGCUUCAUUUCCGCCUGGAGGGCCGAGGCGACUUCCAAAAAUCGUGAAAUUGGAAUAGUAGCAUCGCGGCAUCAAGUUAUAAACCUUUAAUUUCCGGAUUAUGGAUUGGUGGCCGUUUGGUGGUCGAGCGAGAGUUUGAGCCGAACCGGGCGGCGUGUACCGCAGGGAGCCGAUUGCAAGUGACUACGAGCAAUCGGAACGCGAUAAAAGGUGGGGGGUGUCCAUCCCAAAGCAACCGGGCUUCCUUUUAUGUCUAAGUUCUAUUUUGAUCAUAUUCAUAUAUUGAUAUUGUGCAUUAUAAGAUUAGUAGAUGAUUACAUUCCAUUUCCUUGCAUGUUUCCUAUGGUAGUGUAGCAUUGUGGGCUUGACACUUGAACUUAGGUUGCAUGAGGAUUGGGUCAUGUGACAAGAAUCCUAUAGUGACAAGAAUGAUGAUGAACUUGGACUUGUGAUGAUGAAAACAAGCGACAUUGAAUUAGUAUAGUAGAGAUACUAUAAUGUGAACGAGUGGCAUGUCGAUUUAGUGUAUUGAGACACAUACAACAUCAUGACAUAAAUGAGUGGCAUCAAAUCUAGUGUAGUGGAACACUAUGGCAUUUGAACCUAGGGAUAGUAGAUUUUUUCUGAUUGUCAUGUUGUGGACAUUAUGCAUUUGGCAUUAGUGCAGUUAAGACAUUGUGGCCCUAGUAGAUACGGUAUCCUCCAGUGUGGGGAUUGGAUCAUACUCACAUAGUCUGUGUAAUCUUGGCAUGGUCGCUCCACCCAAGUAGUGAGCUCUGGAGUAGUAGUCGCGUUGGGGCAGACAUAGUUGUCCCGCAGGCGAGUCUUGGGUGGGUGUAGUGCAGAUUCUCCCCACUAGCAAGAUUUGAGAUGUGAGUCGGGGUAGCAACCUUCGGGUUGGCCUCGGUGUAGCAACCUUCGGGUUGACCAUGAGAUUCGAUACUAUCGAGGCAUAGUUGCACGACGCACUAUGUAGUAGCUCGUUCAUUCUGAUUAUCGAGGCAUAGAUGCGCGACGCACUAUGUAGUAGCUCGUUCAUUCAUGUGAUUGUUGAGGCAUAGUAUCAUGUGUAGAUUGUAUACUAUGUAGUAGCUCAUGCAUUUCACUUGGGUAUGGUAUUUGGAUAUUUGAGGCAUAGUAGCAUGUUGCAGGAUACAUUACUAUGUAGUAGCUCAUUUCCAUUAUUGUUGAGGCAUAAUAUCUUGUGUAGUUUGCAUACUAUGUAGUAGCUCAUUUCUUUUAUUGUUGAGGCAUAGUAGCAUGUGUAGAUUGCAUACUAUGUAGUUGCUCAUACAUCGGAUCAUUGAGGCAUAGAUCAUAUACUAUAUUGUAGCUCAUAUCCUUGAUUAUUAAAGGUAAUAAUAGUCUAUUCAAUAGACAAUAGCCGAGUGCUCUUCUUCGAAUAUUGUAAUCGACCUUUUUAUUAGGGUCUUCUAAAUAUUCGAUUAUGGAUUUUCUCCAAUCCUCUUUCACCUCUAUGGGGGCAAUAAUCGGCUCUCGAACAUGAACCGAAGGUAAUAGUCUUUUUUCUAUUUUUAGAAGACUCUGUUUCGGCUCUCUAUACCCUGAAGCCAAUUAGGCUAAUUCAUUUGCUUGUUCAUUUUUCUCUCUCAUCAAAUGCUCAAAUUCAACUUCUCCGAAGCUGCAAAGCAAUUCUACUAUUUUUCUCAAAUAAUUUUGUAAAUUUUGACUUUCGCAUCGGUAUUCUCUACUGACUUGUUUGAUCACUAACUGUGAUUACCGAUGACUUUAAGUGACUUGACUUUCAAUUCUCGUAAAAUUUCAAGACCAAUUAUUAAGGCCUCAUAUUUGGCUUAAUUGUUAGAGCAGCCGAAAUCUAGCUCAAAAGCAAAUUGACAUGAAUAUCCCUCAGGAGACUGUAUAACUAUUCCAGCUCCUGCAGACUCGGCUGUUCUUGAGCCGUCAAAAUAAAGUGUUCAGGGUUGGCAGCCGAUUAAAUUUUGUUUCGGCUCUUUAAUUUCAACACAUGGAUGAUCAACCAAAAAAUCGGCUAUUGCUUGUCCUUUAACAGCUUUCGCUGGAAUAUAAUUAAGAGAAAAUUCAGUCAAAGCCAACAUCCACUUUCCAAGUCGACCCCUUAAUACAGGUUUAGCUAACAUAUACUUUACCAGGUCGGUUUUGCAUACUACCAACACCUCGGUUGGUAAAAUAUAAUACCAUAGUUUUGUACAAGCAUAGUAUAAUGCCAGGCACAAUUUUUCAAUAGUCGAGUAUCGUUUCUCAGUAUCAAAUAACCGUCGGCUUAAGUAAUAAAUGGCAUGUUCUUCAUUUUCUUCAUUUUCUUGGGCUAAUAAACACCCAAGAUUUUCCUCUGCAGCCGAAAUGUAUAAUUUUAUCGGCUGCCCUUGCUUAGGAGGCAUGAGAAUCAGAGGAUUUGAUAAAUAUUUCUUUAUACUUUCAAAUGCUCUUUGUUGUUCCUCCGUCCAAACAAAUUCUUCCUUGCUUUUUAGCCGAAGCAAUGGAGUAAAAACUCCUAUUCUACCGGCCAAAUUAUAUAUGAAUCGCCGUAAAUAAUUGAUUUUCCCCAAUAAGCUUUGCAACUCUUUUUUGCUUUUCGGAGGUGGCAAUUCUGAUAUAGCCUUCGCCUUAUUCUUAUUAAUUUCUAUUCCCUUCUUAUGUAUAAAAAAUCCUAAGAAGUUUCCUGCUGAAACUCCAAAGGCACAUUUCAAGAGACUCAUCUUUAACUUGUAUUUUCUCAUCCUCUCAAAGGCGAGCUUUAGAUCAACCCAAUGUUCGACUUGUGAUUUGGAUUUUACAACUAUAUCGUCGAUGUAAACUUUCAACAUUUUGCCGAUUAAAUCAUGAAAAAUAAAAUUCAUUACUCUUUGAUAAGUAGCUCCGGCAUUUUUCAAACCGAACGGCAUAACUACCCAUUCAAAGGUUCCAAUAGACCCCGGGCAUCUAAAAGCUGUUUUAGCUACAUCAUUCUCAGCAAUAUAAAUUUGAUUAUACCCAGCAUAUCCGUCCAUAAAGGACAGGAUUUCAUUACCGGCAGUCGAAUCUACUAACAUAUCGGCUAUUGGCAUUGGAUAUUCAUCUUUGGUGUAGCUAAGUUUAAGUUUCUAAAAUCAAUGCAAACUCUAAGUUUACCGUUCUUUUUUCAUACUGGAACUAUAUUAGAUACCCAAUCAACAUAACGGGCCGCUCUAACAAAACCGGCCUUUAAAAGAUUUUCAAUUUCAUUCUUAAUUUGGAGUACAAUACUCGGCUCAAACUUACUAGCCGGCUGUUUAUAAGGCUUGAAUCCCUUUUUAAUGGGUAGACUAUGCUCUACAAUUUCUCGACUCAACCCUGGUAUUUCUUCAUAAGUCCAGGCGAAGCAGCCUUUGUACUCCUUCAGCAAUGCUUUCAGCUCCUCCUGUUGAUGAACCGAAAGCUUAGCACUAAUGUAUGUCGAUCGCUUGUCUUCAUCGGAUCCUAAGUUCACCUCUAUUAGCGGAUCCUGUGUUUCCAAUUUUUUUUCACCGACUUUAAUAGGUGACUCUUCUAGGUUUAACUUGCUGGUUAGCCUAUUUGUCUCAUCUGGUCUACCCUCGUCGGCUUCUUCUACCGACUUUGUCCUAUUUUCAGAAUCGGCUUUAACAACCGAUUUUACUACAUCAGCCAUUUCAUCCUUCUCGUUGAGCACCAUAUCAUCGGCCUGCUGGGUCGAAUUUAUCCUACAGCCGAUCUUGUCGAUCGGCUCCUCUUGCCGAAGCUCUUUUAAAGCUUCGGUUCCUUAUUUUUUAACCAGUUUGGUGGCUCUUCGGCUGCCAUCAAAGCUCCUUCAUCACUAGAAAGGAUCAACUGGAUCCCCUCUUCUGUAACUCUUACGAAGGAAAUUUGAUCUGGAUCCGCGUCGGCCCAAUUGAUGUGGCCGACCUCCUCGGUGUUGAUGUCUACUAUUUGGGGUCGUCCUUCGGCCCGAAUUUCUCUAACUUUCUCCCGAAUCCACUGGAAUAAUUUUCCGUGGAGGGUGGAAGGCACGCACUCAUUCGCGUGAAUCCAAUCCCGCCCGAGUAGUAGGUUAUACUGACUAUCUGCAUCAACCACAAAGAAUGCAGUUCUUAAAGUUUUGGAACCUACCGUGAUCUCGGUUGUGAGCACUUCUCGAGCUUGUUGACCGCUUCUAGUGAAAUCGAUCAUAAUAGUGUCAGUCGACUUCAGUUCAUCUUCAUCCUUGCCAAACUUUUUGAAAAAUGAAGUUGGCAUGACAUUGACCAUUGCUACGCCAUCCACCAUAACUCGGCCUACUGGCCGACCUUCGAUUAAGGCCCUAAUGAAUAAUGGCCUCACGAACCUCGUUUGCAUAACCGAUGGUUUCUCAAAAACCACUACAUCGGCUGGUUUAGUGUCUUCUAAUUGUAAUUGGGCUACAUUGAGCCUAUCUUUGUCAUCUACCAACACCUCGUCAUAUUCAAUAUACUCUGCUUUAAAAGAUUGCGGCAGAGUAUAUACCAUAUUGAUAUUGGGUGGUCCUUCAUCAGCCGAUUUUUCUUUGAUCCUCGGUUUCUUUUCUUCGGACUCUUUAGUCGUCUCGCUGGAAGAGUCGCUAUCCAUUCGCACCUCCCACUCCCUAGGAGGUGUUAAGUCUCCCAACCUUACAUUUCUCCAUCCAAGGGUUAAAAACUCAAAAGCACCAACCUCUUGGUGCUUUUGAGAGUAUUCUAGCUCAACUCUAUAUAUAUAUAUAUAUAUAUAUAUAUAUAUAUAUAGAGUCCGGCUGGGAUACUAUCGAUAGCACCAAGGGCUUGAUGCUAUCGAGCUUUCCACCGUUAGAUUUAACCCCUUUAUUAUUUUUACUCGUGAGAUUAUAUUAUUCAACCAAUGUCACACCCCAAUAAUCUCACAUCGGAUAUGAAUGGGGAUGUAAUUGGAUAUAUAAGUGACUUAGACACUAGUAAUAAUAACUGGGCUUAAGCAUUUUGGGCCGGUGGUUAGGCCCAACAAGUUAUUGUUGCUAGUGGGCUGGGUCGUUACAUUUGGUAUCAGAGCCAAUCACCAGCCGAAAAUGUGUGGCGAGUCUCGGCUGAGCCAGGGUCUGAAAGACAAGGUGAUAGGCUAUGCCUGAGUUUGUAUGACAUGGUGACCGGCUAUACUAGGGUCUUAAUGACAAGGCUAGCGAGACGAGUCUCACAUCGAUUGGACUGACGAGGACGUCAGGGUCUUAACGGGGGGAGUCUGUCACACCCUAAUAAUCCCACAUCGGAUAUGAAUUGGGAUGUGAUUCGGUAUAUAAGAGACUUUGUAACCUACCGAAACCUUGGUAAGCCCUAAUGGACUUUAGCCAAAUUGGCUAAAAUAUGCGAAAGAAAUAAUCGGACAAGUUCUAUUUAACAUUCCAACAGUGUUGGAAGGGUUAGAAAUGAGUUCCAAAGGAGUUAGAAAGGUUUUGACAUCGAUCGGCGUGAAAUAGAAUCGAAACGGAGCCAAAAACCAAGUCUGGGUAAAGUGUACCGGUACAACCAUCGAGUUGUAACCGGUACAGAUAUGUGUACCUGUACAAAAUGAAAGUGUACCGGUACAAAUGCCCCAAAUCCAAGGGAGCUACUCUCGGGUUUGGUCAUAUGCGAUCGUAUUACUGGUUACACGAGAAAGUGUACCGGUACACUUUGGGUUGACAGCAGGAAAUAGGUCUGCUGCAAAUAUAAGUUGUUGGGUGGUUUAUUUGCAAAUGUUGCACACUCUAUAUGCAACCAAACCUCUUCUCCUUCACAGCAAUCCUCUCCUCUCUCAUUUUCUCUCCCUCUCUCUCUCUAGAAGCUUUGCACCAAGGCAAAGGAAAAGGAGAAGAAGGCUUGGAAAUGAAUUUUUGAGGGUUUUGAAGGAUCAAGAAGCUCUCCUUCAAGGUGGUCUUCGAAGAGCUUGGGCUAAGGUGAGUUGUUUUGCAAGAAUACAUCUAGAGUUUAGAUUUCUAUCCUAUGAUCUAGAGUUUUUAUCUUCUUGCAAGCUUUAGAACCUUGUAGAGACUUGAAAACACAUGAAAACCAUGUGUUCUUCAAGCUGCUCUAAUGGUAGAUUUCUAGAGUUUACUCCAAAAGCCCUAAGAAUGGUUUAGAUGAUUCUAGAUGAGCUUCUAGAUGUUGGCCAAGCUUGUUUUUGUUUGCCUUAGAGAUCAAAAUGGUGGAAUGAGCAUGUGGCAUUGUUAGGGCACCAAAAUUAGGGCUUUUGUCAUAGAUGGGUUUAAAUGUAAAUUGACCCUAUGUAAACCUAAUUAAAGGUAUUUCCGACGCGUUGGCGAAGUUGGUUCGGCGAUUCGUCGAGCCUACGCGAAGAUAUUGAAGAAACAGACGUUUUGGUUUCGUUUCCGCCUGGAGGGCCGAGGCGACGUCCAAAAAAUCAUGAGAUUGGAUCCGAAGCAUUUUAGCAUCGAGUUAUAGACCUUUACUUUUCGGAUAGUGGAUUGGUGGCUGUUAGGGUGGUCGCGCGAGAGUUCUGGCCGAACCGGGUCACGGGUGCCGCGGAAGGCCGAUUGCAAGUGACUACGAGCAAUCGGAAAGAGAUUUGAUGUGGGUUGUGCUCACCGAAGCAACUUGGUCGCCUCUAUGUCUAAGAGUAAUGGUAUCAUGUUGAUGCAUAUAAUGGUAGCUAGUGGUAAAAUAUAUGAAUGCAUGAAGUGAAUGCUAAGUAGGCUAUCAAAUGAUGCAUGAUGAUAUAAUAUGAAUGAUGCUAGUUAAAAGCAUAAGAUAAUUGGCCUUUGCAUGUUAACAUAAAGUAGAGAACAUGCUAGUUGUAAUGCAUAAUGACAAGUUGUAAAGAAUGCUAAUUUGGAUAAGCAUGUUAUGUAAAUACUAGAUAAUUGCAUGAAGGCAUGGUUAGCAUUGUGAGGACUUUGGAAUACUCGAAUCAGACAACUAAGAUGUCAACUAGAUCGAGUGGCAUUGAACCUAGUGUUAGUAAACAUAGGUUUGACAAGAAUGACAUUGAACCUAAUAUUAGUAAACAAAGGUUGGACAAGAAUGACAUUGAAUAUAGUGUUAGUAAACAUAGGUUGGACAAGAGUGGAAAUGAACCUAGUAUUAAAAGAACAUAGGUUGAGAAUUGAGCCUAAAGUCAAGUAAACCUAGGUUGGAAAGGACAUUGGACCUAAGUGGGUCGACACUAUAGGGUUUGAGACCAACCCUUGAGCUAUGUGGAAAUGGAUUCCGAAAUCCCAAGACUUGGAACACCGAGAGUGGUGUUGGGCGUGUGCAACGAUUUCGCCGCAGGGUAGCUAAGUCAUGGAGCACGGUGGGCUAUGGUUGGCUGAGGUUCUUGUGAGAGUUCCUUCACCUUGAGUCGGACAGAGCGCGGAUUAUCCGUAGUUGAUUGACUCAAGACCAAGUCGAGUGGCAUAGUGUGACUAAGGUAAGAGUAAUCUUAGGAAAGAAUGACAAGUGAGCAUAUUAUGGCUAAGGUGAGAGUACCCUUAGUAAAGAAUAAAGAAUAGCUAAAAAUAAAGAGUAGCUAAUAAAAAAGAAUUGCAAGUAGUAAAGAAUGGCUAGCAAUAAAGAACGAAAAUGAUAGAGAGUAAAAUUAUUUAUUCUACUUGUAUAAUUGCAUGGAUUUCAUAUCGCAUAUCGGAAGGCAUAACAUGUAGUUCAAUAUCGAUUAAAUGUAUAAAUAUCUGUUGUAUAUUUGGACUAACCUGUUGCAGUGCCUCAUUAGACCUAUUGGUCGAGCUCUUCCCGAUUGAGUGUGUGAUGCACUUUUGGAGUUAUAUUUGGCAAAUAUGAGUGAAUUUGGUCUCACGUCCUCCGUAGUGGGCCUUGGAAUUGGUUCAAAGGGUGAAAAGCCAUUCCGGAGUGGAAAAGUGCAUUGAUACCCUCAAUAGCUCGGUAAGUCGAGUUGAGGUGUGGUUUGAAUUUCGCGGACGAAAUUCUUUUAAGGGGUGAAGAAUGUAACCUAACGAAACCUCGGUAAGCCCUAAUGGACUUUAGCCAAAUUGACUAAAGUAUGCGAAAGAAAUAAUCGAACAAGUUCUAUUUAACAAUCCAACAGUGUUGGAAGGCUAGAAAUGAGUUCUAAAGGAGUUAGAAGGGUUUUGCCAUCGAUCGGUGUGAAAUAGAAUCGAAACGGAGCCAAAAACCAAGUCUUGGCAAAGUAUACCGGUACAACCAUCGAGUUGUAACCGGUACAGAUAAGUGUACCGAUAUAAAUGAAAGUGUACCGGUACUGUCACGCCCCGGGACCGGUAGGGGCCUUCCCGGUAGCGUGCCCAGACCCCCAUAUGUCAACACAUAUAAGGCUCAUAUAAGUAACAGCGAAUAAACACAAGAAAUAAUACAAAUAGAAUAGUAACAACUAGUGAUAUCAGAGCGAUAAAAAUUCCAUCAACUCACCCAAAGUGAAGAAAUAAAGUUAGACAAUAAAGAAACCAUAAGUAGUACAAUAACUGUCUCUAUACAAAAGUGUGGUCUCUAGUACAUGGUAAAACCCUAAACUCUCGCAAAAUAAAAUAAGACAUCGAGAGGUAGACCACCUACCAACUCGUCCAUCAAGGAAGCUAGCUCAGUACAAACGCCCUUCCCGCGAUCCCUGGCCUCACCCUGCGUGGAAGGCUCUGAAAAAUAUCGAGAAAAAGAGGGCGUGAGAACUAUAAUUUAUAGUUCCCAGUGGGCAAUUACUGACCUCAGCUCAAUGCAUCACUAGGCCCCAAAAGAAAAGGGUAAGUACAAUAACAAUAGCAAUAAUGACUGCGAUAUGAAAGCCUAAUUAAGAUGCUAAAUUACCAAACUCAAGUAUAAACGAUGUCAUGGUGAUGUACAUCUACGAUAUCGAAAUAGUAAAUCAUUAACUUUUAUGAAUACAUUAUGCAUCAGUUCUGUCAUGGCAACCAAGUAUGCUUUAAUGCAAAAGGAGACUAACAAGUAUACUAUAUGUCUCGACCCUAUGCUAAAAGCAUAUAAAUGUCAUUCAACUACUAAACCUAUCUAGUAGUGAUUAACCACUCUCAACCCCGUGUCGAUUUCCAUUUCCACUUAAGGACCUACCAAAGGUAGUCCAGCUUGUGCCGCCUAAGUGCCUGUGGUAGCCCAACAUUCCUACUCUUGGAAUGUGUCUGUCCCACUCGACUCCGUAGGCUUCUCAAUACCGCACGAGCGAACAUAGGUCGCUAGGCUAACUCCGGAGUGCCGGCUUGUAGGGAGCGACCCUCACAAGCAUGUGCGAAUGAGCACAAAUGGCAAGCAAGCAUAGUCCAAGUCUCAAGUAUCCAAUCCUCAUGUCUCUAUCAUGGUAUAGUCACUAGCAUCCCAAAGAUCUAGUUUAAGUCACAAUGGAAGUUCCAACAUUCUCUAGGUCUAGUGCCCCUUUAUGACACUUAGACAUUUAAUGUUUAAGCAUGUUCCACAUUCCUCAAUGGCCCUAUCCACUAGGUUCGCACAUGUCCCGAGCUCAAUGCCGCUUGAUGACAUUAGCUCUCUAGUUCACGCACCUUCUAAAUGGCAAUUUGUCAUCUUUCAUGUCACAAGUAAACUCAAGUCUAAAUGCAUGAAUCCGAACUCAUUUAUACUAUAGAAGCAUGAAAUCAAGUCUCAUAAAGAAUGCUAAAUGCAACCAAAAAUCUCCCAAGCAACUCUCUACUACAUAGAGGUCCAAAAUUUCACUAUAUAUAACAUAUGCAUUUUAAGCAUUCUAAAAAUCAUAAUAAAUACAUUUAGUAUGAACAUGCAUGCUUUUUCAAUUUACGGAACAUAUAUAACCACAUAUGAGAAUUUCUCAUAUGUAGGCUAGGUCAAACCCACCGAACCGUCGCGUAGAGCCUCGUUUCGCCGAAUAAAGUUGUCCACGAGUCUCAAAAUACCCUAAAAGUGAUCAGCGAAGAGAUACGAGGGCAUUACGACCAACCAUAAAAUCAAACAUUAAUCUAGAAGCAAAAAGGGCCAAAACUCACCUCAAGAGAAGAAAUCUCUUCCAAAGCUCCAAAAGAGAGCUAGAACCCUUCCAAUCCAAGCCCAAGGAAGGUUCUAAACCAAUUAAUCUAGCCUCAAAAGCCCUAGAUCAAAAAGCCCCAAAAUCAACCCUAAAUCUCAUUUCUAGGGUUCCAUCUACAAAAACUAUCAAAACAAGAUCUAGAGGAGGGAAAUGAGCAACAAACCUCCUUAGAAGCUCCAAUCCUAGCUCCAAGGGUGAAGAUCUCCUCCUAUGCAAGCUCCAAGUCCAAGCCUUCAAGCACCAACAAGGUGGGAAGAGGAAGAAAGGCAAAAGAAUGCUCCAAGCCCAAGCUAGAUCCUCCUCUUCUUCUCCUCCUUCCUCUCCUUCUCCUUCUUCUUCUUCUUCUCUAUCAAGGGUGUAGAGAGGGUUGAGAGAAGAGAAAUGGGGAGAGGAGAGAGUGGAUGGGUCAUAUAGACCCUCUAAUGUAACAAAAUCCCAAGAGGCCCCUCAAAAAAACAGUAUUACAUCAGCCCGGUCUGGGCAGUUUUCGCCCAGAGGGACCGGUCUCUCCCCAGCAGGGACCGGUCUCUCGCUGCGAACCCGAAAAACCAACGUUCGGGAACCGGUCUCUCCCUGCGCGGGACCGGUCUCUCACUGCGUAGACGCGCUCGGGGACCGGUCUCGCCCGCCAGGGACCGGUUGCCUCAGGGCUGCCGCAAUACUGCUCACUGGGGGACCGGUCUCUCCUUCCAGGGACCGGUCCCCGAGAGUAAAAACUCUCAGGACUUGUCCAGAAUUCCAGUUUUCGAACUUUUUAGGUCGGAAAACAUUCUACAACCCUCCACCAAGUGUGGAAAAGCUCGAAAUACAUCCAAACACUCGAACCUAGCAAUUUGCAAAGGUCCAGUGCGUCACAGGUACAAAUGCCCCAAACCCGAGGGAGCUGCUCUCGGGUUUGGUCAUACGCGAUCGUGUUACCGAUUACACGAGAAAGUGUACCGGUACACUUUGGGCUGACAGCAGGAAAUAGAUCUGCUGCAAAUAUAAUUUGUUUGGGGGUUUAUUUGCAAAUGUUGCACACUAUAUAUGCAACCAAACCUCUUUUCCUUCACAGCAACCCUCUCCUCUCCCAUUUUCUCUCCCUUUCUCUAUCUCUAGAAGCUUUGCACCAAGGCGAAUGAGAAGGAAAAGAAGGCUUAGAGAUAGAUUUUUGAGGGUUUUGAAAGAUCAAGAAGCUCUCCUUCAAGGUGGUCUUGGAAGAGCUUGGGCUAAGGUGAGUUAUUUUGCAAGAAUACAUCUAGGGUUUACAUUUCUACCCUAAGAUCUAGAGUUUUGAUCUUCUUGCAAGCUUUAGAAUCUUGUAGAGACUUGGAAACACAUGAAAAUCAUGUGUUUUUCAAGGUGCUCUAAUGGUAGAUUUCUAGGGUUUACUCCAAAAGCCCUAAGAAUGGUUUAGAUGAUUAUAGAUGAGCUUCUAGAUGUUGACCAAGCUUAUUUUUGCUUGCCUUAGAGAUGAAAAUGGUGGAAUGAGCAUAUGGCAUUAUUAGGGCACCAAAAUUGAGGCUUUUGUCAUAGAUGGGUUUAAAUGUAAAUUAACCCUAUGUAAACCUAAUUGAAGGUAUUUCCGACGCGUUGGCGAAGUCGGUUCGGCGAUUCAUCGAGCCUACGCGAAGAUAUUGAAGAAACGGACGUUGUGGCUUCGUUUCCGCCUGGAGGGCCGAGGCGACGUCCAAAAAAUCACGAGAUCGGAUCCGGAGCAUCUUAGCAUCAAGUUAUUGACCUUUAAUUUUCGGAUCGUGGAUUGAUGGCUGUUCGGGUGGUCGCGCGAGAGUUCGGGCCGAACCGGGUCACGGGUGCCGCGGGAGGCCAAUUGCAAGUGACUACGAGCAAUCAGAAAGCAAUUUGAGGUGGGUUAUGCUCACCGAAGCGACUAGGUUGCCUCUAUGUCUAAGACUAAUGGUAUCAUAUUGAUGCAUAUAAUGGUAGCUAAUGGUAAAUUAUGUGAAUGCAUGAAGUGAAUGCUAAGUAGGCUAUCAAAGGAUGCAUGAUGAUAUAAUAUGAAUGAUGCCAGUUAAAAGCAUAAGAUAAAUUGCCUUUGAUGUUAACAUAAAGUAAAGAACAUGCUAGUUGUAAUGCAUAAUGACAAAUUAUAAAGAAUGCUAGUUUGGAUAAGCAUGUUAUGUAAAUGCUAGAUAAUUGCAUGAAGGCAUGGUUAGCAUUGUGAGGACUAUGGAAUACUCAAAUUGGACAACUAAGAUGUCAACUAGAUCGAGUGGCAUUGAACCUAAUGUUAGUAAACAUAGGUUGGACAAGAAUGACAUUGAACCUAGUGUUAGUAAACAUAGAUUGGACAAGAGUGGAAAUGAACCCAGUGUUAAAAGAACAUAGGUUGAGAACUGAACCUAGAGUCAAGUAAACCUAGGUUGGAAAGGACAUUGGACCUAAGUGGGUCGACACUAUAGGGUUUAAGACCAACCCUUGAGCUAUGUGGAAAUGGAUUCGGGAAUCCCAAGACUUGGAACACCGAGAGUGGUGUUGGGCGUAUGCGACGAUUUCGCCGCGCGGGGCUAAAAACCAUUGUCGUGGCGUGUGCGACGAUUUCGCCGCCGGAUGGUUUAGCCAAUUUGUGGAUCAUACCGCCGGUUGACUUGAGCCAUUAUCAUGGCGUGUGCAACGAUUUCGCCGCCGGGUGGCUAAGUCAUGGAGUGUGGUGGGCUAUGGUUGGCUGAGGUGCUUGUGAGAGUUCCUUCACCUCGAGUUUGACAGAGCGCGGAUUAUCCGCAGUUGAUUGACUCAAGACCGAGUCGAAUGGCAUAGUGUGACUAAGGUAAGAGUAGCCUUAGGAAAGAAUGGCAAGUGAGCAUAUUAUGGCUAAGGUGCGAGUACCCUUAGUAAAGAAUAAAGAAUAGCUAAAAAUAAAGAGUGGCUAAUAAGAAAGAAUUGCAAGUAGUAAAGAAUGGCUAGCAAUAAAGAAUGAAAAUGAUAGAGAGUAAAAUCAUUUAUUUUACUUGCAUAGUUGCAUGGAUUUCAUAUCGCAUAUCGGGAGGCAUGACAUGUAGUUCAAUAUCGAUUAAAUGUAUAAAUAUCUGUUGUAUAUUUGGACUAACCUGUUGCAGUACCUCAUUAGAUCUAUUGGUUGAGGUUUUCCCAUGGGUGGCUGUACCCACUGGAAACUAUGGACAAUAGUUCUUACCCCCGUGUUGUUUUGGGGGGUACAGGUUCACACGUGAGCGGCGUGGCGGUGUAAGGAAAGGGCGUAGCUCAGUAGAUAGCGCCCUACCCCAGAGACAAGAGAUAGCAGUACCCCAAGGUGGUCUAGCUUAGGGGUUUAAAGACAAAGAACAAACUUGUAUUAAGUGAUGUAAUAACUAAUUGUAUUUUGGAAGAUGAAGGUAAAAGAGAAUUGUGAUGUAAAAUGUAUGUAAGAUGAAUGUCGUAAUAACCUAGUUGUUUUAUGUUUUUGAUACUUCCUUAUGCAAUCUUUGAUUGAAAUGUGUUUCUAAUUGGAACUUCAUACAUUGUAUUGAUUGCGACGCCUUGGACGUACAGGGGAGACUCUGUCCGCGGUACAGAAAAAAUCCUGUCCGUUCGGCGGUCUGUCGGCGUGCCCGAAUUCGACCAAAUAGGUGGGCUCGAGGCGUGACAGACUUAGACACUAGUAAUAAUAACUAGACUUAAGCAUUUUGGGCCGGUGUUUGGACCCAACAAGUUAUUGUUGCUAGUGGGCUAGGUCAUUACAACCAACCACCCACUCAACCCUAGGAGACCUACUUUAUCCUAACCGCACAUUUCUUAAUCCAAAGGCUAAAAAACUAAUAACAUCAAUAGCUUUUUGCUAUUGGUAGUAUUCCAGCUUAAUUCUCUCUCUCUCUCUCUCUCUCUCUCUCUCUCUCUCUCUCUCUCUCUAUAUAUAUAUAUAUAUAUAUAUAUAUAUAUAUAUAUAUAUAUAUAUAUAGACCUAGGCUGGAAUACUAUCAAUAGCAACAAGCUAUUGGUGCUAUUAGGUUUUCGGCCCUCAGAUGAAAAAAUGUACAAUUAUGAUGAUAUGGGCUCNUAUAUAUAUAUAUAUAUAUAUAUAUAUAUAGACCUAGGCUGGAAUACUAUCAAUAGCAACAAGCUAUUGGUGCUAUUAGGUUUUCGGCCCUCAGAUGAAAAAAUGUACAAUUAUGAUGAUAUGGGCUCUCUAGGGUUGAGUAAGUUAUUGGUUAAUAAUAUAAUCUAAUGGGUAAAAAUAGUUAAAGGGUUAAAUCUAACGGCGAAAAACUUUAUAGCACCAAAUGCUUGGCGUUAUCGAUAGUAUCCCAGCCGAACUAUAUAUAUAUAUAGAGUGGGCUGGUAUGCUUCUGGAAGCACGGAGCCCUACGUGCUUCCAAGUUGUUUUCGAUGCUCGGACUUUUGAAUCGACGAUCGGAGAGUAUUUGAAGCACCUAGAAAAUAAAUUUUGUGAUUUUUCGAUAUCAUUUGUCUAGUGAUCGAAGGGGCUCAAAAUCAAUAAUUUUAUCGGCCGUAGUGAGCCGUUUACAAGUUCAACGGUGUAGAAAUAUCCAAAUCACAUGAAAUUUUGAUAGAAAAUUCUUUAUACCGUAUAAAACAAGAUCAAUAACUUUAAUCUAAAAUUUUAAUGUCAUAUCAUCAUAUUUUGUAAGAUUUUUAUUUUCAGCCAUUGAUUUUGAGCCACUUCGAUCACUAGGCAAAUGAUAUCGAAAAAACGCAAAAAUUAUUUUCUAAAUACUUCAAAUACUCUAGAUCAAGUCUAACGGAGCCGAUCGUCGAUUCGAAAGUCCGAACAUCGAAAACAACUUGGAAGCACGGAGCGCUCCGUGCUUCCAGAAGCAUACCAGGCGCACUCUAUAUAUAUAUAUAUAUAUAUAUAUAUAUAUAGAAUUAGGCUGGAAUACUAUUAAUAGUAAAACGCUCUUUUUGCUAUCAAGUUUUUAACCCUUGGAUGAAAAAUUGUAGGGUCAGGAUGAUAUUAGUCGGUUAGAGUUGAGUGGUCCCCCUAGGGUUGAGUGGUCCCUACUGGGUUAUAGUAUUUAAUCCAAUGGUUAGAAAUAAUGAAAAGAGUUGAUCCAAAGGCUAAAAAACUGGUAGCAACAAUGAGAUUUUGCUACUAAUAGUAGCCCAGUCCAACUCUCUCUCUCUCUCUAUCUCUCUCUCUCUCUCUCUCUCUCUCUCUCUCUCUCUCUCUAUAUAUAUAUAUAUAUAUAUAUAUAUAUAUAUAUAUAAUUGAGUUAGAACACUUUUAGAAGCACCAACCCCUUGGUGCUUCUAGGUUUCUAGCACUUGGAUCUACUCCUUGAUUACUAAUAGCCCUUGGAUUAAACACUAUUCCACCUACCACCACCUACUACCACCUACCACCAUCAUCCCAACCUUACAUCUCUCCAUCCAAUGGCUAAAAACUCAAAAGCACCACCCUCUUUGUAACAUACCGGAUUUUUAAUUUAAAAGUGAAUAUAAAUAAAAAUAGUGUGAGAUACUAUUUUUAUUGGAUUUAAAGAGAUAAAAUAUAAGUCUGGAUCGUGCUGCAAUAAGAAUGAAAACAGAAGAUUUAGAAUUUUCUGUGCGAAAUGGGACUGAUAUUUUAGCAGAAAAUGCACAGUGUCAGAAAAUUAUGAAAACUGGAGAAUAUGUCAGAAUUAUGAAAACUGGAGAAUAUGUCAGAAUUAUGAAAACUGGAGAAUAUGUCAGAAUUAUUUUUAUGAUGCUAGAUUUAAAGUUUCAUGUCAUUCUGGCAUCCGGAAGGUGGAAAAUAAAAUCCGACUGCUAUUUGCUAGAGAUUACAGUUGGGUAGAGCUUUCGGUGAUCAAAUGUGAUCGAAACUGAAAGAUUAAAAUUUCUUUCGUUAAGUUAAAUAAAACCGAGUCUGACUGUCAAAUUUGAGCUGAAACGGACAUUCAGAAGGGCAGGCGAAAAAUAUUUGUACCUAAGCUGGAGAUGUAAUUUGUAAUAGUGCAUAAAUGGGAUUUAAUCCCUUUCUUUUUCUUCUCCACCAGCCGACCACCACCACCACCACCAUCACACGCGCAUGGUGCGGGAGAGAGAGAAAGCUUCCCUUCCUCUCUCUAGAUUUCUCUCUCAUCUCUCUAAAUCUCUCUCUAAAAAUUGGAGGGCUGGUGGAGAAGAAGCUUGGGAACGCGUUGGAGGUGUCGGUUCGGGUUCUCGUGCGGCCGUUUGAGCGGCAUGCUUUCGUCUCGACGUUCAAAUUUCGGUAAGUGUUUAGGACUUGGUUAAAUCCUUUAUGCUUAGUAUUCUAAUAACCCUUAGACUACUAAAUGCAUGUUUCUCCAUGAGAUUGUGGGACAUUUGGAGUAUAUGUACAUGCUAGGGCUUAGAAAUGGGCGUUUUGUCAUAGAUGGGGUUUAAUCUAAAUUGAACCUAUAUAAACCUAAUUGCUAGGUAUUCCGACGUGUUGGUGAAGUCGGUUCAGCGAUUCGUCGAGCCGGUGCGAAGAUAUUGAAGAAACGGACGUUUCGGCUUCGUUUCCGCCUGCAGGGCCGAGGCGACGUCCAAAAAUCACGAGAACGGAUCCAGAGCAUCGUGGCAUCAAGUUAUAGACCUUAAAUUUUCGGAUUGCGGAUUGGUGGCCGUUUGGUGGCCAAGUGCGAGUUCGGGCCGAACCGGGCAACAGGUGCCGCGGGAGGCCGAUUGCAAGUGACUACAAGCAAUCGGAACACGAUAACAGGUGGGUUGUGCUCACCGAAGAGAUUAGCUCGCUUCCAUGUCGAAGUGGUAUACGGUUUUAUCGUUGAUGCAUAUAUGUAUGUUUGGUAGGUUGCAAAUGAUAAUAUGGUGCAUGAUAUAAUUGCUAGAUGAAUGCAUGAAUUAUAUUAUGUUGAAAGAUGUUUGCCUACCAUUGGAAUAUGUUAGAUAAAACAUGCAUGUUGACAUAUUAUAGAUUAUGUUGGAUAAACUAUGCAUGUUGCUGUUUGCGACCACGAAUGACGCACCUCGCACGGUUAAUCUUAUUUUUGAUUUUUCACCGUGGGGUAGUAUUCAUGAUUCAGAUUAAUAUUUGAAUAUGUAUGAUUAUCAGGUAUUGUGGAUUCAUGGCUUCCAAUAAACGCAAGCGUCUAUUGUUAAUUACCCCUAUAAAGUGUUAGGGCACCUUCGAUUAAGAGACCUCUGAAAUGCUGAAAUAGACUGAAAUAUAAUAAAAGAUGGAUUUUAUAACACAAUCCGUUGUAUAGUUACAUAGCUUAACCAGGGGCAUACCCCCAGUGUACAUGAGUAUAAUAUGAUAUAAAAGAGAAAAUGAUUAGUUCAACGACAUAAUGGUUGAUUGAACUUAAUUUGGAUUACACCUAUAGUUUUAAAGGAUUAAUCCAAUUAGAUUUAACUAAAUCCUAGUUGUAUGUAUUAGGAUUUAGUUGGGUUUGAAUCGAUUAGACUCUAAUUGUAUGUGUCAGAGUCUAAUCGGAUUUGAGUCCACCAUAAGGUGCAGGAUGGCUAAAUCUACAUGUAUUAGAAUUAGCCGAUAGAUUAACUCUAAUUAUACAUAUUAGAGUCUAAUUAAUUUAAUUGAACUCUAAGCAUGUAUAUUAGAGUCAAACCAUAUUUAAGUUCACUCUAAGGUGAAGGAUGGCUAAAUACUAAAUAUAUAUAUUAGGAUUAGCCGAAAUUGAUUUAAAUUAAACUCUAAUUAUACAUAUUAGAGUCUAACUUGAUUUCUUAUGUUUGAACUCUAAGUAUAUGUAUUAGAGUCCAAUCGAUUUAAUUAUUUUUACCUUAGUCAUAUGUACUAAGAUAAAAAAAGAAAAAAAGACGAUUUGAUCAAUUCUAAGCAUAUAUUUAGAAUUUGAUCGAAUUUGAAUAUGGUUGUGAUUUGACUCUAGUUUUAUAUGCUAGAGAAUCGGGUUGAAAUAGGUUGUUUUUAAGGACUUGGUAUAGAGAAGAGGUUGGAUUAGGUUGUGCAUGAUUGAGGUUAGGUUUGGACUUUGAUUUGGUUAUUAUGGUAUAGGUUUCAUGUAUGGCUUGUCAAAUUUGGAUUGAAUUGAAAUUAAAGAUUGGGUUCAGCUUGGAUCAAUCCGGAAUAAAUAAUUGGGUUGGGUUUAUAUUUAGUCUUGGCAUGAACUUGGGCUCAUUCGGAGAUAUAAUUGGGUUGGGUUUAUAUUUAGUCUUGGACAUGAACUUAGGCCCAUUCGGAGAUAUAAUUGGGUUGGGUUUGGAUUUUUGUCUUGGACAUGAACUUAAGCCCAUUCGGAGAUAUAACUGGGUUGGGUUUGGAUUUUGUUUUGGACAUGAACUGGGCCCAUUUGGAGAUAUAAUUGGGCUGGGUUUAUAUUUGGUCUUGGACAUGAACUUGGGCCCAUUCAGAGAUAUAAUCUGGUUGGGUUAGGCUUAGAUGUGUAGGUUGGCCAUUGGAUUUAGACUUGGGCUGAGUUCAGGCCCGUAAAGCUAUAUUUGGGUUCAGGCUCAAUGUGAGUUAGAAUAGUUCAUGCUUGUUUGGGCCAGAUUUUGACCCAUAUAGUUUGAAUUUAGCUUUGGAUAUGGGUGCAGACUCAGUUUAGGCCCAUAUGGUAUAACUAGGGUUUUUGAAUUGAGUUUGUAUGGCUAAAAUUCGGGUUUAAACUAUAAAGCUUGGAUUUGAACUUUGGGUUCACAGUGUUAAAAGACGUUCGAAAAUCAUGUUUUAAAUUUAAGUUUCAAAUCCAUAGAUAAAUGUAUGUAUAUAUGCAUACAUAUAUAUAUGUAUAUAUAUAUGUGUACAUAAGUAUAUAUAUAUAUAUAUAUACAUAUAUAUGUAAGGUCUCUUGACUAUUUUAAGAGAGUUUCAAAUAAUUCAGGUUUUGAAUUAAGAAUUCAAAACCUAAUAAAUAAGUGAACAAAUAAAUGAAUAAAUAUUUUCCUUCUUCCGCCUCCCGUCUUAGAAUAACAAUAAUAAUAAUUCCUCGCUUCCCUUUUGCAAUAUUUAUCAAUAGGAGCAUUGAUUAAUGCAGUCGGCAACAACGUAGCAUUCGUGGGCGAUCAUCAAAUCACGCUGGUUAUGUACAUACGGCAAAAAGCUUGUUAUGUACAUACAUAUAUGUCUCUCUUUUUUUUUUUUUAACGACAAAAAGUUCCGAUCCUCAAUCGUCGACUUCAAAGCAGAAUCAGACUUGAAAAUUAAGCCGAAUCCGCAAAGCACCAAAAUAAUUACUUCAUCAAUACAGGUUGCGGCUACAUCGUAAUUAAUUGCCGAAUCCAUCAAGCACCAAAGCAAUUACUUUAUCAAUACAAGCUGCGGCUACAUCGUAAUUAAUUGCCGAAUCCGCAAAGAACUAAAACAAUUACUUUAUCAAUACAAGCUGCAGCCACAUAUCUAUUCAUCAUAAUUAAUGUACGUCUCCUUAAUUUGCAUGCAUGUGAGGGAGCUUGUUCACGUAAUACGCAUGUUAUUUCGCGCGGUAGAUGAGUGGAAGCCGUUCUUCUCUUCCGCUGACGGCUAAGCGCCAAACGAAAUAUCGCCGGCUUCAUAUCUUCUCCGUCAUGGUUGUCGAUGCGCCGUUAAUUCCGCUGACUGCUAAACGCCGGCGAAUGAAGCUCCACCGUUGUUGUCGAUGCGCCGUUAAUUCCGCCGACGGCUAAGCGCCGGCGAAUGAAGCUCUGCCGUUGUUGUCGAUGCACCGUUAAUUCCGCCGACGGCUAAGCGCCGGCGAAUGAAGCUCCGCCGUUGUUGUCGAUGCGCUGUUAAUUCCGCCGACGGCUAAGCGCCGGUGAAUGAAGCUCUGCCGUUGUUGUCGAUACGCCGUUAAUUCCGCCAUGGUCGUCGAUGCGCCGUUAAUUCCGUCGACGGCUAAGCGCCGGCGAAUGAAGCUCCACCGUUGUUGUCGAUACGCCGUUACUUCCGCCAUGAUCGUCGAUGCGCCGUUACUUCCGCCGUGGUCAUCGAUACGCCGUUAAUUCCGUCGACGACUAAGCGCCGGCGAAUGAAGCUCCGCCGUUGUUGUCGAUAUAGAAAUAGACGGAGGCCGUUCUUCUCUUCCGCCGAUGGCUAAGCGUCAAACGGAAGAUCAUCGGCUUCACGUCGUCUCCAUCAUGGUUGCCGAUGAAGCUCCGCCGUUGAUGUCGAUACGCCAUUACUUUCGCCGACGGCUAAGCGCCAAACGGGGGAUCGUCGGCUUCACAUCAUCUCCGCCAUGGUUGCCGAUGAAGCUCCGCCGUUGAUGUCGAUACGCCAUUACUUUCGCCGACGGCUAAGCGCCAAACGGGGGAUCGUCGGCUUCACAUCAUCUCCGCCAUGGUUGCCGAUGAAGCUCCGCCGUUGUUGUCGAUGCGCCAUAACUUUCGUCGAUGUCGUCGAUGCGCCGUUAAUUCCGCAGAUCGCUAAGCGCCGGCGAAUGAAGCUCCGCCAUUGUUGUCGAUAUAGAAAUAGACGGAGGCCGUUCUUCCCUUCCGCCGACGGCUAAGCGCCAAACGGAAGAUCGUUGGCUUCACGUCGUCUCCGUCAUGGUUGCCGAUGAAGCUCCGCCGUUGAUGUACGGAUGAAGGGAGGACGCGAGUAUUAUUAUUAUUAUUAUUAUUNNNNNNNNNNNNNNNNNNNNNNNNNNNNNNNNNNNNNNNNNNNNNNNNNNNNNNNNNNNNNNNNNNNNNNNNNNNNNNNNNNNNNNNNNNNNNNNNNNNNGCAAUAGGUCAUCACUGUGAAAGCAAAAGCACAAGAACCGAAGCCCUAGGUCAACUAGGGAUAUGAAACUCAACCGAAUCACGUCACCAAGUACAGGAUAUGAAACUCGACCAAUGCAGCUGUGACAAGUUAACUUGGAUCAUGAAACGUCACCAAUCAUGUCACAAGUAUAGGGAUGCGAUGGAGUAAGUAUAUAUCCGUCGGCAAAGGCUAAUCGACAAUGCCCACCCUCAAGGUAUACGACCUAACGGCAUCAACAAGCAAAGGUCGGGAACUCGAGCCGGAAUAGUUCACAAAUACAUGAAACUAGAAUCAUGCUAGGAUCGCUAUUCACAAUAAUUCACAGAUCGUAUGUUUUGUUAUGCUCUACUAUAUGGAUGAAACAGGUAUGCAGAAAUAGUAGAGUAGAGCAACCAACCGGAAACAUGGUUCACAUACAGAUAGAUUAUACUCGUACACAUGAUACUAAGCAUAGGAAAGCGGUCUGGGAGUUAGCGGAGCUAGGAGACACAAACAACUGGGGGUAAUAAUGUAAAUGAUAGAGGUGCAAGCUGAAAUAUUAAUAUAUGCAUGGAUAAUAACAAAGAAGAGAAGGGGCUAAGAAAACCAUCACGAGCCGUCCACCAUGUACCAAGACGUCGGAUCGAAGUAUCCACCUGCUUACAAGUCUGGAUCAGAUUCACGACGGCGCGGGGACAGAGCAACCGCGACCUACGAAGGGUCACAUAGAUCAGAAGGAAAGACCCUAAUGUGGGACACCAACUAAUAUAAAAUCCCCAGACGGACCACAGGGCAAUCGGCUUUCCCAAGACCGAUUGUCGAAUCACAUCGGGAGUCCCGAUUAUCGCGCCUUGGGUCCGUCGUGCGUCACUAAUGUCCCCGGGAAUCCCCAACUCCAACUGGGAGUCAACCGCUGCCAUCUAAUACUCUAUAUACCACAUUGGCAGCAAACACCAUCACUUCGCUACGGAACAGACAUCGUUGACUAAACGUCUCGAAACCGGGUAUCCCGAAAAGUGUCGUUUUAGGACACCGGGACAACAGUCGCUCACCGUCUGUUCUGAACCCCGGAAACGGACACGGGUGAACCUUGCCAAGGAAGGCUUAGCCGGGACAUCACAAACUGAUCCUGAGCACUGCAUCAACGACUCCUCGGAUAAAAAACCGAACUAAGAUCGCGUUCCGUUCGACGAAUCUUCGCCGCGAAACGCCCCGAAAAAGGCUUUUCGAUCUCCGCAGUGGCUUGGGGCUUGGACGCUAUCAGUCAGAGGUUGUCCUCAGGCAUUUACACGCUGCUCCACAGCGAUCGAGUCGAAGUUAUCAAGCAAGAAAGCACAUCUGAACCCUUAAAAUCUAUCAUUUUAUGCGAUUUUUCGCAGUUUUUUAUGGUCGCAUCUUGCGAUACGAGGUUCGCUGGUCAACGUCGCAACCUGCUGUGAUAGAUUUCAAGCGUGCCGGAUGACCAGUGCUCACCAUCGGAGCACAAUCGGCGAACUGCGGUUGUGCGACAAGCGACAAUGAGCGAAGGUCAGCGAGCAGCCGCGCACCGCUGCAGGAAGCAUCGCGGUUGCCCCGAGCAACCAAGGCAUGCAAGCGCUCGACGGAAGUGAGCAAGAUGUCAGCACGACCUAAGGAUCUCUGUGCUCACUUCCCGAGGAUCAAAAAGACAUUCGGUCGUUGCCGAAUAUUACCGGAAAUGAGGAAAACAUUACUGGAAUGCAUAACAUGAACACUCAUCAGUGAGGGCGGAGCCUAGGGUUGGCCGCGGCGGUUUUAUUCCGGCAGGCGUGUCCGGCCGGGGGAGGGGUGCACCAGGUGGCGGCGGCUCCUUGGGAACUCCACGUCAGGCUGGCGCAGGGCGGUCCGGAGGUGCGGCGGCGCGUACGCGAGCCGCCAACUCCCUUGCGGUUUGGUGCUUCCAACAAUUGCUGGCGGCGACGGCGGCGGCGGGACUGGUCGGGCGGUAGGGGCGACUUGCCGUGGGUCGAGGCGAGUGGCCGAGCUUGGGUCGGCGCCGGGUGCAAGCGAUGCCAGGCGAGUGAAGGCGAGCGCGUUCGGGGGGCCCCCCCUACAGCACAAAGGCGGCGCAGGGGCUCCUGCGGCCGCCGGCGCCCUCGAAGGUGGCGGGACGGUCUGUGAGUCGCGCGGCGGUUAGGUGGGGACCUCCGCGCCGUGGGACGCGGCAUGGCUCACACCGAGCCCACCCAGCUUCGGUGCGUGUGUUGUCCCUGGGGGCCGCAGGCCGGCUUACGGCGGCUCCGGCGGCGCACGCGACGGUCAGAGCAUGGAGUCGGCGGGUGCGGGUGCGGUGGGGAGUGCUGGGUCUGGGGCUCACCUCACCGAGGCCUGGCCGGCUCUAGCGAUGGUGCUUGGAACUUCCCGGCAAGGUGGAGGGAGAGAGAGGAGGUUGCGAGCUUGGGGAAGCUUUUCCGGCAGACGGCCGGCGGCUGCGGCCGCCGGGCGUGCAGACGGCGUGGGCAGGGGAGCCUCCUAGCGGCUGGUUGCCACAGGAGGGCUAGGUUAGGGUUUCCCACGUAAGCCUAGGUUCCAACACACAUAUAUCUAUGUGGCAAUAUGCCAAUUUAGCCCCUCUAAUUUAAGGGAAUAUUUCUAUCCCAGCCCUUCACAACGCGGUGAAUAUGCGCGAAUACACCUUCAAAACAAAUUCACGCAAAACGGCUACUAAAAUAUCGCACUUUUUGCGAAAUUACCCUUUUUCCAACACGGACCUCUCCUCGAUCAACCGUGCCGAUCUCCGCAGAUCCGUCCGUCAGAUUUGCCGAACGGAUUGCACCAGUGCGAUCAGCACCUCGAGACAACAAGCUACGCAUUUUGUUUCACCACGUGACCGGAAUUCCACGACAAAUCCAAAACUUUCUUUCCAAUAGAAGAAUAACAAUAAAUACAUAUAAAACAUGUAUUUUUUGGCGAUUUUCUCGAAAUUCGUUGCAUCAAACUCAAAUCCGUCAGCGCAAUAGUUCCAUGAAUAGCCUGAACCGAUCGGAAACGAGCUAUUGGAUCGCCUAUGACGGAAGUCCGAUACGCGGAGAAGCCAACUCUUACUCCGUGGCUUUCACCGAAAAAACCGGAGUUACUAUUCAUUUAGUGAGAAACUUAAUAAUCGCGUAACUCCUCCGUUUUUAGCUCAUUUUGUUCCUGAACUUGACGAGUACUUAUAUAAUUUAAUAUUACACACCCUACUCAUCAACAGAGAGUUUAGUUGCAAUCGUCAAAUUUCCAGUCCUUACAAUUGCGUAUGACCUUCAAUCUAGAUAUAUACUAUGUGCGGCCAUAAGGUCAUGUGCAUGUUGCAUUUUUUUUAUUUUCGGUGUUUUGAGAGUUGGUUGAAUUACUUGCUUAUGUUGAUGUUUUGGGAGAUGAGUGAUCUGUGACUUUAGUAUUUCAUAUUUAUUUUUGAUUGAUCACUGGUCAGGUUUAUUCUCUAUGAAUAUUUCUUGAACGAUCAUAAUCAUUGAAUUCUGCUUAGCAUAUUGAAUACACAAUUCAGCCCUCGUUGCUUUGAAAUUUGAAUGUUUGCGAAUUGUCUAUGUUUGAUAUUUAGUUUUGAGCAAUGAAUAAUCUUUUCUUCUAUUUUUGAAUAUAGCUUAUAAUAUUUUUUGACUUGGGGUUGCACUAAUUUUAGGGGGAGUCUUAUCAAUUUUAGCUAUAAAAAUUUCUUGAAUAUUCAAGAUGUGGAUAAGAGUUACAUCCCUACUGGGAGUGCUGAAAACUUACCACCAUAUGGUAGGAAAGAGCUACCACCCCGGUCGUCAGUCGGUCAGGUGCUGUGCAGCUACCACAUUGUUGAUUAAUAGUAUCUACUGUAAGACAAAAGGGAAGUAUCUUAAGAAAGAGAAAUGUUAGAAUAAUAUGCCUCAAAGAGCCUUAUACAUUUUGUAGAGCUGAUUAUAAGUGUGGAAUGCUUAAUAAAGAUGCUCAAAGAGCCACUCCUGUCGUCGAAUAAUGUGCAUAAACUCAAUUUGAUCAAUGUUAUGUUAAUUUCACGAUUAUGAGAAACUAUUUAUUUCAUUUUCUUUAACAAAUAUGAAUGGUAAAGAUACAUAUAUUCCUAGAUCUUGCCAUGUAUGUUGUGGGCAUUUAUUUUAUAUGUAUUGAAAAUUCUCAUUGAUUUUCGGUCUGUCAAAAAUUUGAAAUUUUGAAUAUCCUGAAAUUGAUUUUCAAAAAUUCAUUUAUGGAAAUUUUAUUUUUAAGUUUUUUGUGGAUGGAAAUAGGUUAUUUGUGAUGAUUGAGCAUUACGGGAUAUCUUAUUUUUUUUUAAAUUUCGGGCUUGCAUUUAAAAUAUUUUAAAAUUUUCAGCGUUCUGGGACGUCAGGCAGAGUAGACCGGCUCCCUCCGCCAGACCCGAUAAAAGGACUUAUGCGUAGUUUUUUUUUUUUCUUUCAAACUUGGUUUUCUUUUUCGUGUCCAGCGUUCUCCCCUUGCUCCUCUCUUGUCUUUUGAGUGGAUUGCUCCCGAUCUCCUUUGGCGUUGCAUGUUUUGUAGAUAAGCAUUUCGGAUUUUGUUGCUUUUAUUUUGAUAUAUUCCGAAAUUAGGUUUUAUUUCAGAUUUUUUGGUGUUUGUUCUAGAGAUCUUGAUGAAUUUUGUUUUUUAGGCUUCGAUCUUGUUUUUUAGUAAUCCGUUAUUUUCAUUUUCUCUAGUAUUUAUUAUCUUUUGGUUCAUUUUGUAGGUUUAUUCAAUGAUCAAAAAAAUUUUGAUUUUCAAUUUUUUGCUGGGAAAUUGCUUUUGGCUGAUUUUGUGCAUGAGUGGUUCUUGUUUUUCAUGAUCUUGACGCCCCUAGGAUCAUCUAGUAUAUAUAUUUUUUUUUUUUUUUUUUUUUUUUUUUUUUUUUUUUUUUUUUUUUUUUUUUUUUUUUUUUUUUUUUUUUUUUUUUUUUUUAUUUUUUUUUUUUUUUUUUUUUUUUCUUUUUUUUUUUUUUUUUUUUUUUUUUCUUUUUUUUUUUUUUUUUUUUUCUUUUUUUUUUUUUUUUUUUUUCAACUUGCCUAAACAUGUUUGAAUUUUUUUUUGCGAAAAAUUUGUUUUAUAUAUGUAAAUUUCAUAUGUUUAACAGGUGAUUUUCGAAAAUUGUACUCAGUGGUCUUGUGCUUGUUGUUCUUAUGGCUGGCGGUUGGUCGUUGGAACGCAAACGACAGCCCGCUCCAAAGUAAACGGUCAUUGCUAGUAUUCAACGGAAGAUAAGAGAGCGAAUAUGCUCCUUGGCGACGACUCUGAGGAGGAUGACGGAUUGGAAGGCCUUUGUUCCCGAGGUAUUAAGCGGCUAAAGGAUAACGGAUAUUAGGCGGAAAGCCAAGGGAAAGGAAAAGCCCGUGGAUAAAGGCAAGGAAAGGCCGACGGUCGUCCCGGUCGUCAGUAAGUGUCCGGGGGUGUUGGAAAUUCGAGAACCGGGCUCUUGAGGCCUCCACGUCACAGUCUACAGGAUGUUCAUUCUAAGAUUCAACGGCGGUCAAUGUAACUCGUCGAACACUGCAUUGGUGAGCGAGCAUGUUGGGUGCAGUAUCAUUAGUUGUGUGCCGCGGUUUUCAGGAUUUAUUUGAACAAGGGAAAUCUUAUCAGAUUUGUGAUUUCCCGGAGGGCAAACCAUUUUUGUUUGGAAUCUGAUCAGAGAUUUUUAUGAGAGCAGGUCCUAAGCUGAUCCGACGGCGGCCCGUUACGUGUUUAGAUUCCGUACGUGGUGUUGAGUUAUCCCAAUCACUCCUGAUACGAAUACGUCGGUGCUAGGGUUAUGGGAGCUAAGACUGACGGCAGUGUGAAUAUCUACAUCUGGCGUUCGAUUCACUUCGCGCAUUUGGAAUUGUGUAUGAAAUACUAUUUGAUGCCGGGUAUGCAGUCAAACGGCAUUAUGGUUAUGUCGAAGAUUUCAAAAAUGGGUACCGUUUUUUAAACUUCGUGGUUGCUACAACAUUCUGCCUCUUGCAAAGCACGAGAUUCUGAGGUGGGAUCAUAUCUCUGUAUAUGUAUCUCUUGGAAGGCCCAGAUAUGUGAGUGCCAAAAAAUAUUACAUGAAUAUUCUGUUUCUAAUCUGGCGGAGGAUGCGCAAAGGACAUCAAAACUUUCAUGGACAAAACUGAAAUGGCUUGCCAUUCCGAUUGAUAAUCAUGAGGAUUCUGCGACUUCGUGAUGUGGAUGUCCGGUGUACAUCUUAUGAGCAUAGUUUGGGUCGGAUAAAUGAAAGUGCUUCUUCCCCUCCUGCUGCUCCACCUCCUGCUACUGCUACUUCGUCAUGUCCCUCUAUGGACAUUUCUGAGGAAGAUAUCUCCGUUUCCUCUGUGUAUCGUGAGCAACAACGUCUAUCUGAGGAGCUUCAGAAAUUGUCUGCGGAGCAAGCUGCGAUUCGGAAGGAUGUAAGCAAGAUGAAGCGCUUAUUGAAUAUGAUUUUUGACAAGUUAGGAUGUUGCCGAGCAGAUUUACCUCCAGGGGAUGCUUCCGAUUAGGAGUUACCAUGUGCCUUCUUUUGUCAUUUUGGCGCUUUCUGACAAAAAGGGGGAGAUGGAGAUGGUGGUUCUUGGUGGUUCUUGAUGAUAAUGAUGUAUUUAGCUUUGAUGCAGCAUUUUGUUUAGAUGGACUUUAGAUGAACUUUGUUUAGUUAGUGCUUUAGGUGUUUGAUUAUGAACUAUGACUUGAUACUUUGUUUGAUCUUGAUACUUGAAUCUUGAUUAUGUUUUGAGAAUGUUUUUGCAGGAAUAAUUCAAGACUUCAAGACUCCAUGUCUAAGUCAUAGAGUUUGUAUUAAGAUUAUGAAAAUUAUAAUUUUCGUCUGUUGGAUCGAUCAUGCAGGAGAUUAUCGUUUGGUGAUUGCGAUGAUCUUCUUUUUAUUGUUUCUGCGUUGUGUACGAAUUUAUAGCAUAUUUUGUCACAAAAUCGCCAAAAGGGGAGAUUGUUAAGGAUUUUAUAAGUUGGCGAAUUUCGUAAAGUUGGUUGGAGUCUUGAAGAGUUGAUUGCAGAAGAUCGAAGAAAAGAUCUAAAUUGAAGGAAAAAGACUCACUCGUAAAGUUCGGCACCUAAGGUAUGAAGAAAAGAUCAUUUGUGAUGAAGAUAGUUGAUUAGAAUAAGUUCAGAAGGCUUAGAUUGGUUUAAAAAUACUUUACUGAACUUUUCUGUGUUCAGGGACCGGUCUCAGAGUUCAAGAGACCGGUUCCCCUAAGGUCCUCACUGCGUGAACCUUGAUGCAACCGGUCCCCUGUGAUGAGAGACCGGUUCCCGAACCUUGGUAUUUCUGUCACGCAGCAAGGGACCGGUCUCAAGCUUGAGAGACCGGUUCCCGAACAUUGUGAUUUUGGUCACGCAGCGAGGGACCGGUUCCUCACUUGAGAGACCGGUCUCUCACAGACCGGUCUCCUCGAGAAGACCGGUCUCUGAGGACGACACAGGUUUUUAAAAAAGAGUUUUUGCAAUCCUAGUCUAUUUCUAAGUCUUAUAAACAUAUAAAUAAGCUAUGUGGGUCAUCUAAAAGUUUAAGGCUUUGAAUUUUUACUGAUUCUAAACCCUAGAAACUUAUUUUUCUUCGUUUCAAUGCUUUGAUUCACAUAACGAGUUUCCAACAAUCAACAAUCGGCUUGAUUCUUCGUUUUUACUCGAUAACCCAUACGAGAAUCAAGUAGAUGUUUGAUUAAAGGUGAACCCUCAUAGCUUAUGGUAUUAAAAGGUUAAAUCAUCACAAAUCUUCAAUUCUACAAGCUCCGGAAGGAGGUUCGACGCGUGGAUCUCGCGUGAAGCCGAGGAUUCGGUGGACGCUUCGAGGAAUUGAGGUGUUGACGCUGCGAGGAGUUGCGGCAAGGUCGAUUGGAGGAUUCCUAUCGAUCGAGGACCGGCGAAGAUCGUCAUCUACGGGAAAUCGGUAAAUUGAGUCGUGUGUUUUGGUCAAAAUCACUUAUACUCAUGUUUUCUUAGUGGAUUUUCUUUGCGUGAUUGGUCCCGUGGGUUUUUCACUCCGAUUUGGAGUUUUCCCACGUUAAAUUCUCGGUGUGCUGUUUUCUUUUCCGCUAUUUUAUUUUAUUGCAUCGAGAUUUUUCGAGUUUGCCGGAUUUACACCUAUUCACCCCCCUCUAGGUGUUACUUACCUUUUAGAUCCUCGGGAUCCAUAUCUCACAAGNNNNNNNNNNNNNNNNNNNNNNNNNCCGGCGAAUGAAGCUCCGCCGUUGUUGUCGAUAUAGAAAUAGACGGAGGCCGUUCUUCUCUUCCGCCGAUGGCUAAGCGUCAAACGGAAGAUCAUCGGCUUCACGUCGUCUCCAUCAUGGUUGCCGAUGAAGCUCCGCCGUUGAUGUCGAUACGCCAUUACUUUCGCCGACGGCUAAGCGCCAAACGGGGGAUCGUCGGCUUCACAUCAUCUCCGCCAUGGUUGCCGAUGAAGCUCCGCCGUUGAUGUACGGAUGAAGGGAGGACGCGAGUAUUAUUAUUAUUAUUAUUAUUUUUUGUGGGGAGGAGAAGAAAGAAAAUAUAUUUCUUCUUUUUUUUUCUUUUUUUUUUUGAAUGGAUAUCUGUACCUUUUUUUUUUUGAACAACCUUGUUUCUCUCUCUUUUUUUUUUUUGCCGAAGUAGUUGAUCUCUCUCUAACAACCUUUCUCCAAAAAAUCCUCCCUCUUUCAUUGUAUCUUUCCCUCUUUUAUAGACUUUUUUAGUUAGUGCAUAAGUGGGUAGUUUUUUUUUUUUAGUGGGUUAGUGGGUUAAUAGGAGAGAUUAGUGGGAAGGUGGGAAGGGUAGUUAGUUUUCCCCUUUUUUUUCUCGUAGUGGGUUUUCUUUUUUUUUUUUAUUUUAUUUUAUUUUAUUUUAUUUUAUUUUAUUUUUUUUAAGCAUGGAACUGAUCUUAACCGUCAGUUCAAAAAUUCAAAACCAUUGAGAUGCCAUAUAGAACCAAUUAAUCAUGCCCGGUUAAUUAGUGGCUCAAAACCAUUGAGAUGCCAUCAUGGCCCGGUUAAUUAGUCGCCCGGCUCAGUAGCACCAUCUUUUUUUCUUUUCACCCAACCCCCCCUUUUUUUAUAUAAAUAUAUAUAAUCCUGGGCCCACUUUUUUAUGUGAGAGAAAAACAAUAAUAAUAAUAGGGAUCCACCAAUAUGCAGAUAUUCGGGCUUAGGUUCGGAUUCAAGCUGGACUUGAAUUGGAUUUGACUUGGCUAUAUUUGAAUUUCAAAUUUUGAAUCUAUCACAUUCUCCUCUCUUUUUUUUAUUACACUCAAACAGUUGCCAUAUUGUGGAUCAUAGUAGAUGAACUAUGCAUGUUAAACUUGGUCGAUUAGAGAAUUCGACAUUGGAAAACAAAAUCUAGAUGUUAUGUAAAUGCAUAAGAUAUAUGCUAAGGGAUUGAAUGAGGUAGAUGCUAAUUGUAAGUGCAUAGGAUGUGUGCUAAUUGAAUGUAAAAGACACAUGCUAGUAAUGAAUGCAUAUGAUAGAUGUAAGUGAAUGCAUGAAUUAAAUGCUAGAUGCAUGUAUAAGAUGUAUGCCAAAUAAAGACAUAAGCUAGAUGCAAGAACUAGAUAUUAUGUAAAUGCAUGAUUUAGAUAUAAAUGCAUAAUUAAGAUGCUAAUAACGAAUGCAUAAGAGCUAAAUGCUAAAUAAAUGUAUAAGAUUAAGAUGCUAAUUAUGAAUGCAUAGGCACGUGCGUGAGAUGCUAAAGAAUAUAUGCAUGAUUCAUAUUGCGAGAUUAUGCUAGUGAAUGUUGAACUUGAGACGACGAACUCCAAGUAUAGUAAAGAAUUCGACAAGUGUGGAGGCAUGUAAAGAAUCCUAAGUAUGAAUAACUAGGAAAACAAGAACACGAGUGGAGGCAUUCAAGUAUAGUUCGUCGUCUCACCUAUGUUGAGACGACGAACUCCACGUAUAGUAAAGAAUUCGACAAGUGUGGAGGCAUGUAAAGAAUCCUAAGUAUGAAUAACUAGGAAAACAAGAACACGAGUGGCAUUCAACCUAGUGUCAUGAAACAUAGGUGAAUUAUGAGUGGCAUUAAACCUAAUGUAUUAAACGUGGGUUGAGAAUUGAACCUAGAGUUAAGUAAACCCAGGUUAUGAAUAUAGUGACAUUAAACCUAGAGUCAGAUAAACCUAGGUUAUGAGAUGAGUGACAUUAAUGAAUAUAAUCAAUACUAAAGAAUGCUAGAAAGAGAAUACUUAGUGUGCAUGGCAUCAAAUGAGUUUGAAUGCUAGAGUUGGACACUUAGUGUAGCAUUAAUGAAAACAAAUGAGUGCAUGAAAAUAAGUAUAAAGAAUAAGUAGUAUAAAUGACACUAAUAAAAGUUAUAGAAUGCAAGUAUUUUCUUUUAUGACACUAAUAAAAGUUAUAGGAUGCAAGUAAGUGUGAUUAAUGACAUAAUGACAUAGCAAUUUUAUAGUUAAGGGUCAUACGAGCAUUACUUCCUUAUAGUUAAGGAAUGGAUUGAACUUGAAAUCCUUAUAGUUAAGGAUUGGAUCAUNCAUCUUAACUAGUUUAGCAGAAAAAAAAAAAAAAAAAUAGAAUCAUGUAUACUGAUUCCAUUUUUAUUAAUUUAGCUAACCUGAGAUUAUGUAUAUGAAUCUCAAGUUUGUAUUCUUUAGUUCAAUCUGAGAUUAUACAUAUUAAUCUCAAAUUAAAUUUAGUUAAAGCCGAUUAGGAUUAUAUAUAUAAAUCAUAAAUCGGUAGGAAGUGGAAUCUCACUUGAAUUUAUACCAAACUGAGAUUAUAUGUACGAAUCUCAAGUUAAUUUAAUUAAUCUGAGAUUAUACAUAUUAAUCUCAAUUAGAUCGCCGAUUAAGAUUAUGUACAUCUAAAUCGGUAGGACGUGGAAUACCACCUGAGUUUAGGCUAAUCUGAGACUGUGUAUGUUAAUCUCAGAUUAGCUAAGUUUGGGUUGAUUUAGGAUUAUGUAUGUUGAUCCUAAAUCAAUUUAGAUUAACCUAAUUAGGAAAUUUUGAUAUCCACAUUAGGUUUAAUUCAAGUUAGUUGGUAAUACAGCAACUUGAUUAGUAAAAGAGAAAAUAUAGUAUAAUAUGAGUACAUGUGACCCCCAUACGGGGACCAAUUCGAUACAUUGAUAUGUUGCCUAACACAAUAUUUUAGGUAGAAAAUAAUAUAAAGUCAGAUAAAGUCGUAAAGUCUCCAGAGAAUUAGCUUCCACGGGAUUGUGAGAUUUCCCCAUUAAUUGUUAUCUGCGAACGCAAAUAACCUUCGGUACUUAGGUGUUAUGGACUAUUAGUAUGUAUAAGUUUAUAAUUAGACUUAGUACUUAUGAUGGGGUGCCACUUUUUAGUUUUUAUUCUAAUUGGCACGCUCCACGCAGUAAGCACCAGCGUUUGUCGUUGUACGUAUCAAAUAGGUUGUAUUAGAUAUUAUACAGUUGUACGUACAAAAUAGAUUGUAUAAGGUUACCAUCCGUUUGUAGAAAGUUGUAUUAUAUUAAGUACGUAAGUAGAUCGUUAAUAUAGUACGUGGUAUAAUAGUAAACGUUGGAUGGUUUGUAUGUAUAUACGUAGUUGCUAUUUUGGCAUAUGGUGAAGCUGUACCUUCGCUCGAUUAGAGAAGCCACUCGUGUUGGGUGGACAAUAGCACAAGGCUAACGAACAUCAGUGAACGUUAGCCGGAGGGCGCCGUGGACAACGGGCCAAGCCGGGCUUGAGCGUGAACCGGUGGUUUGCCGGUGGUUAGGCGUUAGGCUUUUAAAUUCCAGAUAUUGAACUACGGUGCUACGAGACCUAGGCAAGAGCACUAAAAACCUGCAGCGGAGCCGGGACGUCCGCCUUUGCUUCGGCUUUGCAGGCAAAGAAGUUAUAGAAGCGUGGCCGAGCUGCUUAGCGACUUGGCUGAAGUGGUUGUGCAGCCUUAUGGAUCGUUAAUCCAAAUAUAUCCAAGUUAAAUCUAAUUUGGGGUAGAUACUGUUUUGCGGGUAAAGAUUCGGGAUCGUACAUGUAUAUGAGGUUUACAGGGUGUUAGAGUACCUCUUUGUACGUAAAUCAUCAGAUUCCCAAUAAUCUUAUGAUUCGUAUUUCCUAAAUUGGUUCAGGAUUUGUGAAUGGCUUUAAACUUGCAGCUCUGCUUUCGUACGGCGAGUUUGCCGGCGUGCUCUUGGGCUUGGCUGUGGAGGUUGCGCAAGGGUUCGAAGAAGAGGUGGUCGGGAGGUUAAAAAUCUCUCUCUAAAUCUCUCUACUCUCUCUUUAGAUCUCUCUCCUUCCCUUCGAAAGAGAGAGAGGGCGUGGUACGCGCACACUACCACCACCACCACCACCAGCCGACCACCUCUUCUUUUUCUUUCCCUAAUUUAGGGUAAAUACGUGAUAAUGUUUAAUGUAGAGGUCGAAUCCAUGUUUAUAAAAAGCGGACGGGAAGACUUACAGGCAAAGUCGAGUUUAAACUGUCAGUCUGAGCCAAAAUAAAUUGAAUUGCUUUCUUUAAAAUUAGAAAGUCAAAGCUAGUGUAAACUAGUGGCUUUCGAGAUGGGUUGACAUUAGAGAUCGUUUAUCGUCAGCCUAAAAUAAAAGGUGGAAGGCCUACGGUCUUACUGUACUUUGAAAUUUAGAUCGUAGUAUUUUUAUUAAGACUGUAUAAGAGGUCAAAAGUAUUAAGACUGUAUAAGAGGUCAAAAGUAUUAAGACUGUAUAAGAGGUCAAAAGUAUUAAAAGACUGUGACACGUAAAAGACGAUUUUAUAGUCAGGGUAAAGCGUGUCUUUUAAGAUUUAGAAGACAAAAGUAAGAAUAACGUCGUGCUAGGUCUGAAUAUAAAAUAGAGAAAUUUAGGUUAUUUUUAUCAUAGAGUGUGAUAAAAAUAAAUAUAAGUGAAAAUUUAAUUUUUAGGCCAUACAAUGUUUCUCCCACCACGAAAACUCAAAAAUCGGUAACCUACCUCUCUACAUUCCAACCCUACUACCACCAUCCACCAUCAUCCACCACCAUCCACCUUAUCACAAAUUAGGUUCCCGAUAAUCAUUAGUUCCUCAUCUAGGUUCACGAUCUUUGGAUCUUCGUGGUUCCCCAACCACGAAGAUUUUCACAAGAUUGAGUUAAUAUAUAUAUAUAUAUAUAUAUAUAUAUAUAUCUCUCUCGGUCUCUACUCUGUCUUUCGUGUCUCUCGUGUCUCUCUGUUUCAACACAUGCUACCCGCCUGAUAAUCUUCGCUUUUAGCCGAGGUAAUCUGAACUAGAUGGUCAUAAACUUCGUAAAUCUUUUUUUAGAAACGUAAUAAAGCUUUGGUAACCUGAUUUAUGCUAUUGGUUCAUCCGUGUUUUAGUUGGGAUCCGCCUUUUGUUUUUAGAUUGUUUUAUUCUAGUAGUACUGUGAUUUUAAAAUGUAGGUUCUCAAUUUUUAGAACAAAAUAUGCGUUUUUCUCUUAAAAUGAUAGUUAUCAUAAGGUCGGAUACUAAACCUAUAAAGAUGUGGCAACUUGAACAUUUGCCGAGUGAUGCCGGCUAUUUUAAUAACUAAAACUCGGGGAAGCUAGUGAUCUGUUUACUAUAGCUUUUUAGUGUUUUAAAUAAAAGAUCCACGAAGUUUAUGAGAGGCUAGCAGCUAAGUUUUCAGGCUCGUAGCUUUUGUUGAACCUUCGUGCAUCCCGAGGCACGAAGGUCUUCGUAUGGUCGGGUGAGAUAUAUAUAUAUAUCAAGCCGACCCUAUGAUAGCUAUUGCGGUUCGUAAACCACGAUAUUUCAAAAAGCGGCAAUCUAAAUUGGGAAAUUGAUAAAAAUGGGUAAUCUAAUAUAAUAAUUGGUUAUUGAAUGAGUUGGGAUCUCUCGGGUAUAGUAGUAUUAACAUGUAAAAAAGUAGACUCCCGGCUUUUGGAUUAUCGUGGUUAUCGAACAACGAUAACUAUCAUAAGGUCGGAUCCAGAUAUAUGCAUAUAUUUAGAAUUUGAUCGAAUUUGAAUAUGGUUGUGAUUUGACUCUAGUUUUAUAUGCUAGAGAAUCGGGUUGAAAUAGGUUGUUUUUAAGGACUUGGUAUAGAGAAGAGGUUGGAUUAGGUUGUGCAUGAUUGAGGUUAGGUUUGGACUUUGAUUUGGUUAUUAUGGUAUAGGUUUCAUGUAUGGCUUGUCAAAUUUGGAUUGAAUUGAAAUUAAAGAUUGGGUUCAGCUUGGAUCAAUCCGGAAUAAAUAAUUGGGUUGGGUUUAUAUUUAGUCUUGGCAUGAACUUGGGCUCAUUCGGAGAUAUAAUUGGGUUGGGUUUAUAUUUAGUCUUGGACAUGAACUUAGGCCCAUUCGGAGAUAUAAUUGGGUUGGGUUUGGAUUUUUGUCUUGGACAUGAACUUAGGCCCAUUCGGAGAUAUAACUGGGUUGGGUUUGGAUUUUGUUUUGGACAUGAACUUGGGCCCAUUUGGAGAUAUAAUUGGGUUGGGUUUAUAUUUGGUCUUGGACAUGAACUUGGGCCCAUUCAGAGAUAUAAUCUUGUUGGGUUAGGCUUAGAUGUGUAGGUUGGCCAUUGGAUUUAGACUUGGGCUGAGUUCAGGCCCGUAAAGCUAUAUUUGGGUUCAGGCUCAAUGUGAGUUAGAAUAGUUCAUGCUUGUUUGGGCCAGAUUUUGACCCAUAUAGUUUGAAUUUAGCUUUGGAUAUGAGUGCAGACUCAGUUUAGGCCCAUAUGGUAUAACUAGGGUUUUUGAAUUGAGUUUGUAUGGCUAAAAUUCGGGUUUAAACUAUAAAGCUUGGAUUUGAACUUUGGGUUCACAGUGUUAAAAGACGUUCGAAAAUCAUGUUUUGAAGCGGUUGCGCAAGCAAAUGGAUCGUUAAUCUAAAUGUAUCCCAGUUUUAUCUAGUUUGGGUAGAUAAUCGUUUUUAACGUAAAACCUCGGGAUCCAACGUUGAUACGUUCUUAAUUGAUUUAACUAGGAUCUAAGAUCGUAACUAGGAGAUAAAUCGUACGAUCCUAGGGUUUAUUUAGUAAAGAUACCUAAUAUUUACUUUGAAAUUUCUAGAUGGUACUCUCCCAAGUUUUUCGAGUAAAGUUCGGGAUCCAAAUGUUGAUCCGUUCUUUAGUAGUUUAACUAGGUACUAAAUUCGUUGUUAGUAGAGAGAUCGUACGAUCUUAUCAAGAUUUAGGUAAGAACUUCGAAUUUUAGGUUUGAUGUUCCUCUAUGGUAAUUUCCCAAAACUUCGAAUGAAAGUUUCGAACGAAGAGUACGUUCCUUCUUCUACCUCUUCUACUUUUAGGUAGGAACUCGAAGUUAGAGGUGGUUUUGGGUGAGAAAACCCUCUCUAAAUCUCUCCCUUUCCCUCCCGAGAGAAUGAGGGAGAGAGGUACGCACACACGCACACCACCGACACCACACCCACCGCGUGCCAACCCCCUCCUCUCCCUAAUUCAGGGAGUUUUGUGAUAAGUAAGGCCCGUCGAACUUUAGACUAUUGAAAGCGGCCUCGAGGGGCUUAUAGGCAAACUCGAGUUUGAACUGUCAGUACAAGCCAAAAUGCAUGACUCAUUCUUAUAUAAAAUUAAAAAGUCAAAGCUGGAGCAAACCAGUGACUUUUGACAUGGCUUGACAUUAGAAAUAGUCUAUCGACAGCCUAAAAUAAAGAGUGAGAUGCCCACAGUCUUUUUAUACUUUGAAAUUUAGAUCGGAGUAUUUUUAUAAAGAUUGAAUAAGAGGUUAAAAAUAUUAAAAGACUCUGACACGUAAAAGACGAUUAAAUAGACAGGGCAAAGGUUGUCUUUUAAGAUUUAGAAGAUAAAAGUAAGGCUAAAAUCGUGUUCAGUGAAGACUGAAUAUAAAAUGAAGAUGUUUAGGUUAUUUUUAUCAAAGAGUGUGAUAAAAAUAAAUAAAAAUAAAAAUAUGGUUAUAGACCAUACAAUGUCGAAGUAAGCGGCCGCGAAUCGGCAGCUGCCUUACCUCUGCUGCACUUCGGCUACUAGAGUGCAAACUGCGCUUCGGUUGCCGCCUUAUCUUCUAGUGCCGGCUUCAGUUGCCGAUAUAGCUGUUGUUGCCGCCUCGAAGUAAGCGGCCGCGAAUCGGCAGUUGCCUUAAUUGCCGUGUAGCUGUUGUUGCCGCCUCGAAGUCAGUUGCCGCGUAUCUGCUAGUACCGCUUUCAUUGUCGCGUAGCUGUUGUUGCCGCCUCGAAGUAAGCGGCCGCGAAUCGGCAGUCGCCUUAAUUGUCGCGUAGCUGUUGUUGCCGUCUCGAAGUAAGCGGCCGCGAAUCGGCAGCCGCCUUAAUUGCCGCGUAGCUGUUGUUGCCGCCUCGAAGUAAGCGGCCGCGAAUCGUCAGUCGCCUUAAUUGCCGCGUAGCUGUUGUUGCUGCCUCUUCUGUACUUCGGCCGCUAUAUCGGCAGCCGCCUUAAUCUGCCGUCGCUUUCUGUUGUUGCCGCCUGUGAGUAGGUGGCGCGCUUUAUUGUCAGUCGCCUUAAUUGCACUUGUUCGCUGUUGUGUACGUGCGUCUUCUAUUCUUCUGCAUGUUAUUAAUACUGCUUAUCGCUAACAUCGGCAGUCGACCCAUUAACUAUUUUCUUUACCCGAAAUAUUAUUAAGAUGACGCGCUUUAAGCCGUUAAUUAAUGCUACAUCGGCGUCGAACAUAACUAUUUCAUUAACGAAACCACGAACUACCUAAGCCGUUAAUUAAUGCUACAUCGGCGUCGAACAUAACUAUUUCAUUAACAAAAUCAAGAAACACCUAAGCCGUUAAUUAAUGCUACAUCGGCGUCGAACAUAACUAUUUCAUUAACGAAACCACGAACUACCUAAGCCGUUAAUUAAUACUACAUCGGCGUUGGACAUAACUACUUCAUUAAUAAAACCACGAAACGCCUAAGCCGAAUUAAAAGUUCAGACUAAGACGAAACUUCAGCUGCUAACUCCUAGCCUUGAAAAACAGCAAUUUUUUUUUUUUUCUCUCUGUAUAUACAUACAUGUAUUGUUCGAAAAACGGCAUACAUGUAUUGGUCGCACUAAACUACUAGCGGGUGCUUACGAUGCAACAACGGCUGACGUAAUUAGUUACGAGGAUAACUAUUUAUAACGUUUUCCCUUCGCUCCUUAAUAAUAAUAACAAUAAGAUUCUGCCCUCCGCCUUCUUUCUUUUAUAAAUAAGUAAAUAAACAAGUGAAUAAAUAAUCCAAAACUUAAGAAUUAAGUUUUGGACUUAAUAAACUUUGAGAGAAUUUUAUCAGUUCUCUGGAAUGUAUAUAUACAUAUAUAUAUAUGUAUAUAUGAAUACAUGUGUAUAUAUAUAUGUAUAUAUAUACAUACGUAUAUAUGUAUGUAAAUAAAUACCUAAACUUUGAAUUUAAANAAACACGCAUAUUAUUAUUAGAUUAAAUUUUAGAUAAAUAUAUAUGGAGACCUCCUCAAACUAUAGGCUAUUGCGAAAUAGACUCCUCAACUUCUAUUUAAUAUUCACAUUGAGAUCUCCUAAACUUCUAAAUUUUUUAAAAAAUUCUCUCAAAUUAAUUAAUAAUUUUAUCAAAUUUAAAAAUUUUAAAUAUUUUUAGUAAAUUAAAUUAAAUUAAAUUAAUAAUUAAUAACUAUUAGAAUUAUUAUUUUUGGCAAAAUUUUAAUUUAUACUUGAGAAGAUAAUAUAUAUAUAUAUAUAUAUAUAUAUAGAGAGAGAGAGAGAGAGAGAGAGAGAGAGAGAGUAUUGAGCCGGAAUGCUAUUAGUAACAAAUGGGUUUUGUUACCAUCCAUUUAUUUUCGAUAAUGGGUUUUCAAAUUGACGAUCGAUAUUGUUGAAUAUAUAUGAUCUAUACCACUUAAAAUAUCUAGAAAUCAAUCUUUUCGACAUUAUUGACUUAAUGAUUAAAGAGUUUCAAAAUUUAUAAUUUUAAUGGUACUCAAUAUAAGAUGUUUACUCGUAUGACGGCAUAAAGAUAUCAAAAUCAUAUGAAUUUUGGUUAGAAAAUUCUGUAAACUAUUUAAAACAAAAUCUACACUUUUGAUCUUGAUUACUUGAUUCCUAUCUUUACUUUUCAAAGAACAUUUAUUUUCAAUCGUUCAUCCAAGAAAAUAUUAUCGAAAAAUUAUAAAAUUUGAUUUCUGGAUUCUUCCAGUACCAUAAAUUAUGUUCAGCGAUAUUGAUCUUCAAUUUAGAGGCUCCAUCAUCGAAAAUAAAUGAACAGCAACGGUUCGUUCGCUAUAAAUAACAUUUAUCAUCAGUAUUGCUCAUAUGUGUUUGUUUAACAUUAAUCUAAACUUCAAACUAGAUAAGCUAUGACCGCGCCACUUGUGGUCGAUUUUAAGUCAAACGAAACACGACAACACGCGCGAUAGCUGUUUUGUAUAUAUCUAGGCUAGCGGACUGCACUGCACCAGGACACCCGAAGAAAUUAAGAAGAAGGACCAUCUCCGUACGCUGCUGCGACCCUGCUGCACAGUCCAGCUGGCGUUGACAACAACUGACUGCGGCAGUAAAUUAAGUGGGCUCCGGCUCAAUGAUGAGAAACUAAUCCCCUCAAUCAAAAGAUUUUUAAAAUUAAAACUCAAGUAGAAACUCUCUCUCUCUCUAUAUAUAUAUAUAUUAUCUUCUCAAGUAUAAAUUAAAAUUUUGCCAAAAAUAAUAAUUCUAAUAGUUAUUAAUUAUUAAUUUAAUUUAAUUUAAUUUACUAAAAAUAUUUAAAAUUUUUAAAUUUGAUAAAAUUAUUAAUUAAUUUGAGAGAAUUUUUUAAAAAAUUUAGAAGUUUAGGAGAUCUCAAUGUGAAUAUUAAAUAGAAGUUGAGGAGUCUAUUUCGCAAUAGCCUAUAGUUUGAGGAGGUCUCCAUAUAUAUUUAUCUAAAAUUUAAUCUAAUAAUAAUAUGCGUGUUUUAUAGUAUUUAAAAGAACUAUAGUUAAAAAAUGGGUAAAUUGGACUGUUACUUUCUAAACUUUGGUGGGGUUUUACUUUACCCUAUAAACUCCUAAAAUAGACAUGUAACAUUCUAAAUCCUAAUAUUUCAUUAGUGAUACUUUCUUCUGUCAAUUUUUCGUCAAGCCCUUUUAACUAAAAAUUGAUGAAAGGGAUAAUAUAAAUGAAAUAUUAAAAUUUAGGGUAUUAAAUGUCUAUUUUAUGAGUGGGGUAAAAUAAAACUCCACCAAAAAUUUAGGGAGCAACAGUGCAAUUUAGCCAAUUUGACUACUGACACUCAAGUUAGUGAUCAUGCGAAGUUUUGAAUUUAUAUAUUUUUAUUCUAAAAUAAAUCAAACCACAAAUUAACCUAUAUUUUAUCAUAUACAAGUAAAAAAAAAAAAAGAAUUAGAGUGGGAUAUCUCUGAAUGCAUCCAAACACAAAAUUACAGUUGUUAUAACUUAUACUGGGAUAUCUCUUUUUCUCGGGAACAACAGAAGUUAUACCCUAGAAUUUAAUUGUUGAACCAAAUGCAGCCCUAGUAUAAUUUCCAUUUGCUAUACUAUACAAUCUUUUCAAAGACACUAUUAUAUUAUUUUAUUUUAUCGAUAUCUACAUUAUAUUUUAGAUUUAUUUUAUUUUUCUACUUAUAUUAAUUUUUUAAUAGAUAUCACUAAACUAUUUUUUAUCUUAUCAGUAUCUAUAUUAUUAUUACAAAUCUAUUAUUUUACAAAAAAUAUAACAAUUUUAUUAAGAGAUACAGGUUAUAUUGUAAAAUAAAUUAAAAUAAAUCUCCAUAAUUGGCUCCAUCAAGUUAUUUUCAUUAUAUUUAUAAUAAAAUGAAUUGAAUAUGUUAUGUCACUUUUAAUUAGUAUUUUUAACAGUUUUUAUAUAAAUUAUAGAUUUAUUGGUUACAGCGUAGGAAUUGAAAAAUAAAAUAGUUAAGUGGUGCCUUAAAAAAAAAUUAGUACAAUAUAGGGAGUAAAAAAGCCUGUAAAAUAAAUCAUAGUAUAGUGUAAUUAAGCCUUUAGCAUUCUAUCAUUAAAAACUUAAUAUACAUAUCAAAUUUAAAGGCUGGAUCGUACAAAAGAAAGAAAGACCAUAAUUUUGAUGAAAUGAAGAUUUUUCCGUGAGAAAUUAGAGAUCUUUUUGAAAAGGCCUUUUUGCAUAAAAACCACUGGUUUUGCAAUCAUGUAAAAGUAGACCAUUUUUUUUUUUUUUUCAGAUUCAAUUCGAAAUCUUUUUAAAUUAUCAAAAUUCUCCUAUUUUCUCCCUCAUUACUCCAUCUCUCUUCCUGCUUCCUCUCACUCCUUUGUUGCCCCGUGUUGCCACCACGCUCCUCGAUCCCCUACCUCGCGCAUGAGAGGAGGAACGAUGACAAAGCUUGACUCACUCGUAACCAUGUAAAGAUGAGGGUGGCAUUUCUCAGAGCAUCGCCAGAGAUGGAGACGAAAGUGGCGAAGGAAAAAAGCAAAGAUUGCUAGUCAAGGAUGCUUAUGGAGCAGGUUCAAGAGCAGGUCCACGAGCAUGGCCGAUGGCGACGAAGCGGUAGCAAUACUAGAAGGAAAAAGUCUGGCCGACGACACGAUGCUGUACUAUUCAUUACAUAUAUAUAUUAUUAUACAAUUUAGUAAGAAAAUUAUACUAUUUGACGUACAUUAAGCUAUAAAAUAAUGCAACUUUUCUUUUAAUGGUACAAUAUAUGCUUGAAUAGUAUAACUCUUUAGCUACCGUUUGGUUCGGGGUUAAGUAAAAACUAGCUAUUUCAUGGAUAGGGCUAAGUUCAGAGUUAAGGUGGGGUUAGAAUAAUUUUGUGUUUGGUUGAGAAUUGGGUUUAGUCCAGGUAUAAAAAAAAUAGCGUUUGGUUGGAGUAGGCGGAAUAAGAAGGAUAGUGGGUUGUUAUAAAUAGAAAAUAAUAAUUUUGCCUCUAUUUUUAUAUUUGAAUUUAAUUUUUUUAUUUUAUAUUUCAAAUUUCAAAUUUAAAUAGAUAACUUUUAAAAUUACAGAAUUCAAAAUUAAAAUUUAUUUUUUAAAUUUCGAAUUUAAUAAUUUAAAAGUUAUAAAAUUUAAAUCAAAUCUAACAAAUAUAAAAUUUAAAUAAUUAAAAAUAAUAAUUAAAAAUUUAAAAUUUUAAAAUUAAAAGUAUAAAUAAAUAUUUUAAGAUUUUAAAUUAUAAUUUUUAAAAUUUUAAAUAUAAAAUAUUAAAUUUAAAAUUUAUAUAAUUAAAAACAAUAAUUUAAAAUUUAAAAUUUAAUAUUUAAUAUUUGAAAUUUAAAAUUUAAAAUUUUAAAAUUUUAAAAUUUAUAAUUUAAAAUUUAAAUUUAAAAAUUUAAAAAUAUUAAUAUUAAUUUUAAGAUUACAUAUUAAGCAUUUUAAAAAUUUCAAAUAUAAAAUGUCAAAUUUCAAAUUUAAAUAAUUAAAAUUUAAAAUUAAAAUUAAAAUUUAAAUUUUAAAUUUUAAAUUUUAAAAAUAUUAAUAUUCAUUUUAAGAUUAAAAAUUAAAAAUUAAAAAUUAAUUUAAAAUUAUAAUUUUAAAAUUAUAUAAAAAAUUAAAUAGGGGUGGGAUUAACUUUAUCCCACCCCUAUUCUUGGGGGGGAGGGGGGUGGGUGUGCUGUUUUAAAACUAUAUUAAAAAUUACAUGCUUCGAAGUAUUUUCGACCUGCGAUCGAUACCCUCCUUCUCUGCCAUCUUUGUCUCCGUUCGGCGAAGCGCCGAAUAGCAACGAUGACGAACAGGUCAAAAUCACGAUUCGUCUCACUCGUAAAGCGCUCACAAUGCGGACGCCACGGAGCAGUUGGUGUGGAGGCAAAAGUGCUCGAGGCUACUACAAGCGGUGGAGACGUGGCCGACGAGGAAGGAACAAAAAAAGGGAUAGAUUGGAUUUUUUAAAGUAGAGGAGUAUUUUGAUCCAUUUUCACAAAUUUUCGUUCGAAUUUACAAAAUCAAAGAACGUGGCCUUUUUUUUUUUUAAUUCUCAAAACAAUAUGGCCUAUUUUUGUAAAAAUACAAAACUAGUGAAUUUUUAUUUUUUGGGGCGCGGCAAAAAAAAGCCUUAUAAAAAAUUAUUCUUUUUAGACCUGAUAAAUAUAUAUAUAUAUAUAUAUAUAUAUAUAUAUAUAUAUAUAUAUAUAUAUAUAGAUAGGCUGGGAUACUAUCGAUAAGCAUGACUCACAAUUUUGUUGCUCAUAAUGGGAGUUUGGACAAAAGGAGUUGGGUCCUAUCUGUUUGAGUGUGUAGCCAACAAAAUCCAAAAAUAAACCGGCCCACAUAAAAGUCAAAUAUACAGCGAAAGAAGGUCUUGUCACUCUAGUAGUAGGAGAUGAAGGGCAGUUCCGUAAAUCCCAGCGGAUUUGGGCUAUAAAAUCAUCCAAAAAGUAAUAUACUCCAAGUCCAAAUUGGCUAGCUAGGCUUGUAGAAACCAUGGUAGAGGACUUGGAGAGUGAGCACGCACAAAGGGAGUAUACUGAAGAUGGGUCUGUGGACCUCAGAGGGAACCCUAUUCUCAGGUGCAAAAGAGGAGGGUGGACUGCUUGUUCCUUCAUUGUAGGUAAUACUGCUUAAUUUAAUGGCUUCUUAGCUUUUAUAUCCCCUGAAAAGUUCUUUUAAAAUGAGCGUAUGUAAUACUUUUUCUUCAGCAUUAUUAUUUGUCAAUAUUUCUCAAGCCUUUGUGUGCAAAAGUUAAUUACUUGUUGAGGAACUUCAUGUGUAUUAUUAUAUAAUUCUUUGAAGCUCACGGAUAGCUGGGUUGCCUUUCCUAGCACAAAGGUCUUCGUACAUUCACUUUAUUCUGAAUGAUGAAAAUUUUGAAUAGACAAUCUGUUCGAUUAGACACGAUCUAAAAUAUAUAAAAUAUUUAGAAAAUAAAUUUUAUAAUUUUUGGAUAUUAUUUAUUUAUUUAUUUAUUUGAUCGAGUGAUUUCAAAACGAGCGGCUGAAAAUAAAAAUCACACAAAAAAUAAUGAUACAACACUAAAAUUUUAGAUUAGAAGUUCUGAUCUUAGGAUAAAAUAUUUUCUUUCAAAGUUAGACCAGAUUUAAAUAUUUUUGCAGCAAAAAAAUUGCAUGCAACUUAUAUCAACAAUUAAAAAUAUUAAUUUUGAGCCAUUUCGAUCGUUAAGUAGAUGAUAUCAAAAAAUCAUAAAAUUUAUUUUCUAAAUAUUUCAUAUAUUAAUAGAUCAAAUCUAGUGAAAGCGAUUUUCGUUUCGGAGCUCCCACCAUGCAUCGAAAGCAACGUGAAGCACAGAAGCCUUUGCUUUUCUAAAAGCAGCCCAAUUCAACUCUACUCUUCACAUAUAUUUUGAAUUGAAGCGUCCAACAAGUCUCUAUCACAUCAGAUUGUGUGUUGACUUGCUAGUAUGUAUGAAUCAGUUUGGCUCAGUUGUAAAUUGUAUUGCUAUAUAUUUCAUCAAUACUGUCAGAGAAUUGUUGUAUCUGUAGUAGAACUAGAAGCUGUACAUUGGAGCUUUUACUUUUGAGCUUCGAAUCACUUUUCUGCUCCCCGUUAUAACAGAAGCCCCGGUCUUUUUUUAUUAAUUGUUAAGCAGUUUGUUACAUGUAAUUGCAGCUAUAAAAGUAGACGUAGAAUUAGCUAGGCUAAACUCGCCCUCUCUACUUGUUUCCUCGUGAGUUGGUUCUUCAAUUUAUCUACAAAGGGCUAUAUUGGGUUUUGAACGUUAACAGUAAACUAGGUAACUAAACAUUUUUACACAAUGUAGGUAAAUUGUUAGUUUUCAGUCUUAUUAAUUUGUUAAAGUGUUUGUGGGCUACUUGUUGUAUGUUGCAGUGUAUGAGGUGUUUGAAAGAAUGGCAUUCUAUGGCAUAGCAUCCAACCUGGUGCUCUACUUAACUAACAAGCUGCACCAGGGCACUGUCGAUGCCGCAAACAACGUGACCAACUGGGCGGGCACCGUGUUCUUGAUGCCAAUACUCGGGGCAUAUGUCGCUGAUGCCUACCUCGGACGGUAUUGGACCUUUGUCAUCGGAUCUGCCAUCUACUUGUUGGUAAUUUUCAUCACCGUACUAUUUUCUCAUCAUUCAUUUAGCUGCUCAUAUACUUUUACAUGUUUGUUGCUUCCACUUUUCCCUGCCUACUAGAUUACUCAGAAGAUAAACAUAUCCAAGUUCUUGAGAGUUAUUUUCAUUUCUCCGGUUUACUUAGAUAGCUCUUGAUGAGAAUUCAUAAUUUAAGAUAGUAUGGAUAAAUUGAGCUAAUCGGAAGGAAGCUUCUUCUGCUCUUUAAAGAACAGCUAAAAGGUAAUAAAAAAACAAUAAUAAAACAAGUUGUUAGAUGUGUCUUAUUGGGCCCAUUUUAUGUUGUGGAUCCGUGUAGUUUGUGUCAGGAUUUUCUUUCUUUUUUAUUCUGCCUAUAAAUGUAUACCUUUGUUUCCAUGGUUUUUGGGAAUUGAGAGAGAUCAUUGUGUGUAUUUGGAAAUCAGGGUUUUUGGAGAGAGGUUUUUUUUGUAAUCCACUUUCAAUUAUAGUUAAAUCUUCACAUUGUCUUCACCCCCAAACAUAGAACAGUGGCCUAAUCGCAUAAAUUAGUUGUUUAUGUUAUUUCUUCUCUUUUUUUAUUCUCGUUGAUGCUAUGUACUGAUGAAUUAGGGCUUUUCGACUUUGUCAUAGCAGAUGACGUUAUUGAUUUGACCAAAAAAGUGAAAACCAAAUUGAGGCUUUCCUCUACUAUCACCACAUAUAGAUAAUAGGAAAGGGAUAUUAGACUUAGAGCGAAAGUCGGGCUCGCCAACAGAUCUACCAUAUACACAGGUAUACACAGGAAGCCUCGUGUACAUGAGGUGAAAGAAGUUGCUGCAAGCAAUUCUAGAGGCUACAACUAACAGAUAUCAAAACUAAAAUAAAACUGCUAAAAACUAAACAUAGUGCACUGUACAUACAUCAGCACAAAAAAUAGUACAUGUCACACCUCCCUACCAAGUACAAAAUCACCUCUCGCAGCUGAAAGUAAUAUAAAUAUGUAGACAGAUCUGCUCUAAAAAAGUAGCCUCUAUAGGGUGCUCCUCUAGCAUGAAUUGCACGGGUUGGUAGGGAGCUAGCUCGCAAUUUCUUUACCUCGAUCAGAAGUAGCUAUAGGGGUGGAAGGCUCUACAAGAAAAAAGAUAGUAACAAAUGGCGUGAGAACUAUUAAAACAAGUGCUCCUUAGUAGGUAUCAUCACUGAUGCCGACGACCUAUCCACUAGGUCUACGAGAGUGAAAAGUAAAGAACUAGUGUUUGAGAUAACAAAAAAAUUCAAAUUCAAAUUGAGGAUAUACUUUAUUUGAGAUUAAAAAAAAAUUCAAAUUCAAAUUAAGGAUAUAUAUAGAAGGAAAAAAAUGAAUUGUGAUUUCAUUGGUACUUUCCUUAGGGGAGUAGGUAUUAAAGAGGAAAGAGAUAAGAAAAAUAUUAUUGUCUAAUUUUCAAAUUUUUUUGAAUUAUUUCCCACAAAAUGAAGAGGUCCAAAAAUCACUAUAAAUUGAACCAUGAAAUUCAAGGGAAGGGAUUCGAUAUUUUGGAAGGAGAUUUCAAAAAAAAAAAAGAAAAAAAAAAGAGAGGCGCCAAGAGAGAGGCCCCUCCUCCUUCUCUGGUUCGUACAGAGAGAGAGAGAGUUAGGGUCCCCUCUCCCAGACCAACAAAAAGAAAAGAAAAAAGAAGAAAAAAGAAAAAGAGUUGAAGGCACGAAGACGGCGCAAUGGUGAUGACUUUGACGACGACGGUGUGUGAGGAGGCCUCAUGACCUCCUCUUUCUUCUUCUCCGACAACGACUUCGACAACAACAACGGCGUGGAAGGAACUGCCUCAUGGCCGCUUUCUUCUUCUUCUCCAAUGACGACAAAUUGGUGUUUACGUGCUAACGGUAUGGUAGUGAUCCUUUCGUCGGUUUGAUCAACACGACCGUCUUCAUGAUAGGUCGACCUGAUAAAAUCCGGCAUAGGAUUGGUACCAUAUCGUGCGCACGUAUUCCCUAAGCAUUCGUCCCCCCAACAUCGACGAAAGACCUAUGUGAACGUGCGAAUGGCGUGACGACGAACCUCCAACUGAUUUGAUUGGGCACUGUACAUAUAUCAGCACAAAAAAUAGUACAUGUCACACCUCCCUACCAAGUACAAAAUCACCUCUCGCAACUGAAAGUAAUAUAAAUAUGUAGACAGAUCUGCUCUCCAAAAGUGGCCUCUAUAGGAUGCUCCUCUAGCAUGAACUGCAUGGGUAGGUAUGGAACUAGCUCGUGAUUUCUUUACCUCGAUCAGAAGUAACUACAGGGGUGGAAGGCUCUACAAGAAAAAAAAAUAGCAGCAAAUGGCGUGAGAACUAUUAAAACAAGUACUCCUGAGUAGGUAUCAUCACCGAUACCGACGACCUACCCACUAGGUCUACGAGAGUGAAAAGUAAAGAACUAGGUAAAUAGUAGAAUAGGAAAUAAUAAAAGCUGAAAAGAAUCUAUAGGUACAAUGCCUCGAUGCUAUUAAUACUCAAAAUGAAAUGACAAGACGUAAGUAAAUGCAUCAACUAGCUACCGGUACUCACUAUCCAAACCUAAUCCAAACGAUCGCCUCCAAGGUCUGGUCAAACCUACGCCAGCCUACUACCAUGGCACCACUUUUGAGGGUAGCCGGUCAAAUGUGGGUUGCCCAAGGGGCUGCUGUAACACCAACAUGUAAAGCCUCACUUCCAAGGGGCACUAGGGGGAGCUACUGCAACGACCCGAUCCGCCAGCAAUAUAACUCGUUGGGUCCAAACAAAAGGCCCAAAAUACUUAAGCCCAAUUAUUAUUAUUAGAGUGUAAGUCUCAUAUAAAUUUAUCGGAAUUAGUAUCCCAUCCGAUAUGGAACUAUUGGGCGUUACAAACUCCCCAUGUUUAGACCCUGACGUCCUCGUCAGGUUCAAACCUGAUCACAGACAAACAGAUCGGGACCAGAAUUACCAGGCGAUGUGAGAUUCUAGAGGUGGCUCCUACGGGUUCAAGAGGUGGCUCCCACCAAACUCGUUGGUGUAGCACUUUACCCCGCAUAGCACUUAGUUCUCACACUUCUGGCUAGUAUUUGGCUCUGAUACCAAUUGCAACGACCCGACCCGCCAGGAAUAAUAACUCGUUGGGCCUAAACAACCGGCCCAAAAUGCUUAAGCCCUAUUUUUAUUAUUAGCAUGUAGACCUCAUAUAAACUGAUCGGAAUCAGUAUCCCAUCUGAUAUGGAACUAUUGGGGCGUUACAGCUACCCUGCCGAGCAACAACCGUAGUCUCUAUCAAGCUCAAAUCUAGCUCAUGCAAGCUGUAAUUUAUGCGAAUGAUCAAUCAGAUCAUCAAACUGUAAACCAUGUGCCUUAAGCACAAUCCAAUGCAAAACUCGAUAAUCUGAGACACCAUCAAUGCAGACAACACCUUAUUAUACAAUUCAGUCUAAUUAAAGUCAUCCUACGCUAAUCUGUAUGGUCGCUACCCUUUAACUGUUGGAAAAUCUUUCUGAUCUUUUAUUAAAAUAUUCUUUAAAAAUAAUUCGAAAGUUUAAUUUUAAUUUUAGAAAAAUUUCGAAAAAAAUUAAAUAAUAAAUACUGGAAAGAAAAGGAUUAGAAAAAGGCCUGUGGAUCGAGGCGUGCAGAGCACUGUCCUAGAAGCGAAAUUGCCCCUCCACGUACGAGGCUUUCCGGCAAUUACUUCAAACGAUACAACGUCCACGUUCCACCCUGUCAGCACACUUUUAAGGUGGUGCAAGAUAAACCCAACAAGCUUUAGGAGAUCUAGUGAAAUACUAGAAAGCUUGGCGAAAAUCAGUGCAAAAGAUCAAUGGCGAGAAAAUAGAAGAAAGCGAGGUAGAGGAUAGGGUUUUGCUCUUAGGUACGCCUAGGUUCAGGUUGAACUCAUGCAACCUCGUCCAAUAUAUAUAUCGAAGGCAAGGAUCUUGCUUCAACGUGUCGAUUCCGUGUAGCGCAAGAUAAGCCUAAGAUUAUAUGGGAUACGGAUUAGGAUUUCCACAAGGAUUAGAAUAAAAAUAAAGAUAAAACCAAAAUAUAAAAAAUAAAAUAAAAUAACCCGGAUGCCUAGACCGCGUGCCACCGCUCGUCCGGCUCGUGCUCGUGCCGUGCGCGCAUGCGUGUGUUUAGUCGAGAGCAUAACUCUCAUUUUCUCCUAAGCAACUAGGUUGAGAAUAAAUGAAUAUAUAAAUAACAACAACAUACUUUUAGUUUCUAAUGUGGGACUAAAUCUCACAUAUGAAAACCUUAGUUGGGCUCUCAGGCAAGGGCCAUCAAGUAUUGGGCUGCUCAAGAGGUCUAACAAGUUUUAAAUCACCCAAAACCCAAUAAAAUCUAACGUUAACUAGAGUGAAAAACAAGUAAAAAUAACUAACAAAGCUAAAUACUGACAACAAAGCAUCGGGGUGGUCUAGUGCAGAUUCUAUACAUGUUUCUAGUUCAAUUCAGCACUUAAAAUCUUUACAUACAUGUUGAGGAGUUCUAGAACAGGAAUUCAACAUCUCGCAUGCAAAUUUCAAAGAUUCAAGCUAGAAAUUUCAGAUUUAAAGAUGUAACUAGCAAGCAUGCAGAAUUUUAGUUGACAUAAUGGAUAAUCCGUCAUUUUCGAUAAAUUCAACCCACCUCGGGUGCUAAUCCAACUACGGCAGGGAAUUGAUCACAAAUAUACCUCUCCUCAGCUUGAAACCAGUAGGGAUUAAGCCAAGAAAGCUCCACAAACUCUCAGGGAAGAAGUUAAGUUAGUCCAAUAAUCAAACUUCCUCAAUGCUAAAAUUCACUUAACAAUUCAGAAAUUCACUACAAUUUAACUUACACUACCUUACUAUUAGCUGAAUAGGAUGUUCUCCAAGUUCUCUAGCUUCAAUUCGAGCAUGAGAACCAAGAAAUUCUAGGUCCACUCAAGAAAAUUGUUGGGAAAAGAAGUUGGUUUCACAAUUCCAUCCAAAAAUUUCAGCUUAAAGCCAAUUACAUUUCAACUAACCUCAAAUUCGGUUGAAGAGUAAGUCUACAAACUUCUUCAUCACUAGAUCACCCACAAGAACUUGAUCAAUUUUGUAGCUAAAAGUUCAGAUAGGAGAAUUUUUUUUUUGAUGCUACCCGCUUCGUUUAUUUCUUUUAGAAAUAAACUUAGCUGGAAAUGUGAAUCAACUAGGAUUCGAACUUGGGACCUCGGGUACCAACCACCAAGCCCUUUGUCACUUGCGCCAAGGACAAUCGGUAGUUCAGAUAGGAGAAUUGGAUGAGAAAGUUGAUGAAAAUCCAUUAGAAAUCUGAAUUUCAGCUUGCAUCUCCAAAUCCACUCUAAUUCAAUUAGACUAACUUGAAAUUCCAGCUUAAGGAAGGUGCAAGCUGAACCCAGGCUCACCAACAGAUCCGCCGUAUACACAGGAAGCCCCGUGUACAUUGAUAGAUCCUUCUUUAGAAACAAUUAUAUAUUAGAUAUAUAAAUGUAGAACGCAGUGGAAGUAUUCGUUCGUACCUUUUAGCGGAAGCAACUUGCGUUAGAACGCGACGAGCCCGGAUCGUAGAGGUUGAUUCACGUGUCCUCGGAUCGUCCUUGAAAAUCUUCUAUCGCUCCAAACUCGUGGUGGAUCGAACUACAAACGAGCACGAUCUCCAAUCCACAGUUCAAGACCCUCUAGGAUAAUCAAUAGUGGUGUAAUGUUGAGGAAGUAGUUACGAUAGUAUCGAUCCUGCUAUGUGCGAGUGGGAGAUGUUGGCAUUUGGUUAAAUCGAAUCAGAUGCACCCAUGAUCGGGCUCGAUCCGACGAUUAUUAUGUUGUCUAAUUGGAUUAGUAUUAAUCUCGCUUUUAAAUUGGAAAGCUAAUUAGAGAUAAAUUCUAAUCAUAUUAGGAUAACAAUUAAUAACCGAUUUGGCCUUAUCUCUUACGCACCUAUUAGGAUUUUGGAAUCCUUCGUAAAUAUACGGGCGAUCUCACGUAAAAUAAUUAAUAAAAAAGAGAACAAGAAAACUAAGAAACGUAGAAACCACAUUCUCCAUUAACCUAUUAUUCUAGAGGGUCUUGAACGGUGGAUUGGAGAUCGUGCUCAUUUGUAGUUCGAUCCACCGUGAGUUUGGAGCGAUAGAAGAUUUUCAAGGACGAUCCGAGGACACGUGAGUCAACCUCUAUGAUCCGAGCUCGUCGCGUUCUAACGCAAGUUGCUUCCGCUAAAAGUUACGAAUGAAUACUUCCGCUGCAUUCUACAUUGGUAUCAGAGCCUUGUUAGGUUGAUUUUGUGUCCUAGAUUAACUCUUUAACGAGAUUGCAUCCGUAAAUUUAAAUCUAUCAUCGUUCAGAUUUUUUUUUGCAUGCUUGUGGGCGUUAAUGGCGGAUUUUGCUAGGAUGAAUAUUAUUGCAUGAUUUUUACACAUCUUGAAACACCUAUGUUGUAGAUUAAAUUUACAAAGUUUGAUUUAAUUUGGUUUUGUAUUUUAUGAGAAAAACGAAACCCUAAAUCGAAACUUUGCUGGUGGCUUGUUUGAUGCGUGAUGCAUAUCCCAUUGUGAAACUUGCAUGAUUUGGAAGAGUUCCUCAUAAAUUUUCUAUUGAUAUAUUUCUUGCAAAAUUUGGAGUUCUAAAUCUCAAGAUAUGAUUUUUUGAAGUUUAUCUAUCUAUUAAAAAAAAAAGAAUGCUUACUAUAACUGUAAAACGCAGCGGAAGUAUUCGUUCAUACCUUUUUGCGGAAGCGAUUCGCGCUACAACGCGAUGAGCCGGAUUGGAGAGAUUGAUUUACGUGUCCUCGGAUCGUCCUUGAAAAUCUUCGAACGCCCUGAACUCGCGGUGGAUCGAACUACAAACGAGCACGAUCGCAAAUCCACCGUUCAAGUCCCUCUAGAAUAAUAGGUUAAUGGAAGAUAUGGUUUCUCUCUUUUUGUUUCUUAUUCUCUUUUUCUUUUCGUUCCAUAUAUUAUGUUAUGUGGGAUCGCCCGCAUAUUUAUAAGGGAUUCCAAAAUCCUAAUAGCGUAAGAGAUAAGAUCAAAUCGGUUAUUAAUUGUUAUCCUAAUAUGAUUAGAAUUCAUCUCUAAUUAGCUUUCCAAUUUAAAAGCGAGAUUAAUCCUAAUCCAAUUAGAUAACAUAAUAACGAUCGGAUCGAGCCCAAUCAUGGGCGCACCCGAUUUGAUUUAACCGAAUGCCAACAAUAACCAAUAAAGAUACAUCUUUCGUCUCGAUCAUUUAACUUUUCCUUGGCGAUUAUUAUUGAGCCCGCCUCCUUUUGGUCCAUAUCCAUGUCGUGAGUUGCAACAUUGGAUGUUCAAUCUUCUCCACGAUUUUUGCCUUUUCUAUUAUCAAGUUUCAAUUUUGACAUAAGAGCCUGCUCAGUCGACUCGUCUUCAGACACCUUUCGUAGUCUUUGCUCAUGUAUUUGGAGGAAUCCUAUCAAUUGGUCAAUAGAAAGUGUAUUGAUAUCUUUUGACUCUUCUAUGGCGACAACAAUAUGCUCAAAUUUUGAUGUGAAAGAAUGAAGGACCUUUUCUACAACUCGUUCAUCAUCGAGUUCUUCUCCAUUUGCUUCAUUUGGUUUACAAUUACAAAAAUGCAAGAAGCAUAGUCCGUGACACUUUCGGACUCCUUCAUUCGGAUUGCUUCAAAUUCCACCUGAAGCUUUUAUAGAUGAAUCCUCUUCACUUUGUCAUCUCCUUUAAAGAUGGCAGCAAGAAUAUCCCAUGCCACUUUCCUCGAAGUUGCUUCUGCAAUUUUCUCGAACGUCGACUCUUCUACUGCUUGGAAAAGAUAGAUAAGAGCCUUUUGUCCUUUUUUCUUGCUUCGUUCAAAUCGUUUCGUUGGGCUAUAAUUAAUGCAGCUCUUCUAGCUCUGUGUAUUCUUGGUACCCAGUUUUAACUAAUUUUCAAAGGUCUUGAGAACCAGGAAGUGCUUUCAUUUGAAUGCACCCAUUCUCGUAAUUGUCUUUUAAUGGUUUUGGGAUUUGGGUCUGGAGAAGUUGAUUGGCAAUUUUUUUAACAGAGUUUCUUUCUGGCAACUUUUCUCUGAUACCAAAUGAUGGCGGGCUAGAAUAUAAAAAACUAUAAAAUAUUUAAAACCAGAACAACCGAAUUUAUUAAAUAUGACUGAACCUCAGUACACAAGAACUUAGUAGUACAAUUUUAUGCAUUAAACAACAAAUUACAUGCCCUCUAUUUAUAGAGCAUGAAUGACGCAACUUUUCACGAAAGUAGACAUCACUCCACUAAAGGACAUGACCCUAAACCAAAAGACACAACCUUACAAAUGGACAUACCAUUACAUAAGGUACACAACCUUUCAACAAAACAAAUAAAUAAUAAACUAAUAAGCAACCUUAUAAUCUAACAACAAGAUGGCGGAAUCCUCGGAUAUGCCUAUGUUGGAUCUUAGAAGCUAAAACCGAUUGGUGAAGAGUGGCUUGGUGAGCGCAUCAGCUAAGUUGAUCAAACGAUAAUAUAUGAGAAACCCAAAGUGAUCCUUUAGAUAUCUGAUCGCGAACAAAAUGAUAAUCCAUAGCGAUAUGCUUCAUACUAGAGUGGAAUACUGGAUUGGCGCAAAGAUAAGUAGCGCCAACAUUAUCGCAAUAUAUUAGUUGGCUGAUUGUUUAUCUUGAUACCAAGUUCUUGAAGAAAGGAUUGUAUUCAUAUAUACUAAUUCAACUGUGGUGGCACCGUGGCAGCAACCUCCUUAUAUUCUGCUUUUGUUGAUGACCGAGCUAAGGAACUUUGCUUACGAGAGCACCAAGAGAGAGAAUUAUGGCCUCAACACACUAAGUAGGCAGUAGUGGAGGUAUAAUCAUCACGAUCACUAGCCCAAUCAGCAUCUGAAAAGGUCGUAGAUGAAGUGAAGAAUUUUUUUGAGAUGAAGACCAUGGUAGAUAAUAGCCUUGAGAUAACGAAGAAGACAUUUUAAUGCAGUCCAAUGACUUUGAGUUGGAGCAUGCAUGAAUUGUGAUAAUUUAUUUAUGGUUAAGGAAAUAUCAGGUUGAGUAAGGGAGAGAUAUUAGAGGCCGUGAUAAUUUAUUUAUGGUAAAGGAAAUAUCGAGUCGAGUAAGGAAGAGAUAUUGAAGGCCUCCAACUAGUUGUAUGUAUUCUGUAACAUUAGUUGGAGAUGAGCCGUCAUUGAGAACCAACAGAGUGGAAGAAAUUGGUGUUGACACCGGCUUAGCACCACACAUAGUUCCUCGGUCAAGUAGGUCGCGAAUAUAAUUAUGUUGCGAAAGAAAGAUCCCACUCGGAGUAGGAAUCACUUGAACACCCAGAAAUAAUAGAGGGGUCCAAGGUCAUUUAGAGAAAAUUUAUUGGAUAGAGCAUGAAUUAACCUAGAGAUGACGGCGACAUUAUUAUCUGUGAUCAAAAUAUCAUCCACACAUGCUAGCAAAUAGAUAAUGACGCCAUCAUAAAAAUAAAUGAAUAACGACACAUCUGAUUUAGACUGAACAAACCCAUUGGCAGUGAUAAAAGACCUAAGCUCAGUGUACCGUGCACGUGGUGCUUGCUUAAUCCCAUAUAUGGCGUUACGAAGACGACACACAUGAGUAGGGUGCACCCAAUCAAUAUCAAUAAAACCAGGAGGUUGUCGCGUGUAAACCUCUUCAUGAAGAGCACCAUGAAGGAAUGCAUUGUUAAUAUCUAAUUCUUGAGUAGGGCACCCUUUAGCAAGAGCUAUAUUCAAGACUAAGCAAAUUGUUGUUGCUUUAAUUACUGGACUGAAAGUGUCCUUGUAAUCGAUGCUAGGGCAUUGAUGGAAUCAUUUCGCAACGAGUCUAGCUUUAUACUUAUCGAUGCUUCCAUCUGAACGACACUGAAUGAAAAUAUUCACUUGCAACCUGCAAGGUUUUGGGAGGACGUUGCAGGAACGAGCUCCCAUGUGCAAUUUUGUAUUAAGGCAUUGAAUUCAGCGGACAUUGCCUCUCGCCAUUUCGGAUAUUUCAUAGCUUGAGAGAUAGUUGUGGGCUCAAGAAAAUGAGGUAAUGGAUGUGUGGUGGUGGCAAAGACUUGUUUUGGUUUAUAAAUGUUGUUUUGUGAUCGUGUAACCAUACGAUGGGUCCGUUGUGGUGGUGGAGGCGAAUAGUUAGGAGUAUUAAUGGAAUAAGAGGAGAGUAGUGAGGUGUCAUUUUUGGAUGAAGGUUCAAGGUUUAAAGAAUGAUCAUUUAGAUUGUGAGAGAUAUGGUCUGUUGGUGGAACAAGUAUAGGAUUAGAGUUGGUAGCUAAUGGUGAAGAGUUUGAGCUUGUGGCCUUGUGGGAUUGCUCUCAAUAGGAAAGAUCUUAUGUGGUGCUAAAUGCAUUGGAUGCAUAUUGGACUGGCAUGAUGACUUAGGUACUGGGGUCAUGGAACAAGGCUCGAAGUUUGAAGGCGAAGCUGUUGAAAAAUAGAAACAGCAGGAAACUGAGAUUUAUCAAAUACUACAUGCCUUGAAAUAAAUGUUUUAUUAGUAGUUGGGUCAAAUAAUUUGUAGGCACUUUGCGCAAGAGAGUAGCCAAUAAAAAUGCAUGGACAAGAUCAUGAGUCAAGUUUAUGCUCGAAAUUUGAAGGCGAAGCUUUUGAAAAAAUAGAAACAGCAGGAAACUGAGAUUCAUCAAAUACUACAUGCCUUGAAAUAAAUGUUUUAUUAGUAGUUGGGUCAAAAAACAUUUGUAGGCACUUUGCGCAAGAGAGUAGCCAAUAAAAAUGCAUGAACAGGAUCCUGAGUCAAGUUUGUGUUUAGAGUAAGGACGAAGCCAAGGAUAGCAUAAGCAUCCGAACCGCUCAGGCAAUUUGGUCGAGAAUCGCCACUCCGCCGCCGACUUCAAUCCGUCGCAUGCGUGCUACCUCCCUUCUCUUGAUGCCAUACGGCUUCAAGAGAAACCGGCCACCUUAAUUAAUUAGCCUCACUGUAUGCUAAUUAAUUAAGCUUCAUGCACCCUCCAAGAACCGUACGGUUCACAAGGCCGGGAUGCUAAUUAAUUUGGCCUCCACCGCUCUCACCAAGCGGUACAUGCAUGUAUAUAUAUAGAGAUGGAUUAGAUCAAUCCUACUCUAAUUCAAUGUAAUCUUGUAUGGAAACCAAUCCUAGUUCAAUCAGGACUCCAACUUAAAUUAGGAUCCACCAAUAAAAAAAAUCCUCAUGAGAUCCUUUCCUUUAUUCCAUGCAUAUACCCGGUGCAUGGACCAAACCAAUAAAAAAAGAAGGCAUAAUCUCUAACACCAUCAACAAAUCCCAUUAGAUCGUAGCCAAAAGAGAAGCGCAUUAAAUUGUGCACGCCAUGACGGAUAAUUCAAAGAUAUUAUUUUAAGAGGCAAUUGCGUUGUUGCAUUGAUAGAGAUAAGACUGGUGCUUGUAUUCUGUGGUAAAGAGGUGGAGGCUACGUGAGGAGGACUAUUAUUUGCAGGAUUCUCUUUUUCCAUAGCAGAGUAUGUUGCCAGUUAGGCUUGUAACUCUGAUACCAUAUAAUAAAAAUAUUGGGUUGAAAGAUUAGCACACAUUUAUUUAUUAUUAUUCUUCAAGAUAAGUAUAUAUAUAUAUAUAUAUAUAUAUAUAUAGUAUAUUAGUAUUUAGUAGUAGCAGGCUGCUGUGCUCUCAGGAGCACGGGAGGCCUCCGUGCUUCUGAGCGUUUUUGAUGAUAGAAUUUUCGAAUCGAUGAUCGGCUUCGUUAGACUGAUCUAGCGCAUUUGAAGUUUUUAGAAAAUAAUUUUUGCGUUUUUGAUAUCAUUUACCUAGUGAUCGAAAGGAUUCAAAUUUCAUAAUUUUAAGGUUGAUAUCUGUCAUUUUCAAGUUUAACGGUGUAGAAGAUUCAAAUCAGUUGAAAUUUUGAUACAAAAUUCUUUUAUACUAUCUACAAACAAAAUCAAUAUUUCUGAUCGAAAAUAUUUUGUUUAUAGGAUUUUUAUUUUCAGCCGUUAAAAAUUAUUGAUUUUGAAUCCUUACGAUUGCUAGGUAAAUGAUAUCGAAAAAUCGCAAAAAUUAUUUUCUAGAAACUUCAAAUGCGCUAGAUCAAGUCUAACGGAGCCGAUCGUCGAUUCGGAAACUCCAUCAUCGAAAACGGCGCAGGAGCACGGAGGCCUCCGUGCUCCUGAGAGCACAGCAGCCCUGCUCUAUAUAUAUAUAUAUAUAUAUAUAUAUUGGAAGAAUGAAUGUAAUAAUUAUGUAAAUUUUGUAUUUGAUUUAAAGAAAUCAAGAUACAACGUAUGAAUGUUUAGUUAGUUUACUAUCACUUGUGCUUGUUGCUUGCCCUCGUGCAAGCCAUGUAUAUUGAAAUGUUAUCCUGGGAGUUGUUUAUUUCUUUAUACGUGUACUCGUUGUUGUUAAGCUUUGGGCGGACAGGGAAGGUGCUGUCCGUUCAGCAUCUGUGUACGGGUCCGGAUCGACCAAAUUAACGAUAGCGGGACGUGACAGAUAAAGUCUAUCGCCAAUUUGGUCGAUCCGGGCCCGUACACAGACGCCGAACGAACAGAACCUCCUCUGUUCGCCCAAGGCUCAACAACAACAACAAACAUGUAUAAAGAAAUGCCCAGAAAAAAUUUCAAUAUAUAUGGCUUGCACGAGGGCAAGCAACACAAGCAAGUGUAAGUAAACUAACUAAAGCAUUCAUACAUUGUAUCUUGAUUACUUUAAAUCAAAUACAAAGCUUACAUAAUUUUUACAUUCAUUCUUCCAAUAUAUACAUUGCCAUCUCUCAAAUGAAUAAUUUACAUUUACUUUCAUCAACUAUAAACAGAUGAAAUAAAUAAGGUACAACUAUACUCAAUGGAUGUCCACUAUCUAUGGAACACUGUCCAUACCACGAUCCUUGAUCCACCCCGCACGAGCUAGAACCUGCAUGGUUAGUGGGGUGAGAACUACUGAAAGUCCCCAGUGGGUUCGGCCGCCGACCUCGCCGAAUCACCCACUAGGUCUAUUUAGGCAUAUGUAGGCAAAAAAAGAGACUAGAUAGUAACCAGCUAUAACAUGUAACUACUACAAUGCCUGUACAAAGCUGAAAUCAACAGUAAUUACCAUAUGAAAUUGAUGCAUGCAUGCUGUUAAUCAUUAUUACUCAAUCAAACUGGUUAACCAUUUGGUUAACUAUAACUCACUAUAAAAUCCCUAAUAUCGGAGAGAAUUCCGCUACUAACCCGACGGGACCGUCUGCUGGACAAGUACGUUAGUCCAUGGGCAAGUACGUUAGCCCAUCGUGUGACAACUCCGGAGUGCACUGCUUGGGUGGAGCGACCACCGCCAAGCUAAGAACAGACUAUGUGAGUAUGAUACAAUCCUCGCUUAGAGGAUACAUUGACAAUGCCACACUUUAACUCUAACUAGCUCUUUAUGCUAGUUUUACAAUUCCAAUCUCGAUGCUAACCAAUUCUCUAGUCAUAAUGUCAUCAACUUCACUAUUGUCAUGGUCCACAAUAAUCCACAAUAAAUUCACACAUUCAUAGGGUUCUAUGUCCAUAUUCUAUUGUUCACAUGUUCCUUACAUUGACAGAAAUUCAAUUGCAUAAUGAUAAUUUCCCUAUAAUGCAUCUAUAUGUAUGCAUAUGUAUGUAUACUUGUGAAUAGUUGUUGGGAGAAUGAAACUUGAGCUAAGUAUCAGGAUUGGAACAUGAAAACCUGAGGUAAGGCUGGUAUGUAAGUUCUCUAAACUACUUGAAUUGAGGCUUGGAUGAUUAUAUAUUUCUAUACAAGUUAUGUAGUAGCAGAUUAUGUGAAACCUAAGCUCGAAAAUAUAUAUAUAUAUAUAUAUAUAUAUAGAGCAGGGCUGCUGUGCUCUCAGGAGCACGGAGGCCUCUGUGCUCCUGAGCCGUUUUCGAUGAUGGAGUUUCCGAAUCGACGAUCGGCUCUGUUAGACUUGAUCUAGCGCAUUUGAAGUUUCUAGAAAAUAAUUUUUGCGAUUUUUCGAUAUCAUUCACCUAGUGAUCGAAAGGAUUCAAAAUCUAUAAUUUUUAAUGGUUGAUAUCUGCCGUUUUCAAGUUUAAUGGUGUAGAAGUAUUCAAAUCAAAUGAAAUUUUGAUACAAAAUUCUUUAUACUAUCUAUAACAAUAUCAAUAUUUCUGAUAAAAAAUUUUAGUGCUAUAUCACCACUUUUUAUAGUUUUUUUAUUUUUAGCCAUUAAAAAUUAUUGAUUUUGAAUCAUUUCGAUUGCUAGGUUAAUGAUAUUGAAAAAUCGCAAAAAUUAUUUUCUAGAAAUUUCAAAUACGCUAGAUCAAGUUUAACGGAGCCGAUUGUCGAUUUGGAAAUUCCAUGAUCGAAAACGGCCCAGGAGCACGGAGGCCUCCAUGCUCCUAAGAGCACAGCAGCCCAGCUCUCUCUCUCUCUCUCUCUCUCUCUCUCUCUCUCUCUCUCUCUAUAUAUAUAUAUAUAUAUAUAUAUAUAGAGCUAGGCUCCUAUACUAUCUAUAAUAUUGGGGCUCCGGUACUAGUCUUGUUUUCAACCUUAGAGUUUUCAAAUCAAUGAUCCAUACCGUUAAAACUGAUCUAGGGUAUUUGAAGUUUUUAGGAAUAAAAUUUUAUAUUUUUUCGACAUAGUUUACUUUAUGAUCAAAGCGUUUCAAAAUUGUCAAAUUUCAAUGGCUACUAUGGCAAGUUUGUAAUUUAACGGUGUAGAAGAAUUUAAAUUUAUUCAAAUUUUGAUAGAAAAUACUUUAAACUAUCAAAAUCAAGGUCAACAUUCUUGAUCUUGAAUUCAAAAGUUCUAUGCUCAAAUUUUAAAGAUUAUUUAAUUUCCACUGUUCAUUUUGACAUGAUUUACUUACUAAGUAAACGAUAUCGAAAAAAACAAAAAAUUUAUUCCUAAGAAUUUCAUAUAGGCUAGAUCAUAUUUAACGGUGUGGAUCGUUGAUUUGAAGACACUAAGAUCGAAAACAAGACUAUAGUACCGGAGCUCCGGUAAUAUAGAUAGUAUAGUAGCCUAAUAUAUAUAUAUAUAUAUAUAUAUGAGAGAAUGUUCUAAAGACUAAUUUACAAGAAAAAACAGUAAGGCACAUGGCAAAUAAUUAUCAGCUUGAUAUGUUUCCUUCUAUAGGAUGAUCCAAGCAAUUUCCCUACAAGUUGGGGUGAUUUUAAUAGUUUCUUUCUAUGGCAUUGCUGCAUUUAUUUUCCUAUUUUGAGGAUUAGAUUGCUCUAUUGAAUAUGAUUGAGAUUUGUUUCCUUCUAUAGCAUGCACUAGGUGCACGGGUGUAUAUGAGAGGGAAAGAGAGAAAGUCUUCUCAUGAUAUAGAAGACAAAAGAAGAGUUAGUGAAAUUCAAAAAGAAAGCUCGGGUUGAAACUAUUUUAUGUAAAAGAGGAGACAAUUGUAAUUCUUUUCUUAGUUAGUAAAUAUUAUUUCACCUAUAUUUUUGCUGUUUGAUUAUUUCUUGGUGAGAAUAAAGGUUUAUGGUAAAAAUCAGAUUGGACGCUUUUGUUGCGAAAUCCUAACAAUCAGUACGUGAAUGAGUUCCAAAAAUUUACAGCCAGUGGUAUGGGAGUAGGUUGCGAAUUCUCAACAGCUCAAACCUACUCUUGGCAUCAUUGCAAUUAGGUGCCACCAAGAAGUGCUUUCAACUCUUCUGUUGGAGCUUUUGGUGUACAAAACAUGUGCAUGACUUCAAAAGCUGAAACUCAAGUAAGUAUGAGAUAUAACAAAAUUAGGUUGAACCUCUGUAAUGUCCUUGUGGUGCCACCCUUCAACGUUGACGACAAAGCCACUCCGGAGAGAAGAGAGGACAAAAGAGGAGAAGAAAGAUAGAAUGAGGGGACGAAGCAAAAGGAGAAAAGCGUGGCAUUUGCCCAAUUUAUUCAUUUCACAUAUUGUAUGGAUAUGAAAAUACUAGGCAAACGAUGUUUACGCUAAACAAGUUCCAAUAUAGAAGGACUAACACGAAAGCGAAACUCAAACAGCAUGUAUCUAGCUCCUACGUGGAAAUUAAAACAGAGGACCUUGUGGGUAUUAUUACAUUUAACUUUCAAACUACUGCAAUGCAACUUUCGGUCCUAUUUAUUUCCUUUUCGAUAGCUUGGCAUUCUUGCUCUUUGAAGGCCUUAAGUUACAAUCUAAAUUAUUUACACAUUUCUUUCUCUUUGUUAAAAUUGUUCAUUUCCUUGUAGCAGCCUUUUACUGCCUUCAACAUUUAAUUAAUUAUACCUUCAAAAUUUAACUGUAUAAAUCACGAUUUUUCUCAUUCUUAUAAACUAUUCUCAAAUAUAUUUCGUCCUCCAAAGUUGACUCAAAAGUACUACUUAGAAGUUUCUACGUUAAAUGCUCGAUACUAACAAGUUUUCUGCUUCAGGGCAUGUGUUUGUUAACCUUAGCAGUUUCUAUACCAGCACUGAAGCCACCGCCAUGCAAAGAAAGCUGUCCGCAAGCUUCAACACUACAACUUGGCGUAUUUUUCGCUGGAUUGUACAUAGUUGCGCUAGGAAACGGUGGAACAAAACCGAACAUUUCGACCAUCGGUGCGGACCAAUUCGACGAGUUCGAUGCUAAAGAACGAAUGCACAAACUUUCCUUCUUCAAUUGGUGGUUCUUUAGCAUCUUCCUGGGGACGCUCACUUGCAGGACAAUGUCGGGUGGGCAAUUGGAUAUGGUAUUCCGACAAUUGGUCUAGUGAUCUCGGUGGCGAUUUUCUUGGUCGGCACACCAUUUUAUAGGCACAAAGUGCCACAAGGGAGUUCGUUCGUUAAGAUGGCGAGGGUAUUAGUUGCAGCAGCAAAGAAAUGGAGGCUUAAGUUACCUAGUGACCCGAAGGAACUCCAUGAGCUGGAUUUGGGCGUUUACGAGAAGAAGAGAAACUUUAGGAUUGAUUCGACCAACUCGAUGAGGUUUGUAAGAUUUUAUUUAUUUCUGAAAUGGUGCAUUCUUAAUAUUAAUGAUGAAGAGGGCACCAAUAUGUAAACUUGAAUUGUUGAGUCAAGGGGUAAAAUCAGCAGAAACAAACUACGACAAAAAUGCUAAGAUCUUAUACUAAUACAUUGUCAAGUUACUACGACAAAAAUGCUAAGAUCUUAUACUAUUCACAAACAUCGCAAAUUAAGCAUUCUAUUAAGAUCUUAUACUAAUUACAUUGUCAAGUUACUAAUUUUCAUAAACGAUUUCAGGUUCCUGAACAAAGCUGCCGUUAAAGGCGGUUCUGACACCAAGUGGUCCUUGUGUUGCGUAACACAAGUCGAGGAGACAAAACAAAUUCUGCGAAUGCUUCCGAUAUUGGUCACAAUGUUCAUUCCAUGCACAAUUAUCUCUCAGACGAAUACCCUCUUCGUCAAGCAAGGCACGACUCUAAAUCGACACAUGGGUCGUCACUUCCAAAUCCCUCCGGCAAGCCUAGGAGCGUUCGUAACACUAACCAUGCUCAUCUGUGUCGUUCUCUACGAUCGUUACUUUGUAAAGAUCAUGAAACUGUGGACGAAAAAUCCAAGGGGGAUCACGCUCCUUCAAAGAAUAGGAUUCGGGUUACUCCUCCACAUCGUCACAAUGCUCGCUGCGUGCUUUAUUGAAAAGAAAAGGCUAAGCGUCGCAAGAAGUCACGGGCUAGACAGAAGUGGGGGCCAAGUUCCGCUGACCAUAUUCAUAUUACUUCCUCAAUUUGUUUUCAUGGGAGUAGCAGAUGCUUUUCUAGUGGUGGGGAAGAUAGAAUUCUUCUAUGAUCAAGCCCCGGAAAGCAUGAAGAGUUUGGGGACUUCAUUUUCUUUGACAGCUUACGGUGUCGGGAACUUCCUCAGUAGUUUUCUCCUUGCAUUCGUGUCGAAUAUAUCGAAAAGAAGAGGCAAGGGGUGGAUAUUGAACAAUUUGAAUGCCUCGCGCCUGGACUACUACUAUGUGUUUCUUGCAAUCCUCGGUGUUAUUAAUUUCAUCUUAUUCUUAGCUCUGAGUCGCAUUUAUAUCUAUAAGUUGGAUCUAUCCAAGUCAAUUGAUGUAGUGACUGAAGAUCGAGGGGCAUCGGACUGCCAAGCAGAGUCGAAGAGUUAAAACCGUCGUCGAAUAUAUAGCUGCUUUUGGAUACAGCAAUAAAUUUGUAUAAAUGUAUCACUGUUAUUUGGAUACAUUGAUAAGUUUGUAUCAUCUUUCUGUUUCACCAGCCAUAUGUUUCAACAUGUCACACUUAUACUAAUAAGAACAAAUUAUGUAUUAAUGCUUAUAUAUAUAUAUAUAAGAUAAUAUUGAUGCCCCAGUAAUAUACUUUCUUCUUUUUUAUUUUUUUAUUUUUUUUUGAAAAAUCUGAUAUAGAGAUAACUCACCACUCACCAGAGAUGAAAUUGAUUAUUAAUUUCUGCGUCCUGCUUUUCUCUGCUGUAAUCCGUAAAUUUUAGUUUAUUGCAUUUGCUGGUUCAAACUAUGAAAUUGUUCUAAUAUUAGUCGUAAAUUAUAGAUUGGAUGGGUGUUGUAGUCAAAAGAUGUUUUUCUCAAUGGGGAGGGAUUGGCCCCACUGGGACUUGGUCCAUAAAAACCACGUUUGGUUCGUACAAGAGGAGAAAUAAAUUCUUCUUUUCCUACUGGUUUUCGAACGCUGUGUUUGGCAUUUGAAAUGCAUAGUUUUAUUUUCGGAUUUCUGGAAUAAGUCGGUAUAACCCGGUAUAGGGCUUGAACUGUUGUUCCAUCCUUUUUUCUAGACAAAACUUAUUUCCAAGUAGAAACAAUUAAUUUUAAUUAUUGUAUUAAAUUAUUAAUUAAUCUAAUUAAUAUAGUUGAAUCAUUAUUCAUUGCUUAAAUAAUAAAAUAAUUAAUUAAUUUAUUAUAUAUAAUUAAUUAGCUAAUUAAUUAUUAAUAAUUUAAUUUGUCUAUCCAUAAACUAAAUAUUUAUAUUGAUCAACCAUUAAUAUUUCUAUUAAUCUAAUUAAUUUUUUACUAGUUAUCCAACUUAAAUAAUUUACUAACUAAUUAAAAAUUUAAAUUAUACUUUAUAUUUAAUUAAUUAAUUAAUAUAUUUUUAUUAUCUUAUACAAUAUUCAUAGUUAAUGAAUUUAUUAAUUUAUUAAAUUAUUUUUAAUUAAUAUUUUGAUGUUAAUUAAUUAGAUUUUUAAUUUAAAAUUAUAACUCUUAUUCCUCUUGUUCCAAUAUAAUCAUCCAAAUACUAUUUACCUUAUUCUAAAAAACAACCAAAUUUUCAUUUAAACACAAAAUUGAUCUGAUUCCCUAUUUAUAUCUGAAACUUGUAUUUAUCUCUGGAAUUAGCAGUUCUUAUUUAUAUCCGUACCAAAAGUAGCCUAAACAUAUACCACUGUGACAAAGUUGACAUAUCUACCUAAACAUUGUUGACUAACUAGAUCCUUCUAAAUCAAAAGGUGCGUAUAAACGAAUAAAUCAUCCCAUAAUAGUUGAGGCCGAUCAUCUUGCAGAAGGAAUUUGCUAUCCCUAAAUAUUGAGAUUAUGCUAUUAUCUCUCUAUGAUAUGUAACUAGAGAGAACAGAAAAACAACUUAACAGGGAACAAAUCCAAGGUAUCAAGGAUCCAGAACUUUUUCAAAUAUCUAGUAUCCCUCAAACGCAUCAAUGAUGAUAAUAAUGAUGCGUUUGAGGGCUUGUUUAGAUGUCAGAACAAAAUAUCCAAUAAUAACAUUUUUCUCAUGUGAUUGGAAACUAGAUGUUUAAUUUUUUACUCGUUUAAAGGUAUUGGCAUCAACAGUACGGUAGAAUACUUCACUUAUCAAAUUAUCUAUUUUAUAAUGAAUAAUAAUUUGCCUCAUUUGUCAAAUACUAUAUACUUCUUGAUCGAGCAGAUCAAAAGAAUGUUCUGAAUAAGUUAAUACAUGGGACUCGUUUCGUUCGUGCUAUACAAUAUUUCUAAUUAGUUCAAUAUAACUAGAAAUUUGAUUCCUGCAUACCAGAUUACUACUAAUGCUGUAUCAUAGAUUAUGGUUCAGUGUAGUAACGUAACGGCGGGUUAUUGCACAGGCAAGAUUGUUGUAUUUGGUUUAUCUCAUAGAUUUAGGUAAUCCUGGCAACAAAGUUUAUACUAUUUCAAUUCAAUAAUACCCUUGCAAUCAUAUUCAUUUAAAAUUUCAAUGUAAAUUUGAAAUUCAAGGACCCUAAAAAUAUCAUGUGCUAAAUUAGAAUGGGCAAGCAUGUUCCCCACCGUCUCCCUACCCGCUACUAUCCUCCCCGACGCGGUGGUCCUAGUUAUCCCUGUCCACCUGCCCCUCGUAACCCUCCACCCCCUCCUGUCCCUUGCAACCCUCCGCCCCCACCCUUUUCCAACCUUGCCCCUGCUUCACUUGGAGAGUCACAUGUCCGUCACGGGUUCUCUUUCAAGGAUGCAAUCUUGACCCCACUUCCCUUUCGCCUCUCUCCCCUCUCGACCCAGAAAGUCGCUGCCCUAAUCCCUCCCUUCCUCCCCACCCACCCAACUUUCUUCUCAACCCUUUCCUUAAGGGACGCUGUUUUAGGUGCUUUAAGAGGGGGCAUCGUGCCGCCCAUUACAGAGAGCUGCGGCACUGCCUCCGCUGUCACGCUCCCGAUUCUUCAUUUUUUCGGACACGCUAACAGAUCCGGCGUGUACAAAGAAAUUUCUCCUGUAUACGAAGCGAAGCUGUACAUGUACCUGCAAUCGUACAAUACUACGACCAGUAGUAUAGAGUUGCUAGAAAGGAACAAAACAUAAAUAAAAAUAGAAGUUCACUAUACAUACAUAACAUCCAGGUGUACAAAACGCUUGCUCCAGCGAGAUACAACAAGUAUGUAUAAGAACUCAAAACUACCACUACCUGUAGCUGGUAUACUCUAGAUCAGCAGCAACUGGGAAGGGAUCUAACUCGAGACUCCCUUUCCACGAUCUGAAUCAGUAGCAGCAGCAGCAACCGAAGAAGAAGGCUCUGCAAAAGAUUACAACAACUAGGCGUGAGAACUACUGUAAAAAGAAGUAGUCUUCAGUGGGUACCGCUACCGACCUCAACGGCUCGCCCACUAAGUCUACAGAUGUAUGCUUAAAUGAUAGUAAGAAAACUGAAAACAAUCUACAGCUAUAUACCACUACACUAUCAUGAUUCGACACUACUAUCUGUAGAAUGAAACAAGCUGAUCCAAACUCACUAGGGACUAUAAAUAUACCCGUCCCAGGGACUGUGAGUACACCCGUCCCGCCUGUCGAAGCUAUACAGCUACCUCCACACUAAACAGUCCGUGGAGAGCAAGUCCAACCAGGACACAACGACACAAACGCAAACGCACAAAGCCCGACUCCGGAGUGGCACUUGUGGGCGCUACACAACCAAGUAUACAAGCGUAUCUCUGUCGAGCUGAAUCAGGCUCUCACAGGCUAAGAUCAAAGUAAAUAGGGUCCAACUGAUCUAACAACUAAACUCACGUACCCUCGGCAUAAUCUGAUGCAAAAAACAGCAAUCUGGGUCCACCGUCAACCUCAACGGCAUCCGACAGUUCGGAACAGCCUAAACACUGCUGUAAAAAUAAGCUCGGCAUCCCAGCACGAGCGUAAUUACAUUCUACACUAUUCUGGGUAUCCACCACCUACUAACUGUUGUGAUACAAUCAAACUACGGCUCCUAGAGCUAAAUCUGGUAGUUUAAACAUAUGACGUUGUAGAAUCGCUGGUUUUCUCCUAAGUCAUAUCCAAGUCCAACAUAUAUAUAUAUAUAUAGCUAACAUAUUAGGCUCCAAUUCAGAUUUUAAUCAUGCUAAACCAAUGAAUCGAGCAACUACAAUAUGCUAAGCAAAACGACGUAUACAUGUUGACUAUAAUCAACUUAGAAGGAAAUCAGCAGAAUUCGGUAAGCAUCACAUUUAACCCACCUCUCGCGCAACUCCACGGCAGCAAUAAGGUCACGAGUAUGCUGGAAGCCUCAGCCGAACACACCCUCAACCAGCAACAAAACACUUUAAAGAUCUAAACACCAAAAAUCACCAAAAUCUAUCAAUCUACUAAAAUUCAGCACUUAAGCUUAAUUUUCUCACAACUCCAAUGUCAAAACUCACCUAGCAAUCUUCAAUUCAGGUGAGGAAGGUUCCAAAUCCAGUAGACUAUGAUGGAGAAUCACCCUCUGAUCCAAAACCCAGCUUCCUCCAAAGAUUGCAUCAAGAACACCAAAACAACUAAAAUCAGUCCAAAACCACCAACAGCAGAGUAAAACUCAAAAUCAACCAAUCUAACCUCAACCAAAAUCUAUCAAAAUGGGCUCCACGAAUUCCUCUUGGAGUCCUGAAUCCACCAAACCAAGUUUCAUGGAAAACGGAGCUUCCUACGUUGCACACGAGCCAAAACGCCGGCGGUUGCUGCUGGAAUUCUGCUGGAACUACAGUCCUCAAGCUUCAAUUUGUGGAAUUUGGAGAAAUUGGAGUAAGCUAAGGAGUUUGGAUGCAAUCUAAGCCUUCACUGUGAAGAGAGGAUGAAAAGAGUUCACUAGGGUUGAACUCUAGCUAUUUGUAGUGAGCUGGAAGGAUAAAAUAAGCCCCAUAAACAAACACUACAAACCUGCUACACCUGCAGGAAUGCGCACUUUCGGGUGCCCAAAACCCCUUUCUGGGCAUCCGAAACCUCCACGCUACACCAAUCCUCUUGGUCGGUUCCUCCGCCUGCAGUCUGCUGCGCCCAUAUUCUAGCCCGGCGGACCUCACCUACCACCAGCCAUGCGUCAGCUUAAACGAUAUUCAUGAGGUGAACUUUCGGACCUACAACCGGGCGCCCGAAACCAAGAUCCGAAUUGGCUUCCAGUUCAGUUCAAACCAGCACUCAAGUUCUGGGCGACCAAAUCUAGUUCUGGGCACCCGAAUCUGGCAAAACUCCAGUUUUGUUUAUUUGAGUGCGCCGAGUCCAUUUCUGCAUCCAUUUCGUGCAGAAACGACUCUGACUCAGUCUGACACUCUCCAAAUGUAUCGACCAGUCACUAAUACUAUAGCCAAUCCUAUCCAAACCUCAGGAACACUACAUCCUUCCCCACUACAAAAAGUUUCGUCUCCGAAACUUAAAUUCAUACCUCAAUCCGGAGUAUCAAACAGGUAGGGGUAGGACUCUAGCAUCACUGUCUCCGGCUCCCAAGUCGCCUCCCGCUCCUCGUGAUUACUCCAUUGCACCUUUACAUAAGGGAUGACCCGGUUGCGCAAUUCUUUCGUCUCACGAGCCAGAAUUCGCACCGGUCGCUCCUCAUAUCUCAGGUUCUCGCCAAGCUUUAGCGGUGUGAAGUAAAUCACGUGAGAGGGAUCGAAAACAUAUCUCUUCAAAGCCGAGACGUGGAAAACAUCGUGGAUGCCGACUAGCCACGGGGGUAGAACAAUCCUGUAAGCAACUGGCCCAACUCGCUCGAACACCUCAAAAGGGCCAACAAAGCGUGGACUCAACUUUCCACGCACUCCAAAUUUGCGUAUGCCUCUUGACGGCGAGACUUUCAGAAACACAUGAUCUCCAACCUGGAACUCUAAGUCUUGUCUCUUGGUAUCGGCAUAGCUCCUCUAGCGGCUCUGGGCUAUCAAAAGGUGUCGUCGCACUGCUCUAACCUUUUCCCCAGCCUCUAGUAAAAUCUCAGGCCUAGCGUCUUCCUUUCACCUACAUCACUUUAAAACAAAGGGGAUCGACAUCUGCGCCCAUACAACGUCUCAAAUGGAGCCAUCUAAAUGCUCGUUUGAUAGCUGUUGUUGUACGCAAACUCAGCCAGUCUCAAAUGUCGAUGCCACCCUCCUCCAAAGUUCAGGACACAUGCCCUCAGUAUGUCCUCCAGAGUCUGAAUGGUCCGCUCUGACCGAUCAUCCGUCUGUGGGUGAAACACCGUGCUGAAAUGUAACUGAGUACCCAAAGCUGUCUGAAGACUCCUCCAAAAGUGUGAAACAAACCUCGGGUCCCUGUCUGACACGAUCGAAAUCAGUAUACCUUGCAAUCUCACGAUCUCAUCCAGAUAUAGCUGAGCGAGUCUCUCCUUAGACCAGGUGGUGUAAUACACUGGAUCUUAGCAAAUCGCAAGAUUCGAGUGUUUGAUCUGUGUUUGGAGCUUUCCCACAGUUUUUGGAGGAUCGUUGAUAGUGUCCCGACCCCUGGCACGCAUCCCGAGGAUGUUGGAGUGGGACUUGGCACCAAAAUUCCAAAAUCGGAAUUUUUGGACAGCUCUCGGGUAGCCUGCAGCAGGGCUUGUACCGGAACAAGACUGGCCUUGUACCGGUACAAGGGUUGAUGGUUGUACCGGUACAGCCAUCGGACUUGUACCGGUACAGAGCCGCAGACCGCGCGACCCGAGCCUCGGGUUUGCAAUUUCGUCGGCCUUGUACCGGUACAAGAGCCCGUGUACCGGUACAAGGAGGCAGAUUUCGUGCAGUUUGUUCUGCAGGGGUGUUUUUGCUAUUGUAGCAAUACUAUAACAGCACCCACGCCCCUAGGGCUCUUCUUUGAGCUUGCCACUGCAGGGAGCAAGGUAAGGAGAGCUUAUCUUUGCUUCUCUUUGGUUUUAAUCUCCCUCUAGCUUAGAUUUUGAAGGAUUAAUCCCUUUUCUUUCCUCUUUUAUGCUUCUCCACCAUUGAUGGAGCUAGAAGCUUGGAUUUGGAGCUAAGUGGAGGAUAGAUCUUGGGAUUUAAAGGAUUUAGAGCUUGAUUUGAAGCUUCUAAGAGGUAAGCAUUACACUAUCUUCCUCUAGAUUUGAGUUUCAUUGGAUUUCAUGAGAUGAAACCCUAGAUUGUGAUAUUAGGGUUUAUUUUGGGCAUUUUGAAUCUAGGGCUUUUGAAGCUAGAUUGAUCGGAUUAGAGGCUUCCAUUAGGUUGGAUUGGAUGAGCCCUAGCUUCAUUUUGGAGCUUUAGAGGAGAUUUUGCACUAGAGGUGAGUUCUUCUCACCUAUACUUGAUUAGCUUAAUGAUUGAGCUAUUGAUGGUUCGUUUCGUUCGUGUGACGCAUGUUUCUCUACCUCUAGGGUACUAGGAGACUAGAGGACACCCUCGUUGGAGCGCACGAGGAGUUUCGUUGCCAUCGGUGGGUUUGGCUUCGGGGAAAUGGGGCGAAAUGACCCCUAUGCUCUUUCUACUUAUUGUAAAAUAUUUUUAAGUUCAUUUCUAUGCUAAAUGGGAUUUAUAUGAAUUUUAGAGCACUUAAAAUGCAUGCCUCGUGUAUUAUGAAAAUUUCACUAUAUAGUAGAGCUAUAUGAGUAGAAUGCAUGCAUAUGGGAAAAGUGUUUAUUUUACAAGUGGAAAAUACAUCUCUUAUGAGGAUUAUGACUUGGAAUAUGUGCUUUGGAACAUAGUUGCCAUGUUUUGACAUAGAAAACAAGAGUGUCAUAAAGGGGCACUCGAAACUAGUGAACUAUGGAACUGCAACAUAGAGAUAUAUUGAUAGGCCUUUGUACAUCUGCUAUAUAUAUUCCAUGUUAAAGACAUGAUGACAUAGAGAUAGGUCUUUGGGACUGUCACGCCCCGGGACCGGCGGAGGCCCUCCCGGUAGCGUGCCCAGACCCGCCAUAUGUCUGCACAUAUAAGGCGUCUACAACAAAAGCGAAAGUAAAAGCAAGAGAUAGAACAAAUAUAGGAAAUGAAAUAACUAGCAACUAAUGAUAUCAGAGCAAGUACAGAUCUAUCGUCUACACCAAGUAAAGAAAUAAAGCUAGACAAUAAAAGAAGCCAUAAGUAGUACAAUAUCUAUCUCAAAAGUACAACAACGGUGGUCUCUAGUACACUGGUAGAACUCUCAACCUCCCGCAAAAGGAAACAAAAAUCGAGAGGUAGACCACCUAGCAACUCGUCCUCGAAGGAAGCUAGCUCGAAGCAACUCCCUUCCCGCGAUCCCUGGCCUCACCCUGAGUGGAAGGCUCUGUAAAACAUCGAGAAAAAGAGGGCGUGAGAACUAUAAUUUAUAGUUCCCAGUGGGCAAUUACUGACCUCAGCUCUAAGCACCACUAGGCCCCAAAAGGAAAGGGUAAGUACUAUAGCAAUAAUAAGAGUAAUAGCAACAACAAUACGAAAGCAUAAAUGAAGUGCUAAACCGCUAUAUCUCAAGUAAACAUGAUGUCAUGGUGAUGUACAUCUCGUCCAUGUUUAGAUAAUAUGUCAAUAGCAUAAAGAGUAAGCUCUAACCAAGCAACGAGUAUCUACGAUGCAUAAUGAAAACGGUAAGUACGCUAUAUGCCAAUGCUAGUAAUCAUGGCAUUGUCAAGUAUCGAACUACUAAACCAUCUAGUAGGUGAAUUAUUAUAUUUGCAAACUGUCGAUUGUCCAUUUCCAAUUGGGGACUUCUACCAAUAGGAUAGUCCAGUUGUGCCGCCUAAGUGCCUGUGGGUUAGCCGACAUUCCUACUUCUGGAUGUGUCUUCCCACUCGGACCGUAGGCUUCUCAAUACCGCCACGAACGAACAUAGUCGCGUAGGCUAACUCCGGAUGCCGGUCGGCUUGUAGGAGCGACCUCACAAGCAUGAUGACGAAUAGCCACAAAUGGCAGCAAGCAUUGUCAAGUUCAAAUAAUCCAACAUCAUGGUCCCUAACAUGGUAUCAUAUACUAGCAUCGCCGAAGAUUUACUAAGUCACAAGUAUGAAGUUUCAAAGUUUGCUACGCGUCUAGUGCCCUGAUGAAACUUAGGCAAUUUGAUGUUCGACAUGUUUUCCAAAUCCCUCAAUGCCCUAUCUAUAAAUUCACACAAGUCCUGAGCUCAAUGAUCGCUGAUGAACUUAGGCUCUCCAAUUUCACAUGAUAUCAAGUUCGAUGCCUACAUAUGAAGCAAUUGUCAUCUUCAUGUCUCAAUUAAACUUAUGUUUAAACGCAUGAUCAUAGCUCAUUUAUCUCUAGAACCAUGAAAUCAAACCCCUAUAGAAUGCUAAAUGCAACGCAAGAUCUCCCAAACAACUCCUCUACUACAUAGAGUCCAAAGAUACAUCAUAUAUAACAUAUGUUAAGCAUUCUAAAAAUCAUAAUAAAUACAUUUAAUUGAAAAUGCAUAGAUUAAUUAGUAACAAAGCACUUAUCCACAAAUAUGAGAUUUUCUCAUAUCAAAGGCUAGGUCAAACCCACGACGACAAACGAAGCUUUUCGGUUGCUCCGAUGGAGGUAUCAUAGCUUCCUAGCACCCUAGGAAUAUCAAAAGGGUGUCAUCAAUCGAUACGAAGAGUAAUAAGCUCGAUCCUUUAACCUAGGAGCAAAAAGGGUCAAACUCACCUCAAAGUAGAAAUCUUCUAUUAAGCUCCAAAGAGAGCUAGGUUCAACCAAUCAAGCAAGGAAGCUUCUAAACCACAAUCUAGUCUCUUAAAGCCUAGAAUCAAAAUCCCUAAAUAAACCUAAGUAUCAAUCUAGGGUUCGCACAUCAAAAUUUUCAGCAAAAAUAUGAUCAAAGCGUCAAAUCAUGUUGCUAACCUCUCUAGAAGCUUCAAAUCAAAGCUACCAAAUGCUUAGGUUCCAGAUCUCUUCCUCCACUUAGCUCCAAUCCAAGCUCUUGGCUUCAACCAUGGUGGAAUAGACCAAAAGCGAAAAAGGAGAGAAGAAUCUAUCAAAAACAUGCAAAAAGGGGAUCAAAUCCAAGUGGUAAGGGUGGAGAGGAUUCCCUUACUUUUUCCCUGCAGUGGAGAGCUCAAAGAAAGGCCUAGAGAGUGGGUGUGAUAUAAGAGACCCACAAACGCAAAAAACACCCUGCCAGUACAAACUGUGCAGAAUUUGUCCUCUGUCCGGUACACGCGGAUCUUGUACCGGUACAAGAGCUACGAAAUGGAAAACAAAGGCUCGGUGCGUGUCCUGCGGCACUGUACCGUGUAAAGACCCGAUGGCUGUACGGUACACAUCAACUUGUACCGGUACAAGACCAUCCUAUGUACCGUACAAGGACUGUGAAAAUGCAAACCGAGGCUCGGGUUUGCGAGUUCUCGGUCGUGUACGGGUACAGGCCCACCUGUACCGGACAGCCCGCAGACAGCCAAUCGAGAGGCUGACCAAAAUUCAAAUUUCUGCGGUUUUGGUGCAAGGCUUUUUACCACAUCCUCCUCGGGACCCGUGCCAUAGGUCGGAACACAGUCAGACCUACAGACUAUGAAAAAAUCUCCGGAUAUCUGUCCAAGCACUCGGAACUCGCAAUUUUGCAAGGUCCAGUGGUCAGCAUGGGGCACUGCGAUACAUUCCAUGUUAUUAGAAUGAGGAUUGUACUUGCGACGAUUGUUGACUACUUGCCAGUGCUCUAUUCGCCAAUGCUUGUGAGGGUCGUUCCCUACAAGCCGGCACUCCGGAGAUAGCCAUCGCGAUACAUAUUCGCCGUGCGGGAUUGUGCGCCGAAGUGGAUUGCCGUGGACAGGCUCAUCCCUAGGGUGGGGAUGAUGACUACACGGGGCCAUUAGGCUCGGCACCGGCCAGACAGCCUACGGGUGGGUCUCAGGGCCAUAGACAGCCUUCGGGUGGGUCUCUUCAGAUUGGGCUAUAUAUAUAUAUAUAUCCAUUAUGACAUGUGGACAGAUGACGACUUAGUGUACUACUUGGACAUUGAUUAGAAUAGUAAACAACGGAACUUCACUAUUUCACAUUGUGAACAUCAUGAUAGUUGGAGACAUUUACUUUAUGCAUAGUUGCUUUCAUACUUAUGCUAUUCAUGCUAAGUAGAGAUAUCAUGUCGUAGUAGGUUACAUAUUUACUUACCUGUCGCCUUUCUACUUUUAUUGUCACUGACAUAUUUUGUAGCUUUGGGCCUUGUGGUGCAUGCACUGAAGUCAGUAAUUGCCCACUGGGAACUAUUUUUAAUAGUUCUCAUGUCCUCGUUUUAUGGUUUCCUUUUCAGAGCCUUCGGCACCGGCGGAGGCACGGGAUCGCGGCAAGGGGAUCGCGUAGCUAGCUAGCGAGGAGCUUACUUGCCUAGGUGGUUUACUCUUUCUUUUGUAGUUGAGAGAGAGUGAGAGUUUUGUACCCUGUAUAGAGACCACCUAUGUAUCUACUCUUAGCACUUGUAUUUGGAAUUUCCUCUUGUAUUUACUUUAUGCCUUAUUUAGUGGAUUUACAGCUUUUCCUCACCCUUUGUUGUAGCAUUUAGACAUUUAUUAUGCUCUGAUACUCCUAGAUGUCUUUUAUUAUUGCUUUUAUUAUUGUUGUUUUUAGACGCCUUAUAUGUUGAAGACAUAUGGCGGGUCUGGGCACGCGCCGGGCGGGCUUCCGCUGGGUCCCGGGGCGUGACAGGUGGUCUGUACCGGUAAGAAGUGAGCAGACGUAGUUAGUCUGUCCACUAUCAUCCAAAUAGCAUCGAAACCACUCUGUGCUCUAGGCAAUCCCAUGACAAAAUCCAUCAUGAUCUGCUCCCAUUUCCACUCGGGCACUGGCAGACUCUGAAGCUUGCCAGUAGGUAUCUGAUGCUCUGCCUUUACUUGUUGGCAAGUCAGACACUGAGCUACAAAUCUGCCAAUGUCUCUUUUUAUUCCAUUCCACCAGAAUUGUGCCUUCAAAUCCUUAUACAUCUUGGUUCCAGUAGGGUGAACCGUAUAAGGUGAACAAUGAGCCUCUUUCAAAAUAUUCUCUCGGAUCUCUGAAUCCACAGGCACACAGUCGAUCCCUGUACUGCAGUACUCCUGAACUGUCCACAGCAAAACCCACAGCCUGUCCCCUCUCUAAUUGCUCUCGAAUGCUCAGUAAGUGCGAGUCUCAAUUUUGUUUCUCCCGGAUCAUAUCGAACAGAGUGGGCUGCAAGACCAUAGACAUCAGUCUCGCAGUAGACCCAGGGGACAGAACCUCAAGUCUCAACUGCUGUAGCUCCACAAGCAACGGAGUAAUCAUCGUGGAACGGAGUAAUCAUCAGGCUCAAGCUCUGCACUUACUUCCUGCUUAACGCAUCUGCCACCACAUUUGCCUUGCCGGGAUGAUACUGAAUACUAAUGUCAUAUUCCUUCAGUAACUCCAACCACCGGCGUUGCCUCAGAUUCAACUCCUUUUGGGUGAACAAAUACUUGAGACUUUUAUGAUCAGUAAACAUCUCGCAGCGCUCGCCAUACAAGUAAUGCCGCCACAACUUUAAUGCAAAAACCACUGCAGCGAGCUCCAAGCCAUGCGUAGGGUAAUUCUUCUCGUAAUCCUUCAAUUGUCGGGCAGCAUAAAAAAUUACCCUACCAUGCUGCAUCAACACACAGUCCAAACCACUAUGCGAUGCAUCACUAUAGAUCACAAAUCCUUCCCCCAUCACAGGAAGGGCAAGGAUAGGAGCCGACGUCAACCUCUGUCGCAACUCAUCAAAACUCCUCUGACAAUCCUCAUUCCAGAUGAACUUAAUUUCUUUACGAGUCAAUCGAGUGAGGGGUAUGGAAAGCUUCCCAAAGCCUUCCACAAACCGACGGUAAUAUCCAGCAAGUCCAAGAAAACUCCGCACCUCUGUCACCGUCGUCGGUCUGGGCCAAUCCUGAAUAGCAUCAAUCUUCUUCGGGUCCACUGCUACUCCAAUUGCAGAAAUCACAUGGCCCAAGAAAGCAACCUCCCGUAACCAGAACUCGCACUUCUUCAACUUGGCAUACAACAUCUUCUCUCUCAGAAGCUGUAGUACAAUCCUCAAGUGCUCCUUAUGCUCGGUAUCACUCCGGGAGUAUAUAAAAAUGUUAUCUAUAAACACAACCACAAAUCUAUCCAGCAACGGCUUGAACACUCUGUUUAUUAAAUCCAUAAAUGCAGCAGGAGCAUUUGUCAAUCCAAAUGGCAUCACGGUAAACUUAUAAUGCCCGUACUGAGUCCGAAAAGCCGUCUUGCGAACAUCCUCGGCCCUCACCCUCAACUGGUGGUAACCUGACUGAAGAUCAAUCUUCGAGAAGACACAAGAUUCUUGCAGCUAAUUAAACAAAUCAUCGAUGCGGCAAAGGAUACUUGUUCUUAAUAGUAACUUUAUUCAGCUCCCUGUAAUCCACACACAAUCUAAGUGAACCAUCCUUUGUCUUCACGAAUAACACCGGCGCUCCCCAAGGUGACACACUGGGUCUCACAUACCCCUUAUCCAUCAGAUCCUGAAGCUGUGCCUUUAGCUCUCUCAGCUCUGCCGGUGCCAUUUGAUAAGGUGCCUUCGAGAUUGGUGCAGUUCCAGAAACUACAUCAAUCACAAACUCGAUCUCUCUCUCCGGCGGCAUCGUCAUCAACUCCGGGAAAAACACAUCCGAAAUCUCACGGACUAUAGGGAUAUCCUCGAGUCCCGGCGCCGCCGUAGGCACCUCCACAACCGUAGCAAGAAAAGCAACACAUUCUCUACUCAUCAGUUGUCGAGCCCUCACCGAAGAUAUCCAAGUGGCAAACAACGUACUCCUGCAGCCUUUAAAACUGAACUCCUCCUGGCCUGGCUCGCGGAACAUCACAGUUCUCGCUCCACAAUCGAUAGUACCAUAGUACCGCGCCAGCCAAUCCAUACCGAGCACAACGUCAAAGUCCUGCAGCUGCCCUAAGACCAACAGGUUUGCGGACAUGAUCCUAAGACCAACAGGUUUGCGGACAUGAUCCAAAAAUCUAACUGCACCGGACAUGACCAACAACACUCCGCAACCUGUAAAACAUGGUCGGGGAUCUGCACCUUUCGUGCAUGAGACAAUGACCCUAACUCUAGACCACACAACAAUGCAAAUGCUUGGCUAAUAAAAGAAUGCGAUGCACCGGUAUCAAAAAGUGUACGAGCUCUAAUGCCGAAAAUCAAAAUGAUACCUGCCACCACUCGGUCGGUUGCUGUAGAAUUCUCCACCUGAGCUGCAUAUACCUUGCUGCUCGGAGCUUGCUGUCGUCGCUUACCCUGACGCGGUACAGAUGCUCUAUCCUCCUCACGGUAACUCGGCGGUACCUCGUAAGACUGCUGGGGUGCUGGCUGAGCUGAUGCUGUCGAUGGUGCUGGUGAUGCUGCUCGGGGACAAGCUGACCUCAUGUGUCUAGGCUGACCACAAGUAAAAUAGCGGCCCUCUCUAUGCUACUCGACUAUCCUCCGUUAUCUGGAAAGGGAUGCUUUCUUUCCUGACUCUGCCCCGGCACCUGAGUCCUCUCCCGAAUAGAUGCAUCACCUCGCUCUACUCACAGGGCAUGCUCUAUAGACGCGUCCAAGGUCCUCAACCUUUGCGCCUAUACAAACCUGAAAAUCUCGGGUCUCAAACCUCGCUCAAAUAGGUAAACCCUGUGCUCCUCAUCCCUGGCCACAAAUGGGACAUAGUUCAGAAGUCGAGUAAACUCUCGGAUGUACUCCUGAACUAUCCGCUCCCCCUGCUUGAUCUUCUUCAGAUCCUCCUCGAGCUUCUGCUUUACAUUAUUGGGAAAAUACAUCCUAUACAGUAUGCCACAGAACUCAUCCCAUCUCAUCUACGAAGACACCACCAACCCGUAGUCUCUCAUCACGCUCCUCCACCAUGCAUAUGCAUCACUUGCCAAGCAGUGAACUCCCAGGUGUACUUGCUCCCGCUCAGGAAUGAACAGAUCCUCAAACAGUUUCUCCAUCAUGCUGAUCUAGCUCUGAACCCUGGCCUCUGUGCAACUGCCAUCAUAGGUCGGCGGAUCAAAACGACGAAAGCAGGCAAGUCUCUCAGCUAUCCGCUCCUGCUCAGCCUCAGUCAGCUGUGGUGCCUCACCAAAAGAUGCAACUGGUGCUGUAGGAAUUGACACUGGUGGAGGUACUGUUGCAGUUGGGGCUGCCACUGGACUAGUCGGAGGUGGAACUGGCUGCUCUGGUGCUGUACUCUGCGGCAGAGAUAACUUCCUACACAUCUUCUGUAACAACGCCGCCUACUGCCUCGUCACCUCUGUCAAGGCAGCAAACUGCUCACUCAGAUCAGGGGGUGUACUCGUCUCUGGUCGUGCACUGGGCUCUGCCUGCUCAGGCAUCACAAGAGGUGCGGCACGAUUGUAACAUACCAGAUUUUGGUAUAAAAAUAAAAAAUAAAUAAAAAUAGUGUGAGAAACUAUUUUUAUUUGAUUUAUAGAAGUAAAACAUAAGUCAGAAGUGACUUGUGCUGAAAUCGGAAUGAAAACAGAAGAUCUAGAAUUUUCUGUUGGAAACGGGACAAAUAAAUUAGCAGAAAGUGCACAAUCUCAGAAAAUUAUGAAAAGUAGAGGAUAAGUGGGAAAUAUUUUUAUGAGGCUAGAUUUAAAAUUUCAUAUUUUUCUGACACCCGUAGAGUGAGAAAUAAAAUCCGACAGCUAUCUGAUAAAGAUUACAGUUCGGUACAGUUUUCAGUGACCAAACGAGGUCGAAACUGAAAACUUAAGAUAUAUUCUUACUUAGUACGUUAAACAGAGCCUGUCUGUCAGAUUUGAGCCCAAACGGACAUUCAGAAGGGCUCCAACUGUUCCGAACUGCUAAACUGCUGCCCGAAAUGAAUAGUGUAAUUGUUGAGGGGCUAUAUUGUAAAAGAGCAUUGCUCUUCUUCCUCCCUCAACCGUGCAGCCCCGACACACCCGCACGCCAUAGACACACACACGCAAGGAGAGGAGAAAGAGAAUCCUCCCUUAUCUCUCUCUAAAUUCUCUCCCAAAAGAGAGGGUUUUGGUGGAGAAGGAAGCUUGGAGGAAAGUUAUCUUUUUCAUCUUCCUCUUUAGCCAUUGGAGAGCAAGCUUUGAAGGUAAGCUUCAAAACUCUUUAAUGGCAUUUCUCCCUAGUUUGGUUUUUAAGCUCUAAGAAUGGGUUUGAGGUAUUCUAGCAUGCUAAUUAGAGGUUUGAUGCUUGAAACCAAGGCUCUAAUGGUGGGUUUUUACCUAGUAGUAAACCUAGGGAUCAAAAUGUAAUUUUUGGAAAUAUGAUGAUUUGAUCUAAAUUGAACCUAUAUAAACCUAAUUGCUAGGUAAACGAACGCGCCGGCGAAGUCGGUUCGGCGAUUCGUCGAGCCGGUGCGAAGUUAUUAAAGAAACGGACGUUUAGGCUUCAUUUCCGCCUGGAGGGCCGAGGCGACAUCGUAAACUCAUGAAAACGGAUUUGAAGCAUCGUGGCACAUAACCGAAGACCUUUAAUUUCUGGAUCGUGAAUUGGAGGCCGUUUGGGUGGUCGCGCGAGAGAUCGGGCCAAACCGGGUGCCGGGUGCCGCUGGCGGCCGAUUGCAAGUGUCGACAAGCAAUCGGAAAGUAUUUUGAGGUGGGUUGUGUUUACCGAAGUGACUAAGUCACCUUCAUGUCAAAGUGAAACAUGAGAUUCAUAUAGAUGCAUAUUAUUAUGUAUGCUAAUUGAUAGUGCAUGAUGAUGCAUUGAAGUGCAUGCUAGUUGAUAAUGAAAAAUUGAUAUGUUGAAGUAUGUGCUAGAUGAUAUUGCAUAUGAACACAUGAUGACAUGAUAUAGAGAACAUGAACAUACAAAUGAAUGUUAACGCUUUGUUAAUCAUGUGAGUUAUGAGAUCAUGUUGGAUAAUGCUUAGUGACAUAAUGAGAAAUUGUUAAUUAUAUAUACACGUUAGCAUUAUGUAAAUGUAUGCUAGUUGGUAGAACACAUACUAGUGAUAAUUGCAUAAUAAUGCAUUGGAAAGUACAUGCUAGAAACUAGAUGCAAGCGAGAUAUAUAUGUGCAUUGGAAUGUAUGCUAGGUGCAUGUAGCAUUAUGUGAGCCGGUUGGAUAAAAUGCAUAAGUGCAUCAUGUGAAUACAUGUUAAAUGGUAUGGCAUAUUAACACUAUGAAAAAUAUAUGCUAGAGGAAAAUGUUUAGUGACGUACUAAGAAUAUGUAGCUAUAACUCGAUGUGGACAAUUAGGUGUCAACUAGAUCGAGUGGCAUUAACUUAGUGUAUUAAACAUAGGUCAAAUGUAAACCUAGGGUCGAGAACCUAGGAGGAGCAAGAAUGGCAUUUAACCUAGUGUCGUGAACCUAGGUUAGAUCGAGUGGCAUUAACCUAGUGUCAUGAACAUAGGUUGACAUUGAUCCUAGUGUUGUUGAACCUAGAGUUAAUAAAAAUCUAGGUAAAGAGGUAUUAACCUAGUUUAAAGAACAUAGGUUAUGUGAUGAGGGCGUUAAACCUAGAGUCGGGUAGACCUAGGGUAGAAAGUGCAUUGGAUCUAGAUAGGUCGAUAUCAUAGGGUUUGAGAUUACCCUAGAGACUUGGAAAGUCGAUUCCGGAAUCUUAGGAUUGUGAACUCGUUAGUUCUAAAGCCGUGGGGGAAGUUGGCAAUGUUCUCCUCCCACUGGAUGAACUUCGAGGAUGCGCUUAAGGCUGAUUCGAGGCCGCGGGUCGAGUGCGGCAGGGUUCCCCCUCCCGUCGGCAGAAUCGUGCUUCGCUAGGGUUGUGUGUGGCAGGUCCCCUUGCCUAUCGGGGGUCUUGGGCCGCGGGGUGAGUAUGUGGCAUAAUCCCCUUCCCACCGGAAAGAUCCCUGACCACGGGUGUACGCAGCUCUGGGCGACCCGUUGGGCGAUGAGUGUAUAGAUUGAAGGCUGAGGUUCGAGUGAGGAUUCCUCUACCUCGAGCAGGACAGAGCGCGGACUAUCCGUAGUUGAUUGACUCGAGGCCGAGUCGGGUGGCUAGUGGUAAUGUGAUGGAUCUAAGGUAAUAGAAACCUAAGAGGUUAGUUGGAUCUGAGCGAGAUAGCAAGAUAGAAGUAGAAUCAAGUGAUUUACUUAUGAUAGUUGCAUAAUUGCAUUGUUGCAUAUAGCAUGGCAUUGUUGUAAUUCUGAGGCAAAGCAUGGUUUCAUUAAUUGCAUAAUCAAUAUAUAUAUAUAUAUAUAUAUAUAUAUAUAUAUAUAUCUGUUUAUUGAGCUAACCUGCAUUGCCUCCUUUGAACCUGAUGGCCGAGCUUUUCCCUUGGGUGGCCGUACCCACUGAGAACCAUGGAGUUGGUUCUCACCCUACGUUGUUUUGGGGUGUUUACAGGUUCGCACGUGAGCGGCGUGGCGGCGCGAGGAAAGGGUGUGGCUCUGUUGAUAGCGCCCUACCCCAAAGACUAGAGCUAGAAGUACCCCGUCGACAUCGCUUAGGGGUUAAGAAAAUGAAAAGAACAUAAUGUAUCAAAUUUGUAGUAAGUAAAUAUUGUAAUAACUUAGAUUGCAUUUGGAUGAAAAGAAUGGUGGUUGAGAUAUAAAAUGCAUGAAUGUGAAUGAAUGUAAUAACAUAGGAUGUGUUUAUGUUGUUUGAUACCUUCCUUAUGCAAUCUUGAUUGAAAUGUGUUCCUGUUUGGAGCUUCGUACAUUGUAUUGAUUGCAAUGCCUUGAACGUACAGGGGAGACUCUGUUCGCAGUACAGGGAAAACCCUGUCCGUUCGGCGGUCUGUCGGCGUGCCCGAAUCUGAUCAAACAGGCGGGGCUCGGGGCGUGACAGAUAAGAUGGUAUCAGAGCAUAAAGUAGAGAAUGGAGAAAUGGUUUAGAUGACCUAGGAGACCCUAGGAUAGUAAAAACCAUAGAGGCUAAGGUUCGUGAGAGACGAGGACUUGAGACGUGUGGCGAAAGGAUUAUGGAUUGGGUAGUGUUAUUAACCUCUAAGACGGAUAUUAGAGGUAGACUUGAGGUGUGCUCUAUUCUCAACCAAGGGAGUUCAUGUUGGCGCACGACAACAUGAAACCAAGCGAUGAGAAUAGACGCCCUCGCAUGACUUUCGCCUGAUUGACUUUUGAGUUUUGUUAAUGGUUUCGUGUUUGACCCUGAGGGUCGAGAGCUAAUCGAGUUGUCCUGUUUCAGGAAGCGAUGGCACCGCGCAGGCGAUCUUCAUCCAGAUCGGCGCGAGGCGGGACAAGUGAUGUCCCUGAGCAAGUCGAGGCGAGCGGAGACCCGAUGCUCCGUGAGCAGUUGAAUACGCUCAUGGGCGUAGUGCAGCGCCAAGAGGAGCAGAUCAAGGAGCUCCAUGAGUUGUUGGCACGACAGGCUGCGGCGGCUCCGCCGGUAGCUGCGCGUCGUGUACCGUCAAGAGCAGCGGUGGAUUUGGGGGCUGUGGCCCCUGGUUCUGUAGGGAUGGAGGCGGAACGGGAACGAGCUGUGGCAGUGCUCAUGGCUUUCAAGAAAUUUAAGCCGCCUACCUUUCACGGAGAGUCGGUGGAUCCGUGGAUCAUGGAGAUGUGGAUUGACUCCAUGGAGACUCUCUUUGAGAGCUUGUAUACCUUGGAACGAGACAAGGUGAACCUAGCUGCACAUUGCUUAGAGAAGUCGGCGAAGGUGUGGUGGAAAGACGUCAAACGGGAUCGAACGCCUAGUCUCCCUCCUAUGACUUGGGAUAAGUUUCGGGGAUUGGUAUUCUCCGCGUAUUUCCCCGACAGUGAGAAAAAAAGGCUUCAAGAGAGAUUCAGGAAGCUGCGCCAGGGAGACCGUACUGUGAGGGAAUAUGAACAGGAAUUCACCCGUAUUGUGAAUUGUGUUCCAUAUGUGAUGCAGGAUAACAAGGACAAGGCGGAUUGCUUUGUGCGGGGACUUCGGCCGGAAGUGUUCCAUUAUGUGCAUCCAUUCAAGUUGCAGACAUUUGCCGAGGUCGUGGACCGAGCCUUGUGGGUAGAGCAAAGCGAUGACUUCGUGUGAGAGGAGCGCGAGUUUGAUGAGCAAGAAGCUAAAGCAGUGCGACUGAGAGACCGUUCAGGUGGUCAAUCAAGUUCUAGGUGACCCACGAAUCAGUCACAGUCUUGAACCCCGAAGUUGUCUCCUAGCCGGUCUUCUUCGGGAUGUGUGAUUUGUGGUGGAUCCUAUAGUGCGCGGCGAUGUGCGCUGCGAGAGGGAAGAUGUUUUUAUUGUGGGCAAGCAGGCCACACGAAGUUUGAUUGUCCCAUGGACAAUGGACAACCCUCGCCGAUAGCGAUGGCAUUCCACUCAUCGGGACAGCCCGUGGAUGUGCAACCUUUGGCACGGUCUGGAGAGCGAGGUGUGAGGAUUGGGCAGCCGGAGGGCGCGCGGCGAGUGCAAAGUAGCCAGACAUACGUGACCCAGGUUGCGGAACCUGCUGCUGCUAGGGAUAUCAUCGCAGGUAUGAUUUAAUUGAGGCAAGUAUACACUUCUGCAUGAUAUAGAACUGAAGCAUUGCAUGCAUUUACUUCAUAAUUGUCUAUUACUACUUAUGCAUAAAUAUAGUAGAGACUGGGAGGGGUUAGUGUAGCUACCCUAGCAUGCAUAAAUCGUGAUAGUGCGUCGCCUACCUAAAUGGAUAGGUGAUUGGUUAGUUGCCGAGCAGGGGCACGUGGACCUAGUGGCACCUCUAAACGAGGUGGGUAAGUCGUGCUCGUGUAGUCGGUGUGCAUAAGCAGGGUUGCCUAAUGCUGAGCUUAGUAUACGGCGUGUAGAGCGCUCGAGCGUGGAUACUAAUAGAGUACGAUUGUGACCCAACCCGGGAAUCUGUAACGGUUUAGGAUCUUAGUUACUCCUGGUUGGAGUGUGUGCGAGUUCCCAAGUGAGAAUUUCGCCCGAUAGUGAUUGGGUCUAUGAUAGUAAGCGAGACACGCUAUGCGUAGUUCAGACAGGUUUAGGCGAUAGACCUAUGUAGGAUUAGUGGUCCUUGGUCCACCUAUGAAAACCGAUGAUCGAUGCGGCCGGAAAUUGGGCUUGGAUUCACGAACGGAGGAUUCGUGUGUUGUGAACGUGGCUUAUAGUAUCAAAGGAUAGAGAGAAGGUAAAGUGGUCUCUAGGAGACACUUGAGUAAUGAAUAGCCGCGUCAGGNAUUUUCAUAAUAUUAGAUAGUUACAGCUAAUGUAGCUAUAUAUAUAUAUAUAUAUAUAUAUAUAUAUAGGGUGAUUUGACUAUGACCAGCUUAAUCGGAGGUGGUCUUAAUGUAAAGGGCGUAAUUAAUCGGGUACCUGCAGGUAUCUGAGAAGCAUGAACUCUUUUAUUUCUGGUUAUUUUUUUUUUUAUGCUAUAUAUUUCUUUUCUUGUGUUAAGAAAUAUGUAGUCAAAAAAAAAGAAGAAGAUAAACUAAAAAAAAUAACUAUAAAAAAAAAACUGCACCCCUUAAUAAAUUACGACUUCCACACCUUAACACCUUUUCAUCUUAAUUAUUUAUUUAAAUUUUCUCGUUUUUCCGUCCGUUCAUUUUUCGGGAAAACAAAUGGCGACUCCACUGGGGAAUGCUUCUCUUCCCAUCUUUGCUGAUCAUUUGAUUUAAUACCCUUCUCUAUUUUCAAAUACUGACAAAUAUUUAUUUUUAAUAGAUGUUAGCUAUGGCGAACAAUUUGUGAGUCGACGCCUGGAUGCCAACUCUGUCUUUUUACCAAUUCGUGCAAUUUGGGGCACAUCCAACAACUGUCAUCAUCAUCUGGGGCUCAACUGCUAUCGCCCAUUUCACUAAAAAUCUUAUGCUUCACUUCAACCGCAUGGCGAGGCGCAAGAAGCGAAGGAGAUGCAAAGGAAAAGCUGUUGCGGGUAGAACAGCUUUAAGGACCCAACUUCCUUUACAGAAAAUUGUGACAUCAAUCCUUUACAAAAUAUCGAUAAGCGAGCUGGGGGCAGAAAUUGUCCAUUCAAUGACUAAUUCAUUUAUCUCAACUCCAAAAUCAAAAAAAGUGUUUCAUACCAUAACUACUUCAUUUAGUGAAAUGAAAUAUAAAUUACUUCAAACUGCUACGUGGUAUGAUCUAGAAAAUAUGAUUUGUGAAUUUGCAUUCCCCGAGGCUUUCUCGGCAACAUCUGUAAAGAAGGAGUGGGGACAGAAUCUGGUCUUGCCUACUUCGAACCGUUUCUGUGUCUUUACAAAAGAUGUGCAACCUUCUCGUUAUAAUGUACUUAAAAGGCUGACUGCUAUGUUUUGCACCUCUUUAUUUUCAGGGUGUACCCGAUCUCAAAAAAGGAACAUCCGAUGGACGAGAGAUUGCCUUCACUUCAAACUGCUACGCGAGCGUACCCGAUCUCAAAAAAGGAACAUCCGAUGGACAAGAGAUCGCCUUCGCUGUCGCCAGAUGCAUGAUGAAUUAUUUACAAAAUAUGAAGAGAUUAAACUUUCAGCAGAAAAGAAAGAGAUAUUUUUAGCACGAAUUUCGUGUGCCAUCAAAAAGGACAUCCCUUUUCUAUAAAUUGCUGUAAGAGACAAACACGACGAGCAAAAAAUUUACUCUAAUGAAGAAUCAAAACUGCCAAAUGAAGAAUCAAAAUUUGCACGAGGAGUCGCGUUUCAUAAAGGUAAGAUAAUCCCAUUGACAUUUUCAUGUAUGAUGGUAGAAACAGGUCCUAGCAGGGGGCAAGGUGAGGAGGAAAAUCCUUAUCCAAGUCAACCUAGUGGCAAAAAUUACGAAGCCCUUUCGGAAGAUCCAUCUAGACUUCAACCGCUGACUCAAAGAGCCAGAGCUGGAGCCAACACAAGAUUGAAAUUGGCUGCAAUGAGUCGCGUGGCAACUAAUGAAUCUGGCAGAGAGCAAAACUUAAUGCUUCAUUCACCUCUCGAUUUGGAAGAUGAUGAAGAGGAAGACGCAGGAGACAAAGAUCUGGUUACCAUCGAAAAGUUGAUUCGCCGCAUCGAAGAGAGGGAUAAUCGAAUUGACCAGAUGGCUAAUCAGAUGAACACUAUGAUGGAUGCCAUGAAUACGCUGCUAAAACAGCAACAACAGCAACAACAACAACCACAAGCUCAUCAUCAAUCAGCUCGGCAGUCGCAGCUUACUGAACAAGCUCCUGACGCAAAUCCUUGGAGUAUGGAGCGUCAAGGCCCUCCAUACCAACAUAAUCCUACUGCUAAUGAACCAACAACUUCUCAUGAGGUUCCUAUAUCAUCAAUGGCCCCUUCGGCUUUUCAACAACUAAUAGAUAACAUUGUCACGUCUAAAAUUAAACAAUUGUAUCAAGAUAAAAAAACGUUGCUAACAGAAGGUGACAAACCAUAUCGAACAUGGCACGAUCAUGUCCUAUAUCCUCCUAAUUAUCAUCGUCCCAGAUUUCAAAUGUUUAAUGGAACUGGUGAUGUACGAGAGCAUUUGAUUCAUUUUGAGGCAGCAUGUGGGGAUGUUGUUACAAACCCAUCAUUACUUCUUCGGCAAUUCUCGCUUUCAUUAAAAGGAGCUGCUUUUUAUUGGUAUAGUAAGCUGGCCCCGGGGUCUGUUUUGAAUUGGAAUAUGAUGAAAACUCUUUUCAAGACACAUUUCAUUUCAGUCAAAAGAGACGUCUCUCUCGGUAAGCUUGCAGAACUGAAGCAGGGGAGAGACGAAAAGGUUGAAGAUUAUGUUGCGAGAAAUAUGAUCACCCUAUAUCCUGAUGAAUUAAAGCCUACUCAAGCAAUAGAGCUUUGUACCAAAGGGAUGCAAUCAUGGUAUUCGAUGGAGGUAUCUAGAUAUAAGCCGACUAAUAUCACUGAGCUGAUGAUAGUGGUGAGAAAUGUGGAGCUCGAAUAUCGAAGAUCUCCAGAGAUACUUGCACUGUACAAAAAUGCAAAGGCAGUUGAUGAUACAAGGAAAGUGCUGCCACACUACGAUACCUAUGGAGUAGAAGUGGAGGACGCUAUCAGGGAAGCAAAUCCUGAACUGUGCGAACACACCAAUUUGGGCCCAAGGCUACACAUAGAUUGAAGCUGCUCUUGGUGAACCAUGGUAAAAAAAAAAAAAGAAAAAGAAAAAAAAGAACCAUUGUAAAAAAAAAAAAAAGGGGAAUACCAUCUACAGAUGGAUAGGAAUGGCGGCACUCUUACUUCUAUACGCCGGGUAUCACCCGAUCGCCACCUGCACCCCCAGGUGGAUAGCAGUGACGGCAUCUAUAUUUUCAUACAUCGGGUAUCACCCGAUCGCUACCUGCAUCCCCAGAUGGAUAGCAGUUACGACAUCUAUGUUUUCAUACAUCGGGUAUCACCCGAUCGCCACCUGCAUCCUCAGAUGGAUAGCAGUGACGGCAUCUACAUUCAUACAUCGGGUAUCACCCGAUCGGCACCUGCAUCCCCAGAUGGAUAGCAGUGACAGCAUCUAUAUUUUCAUAUAUCGGGUAUCACCCUAUCGCCACCUGCAUUCCCAGAUGGAUAGUAGUGACGGCAUCUACUUUCAAAUACAUCGGGCAUCAUCCGAUCGCCACCUACAUACCCGGAUCGAUAGUAGUGACGGCACCUAUAUUUUUAUCUAUCAGGUUCCACCCGAUCGCUACAUGCAUCUCCAGAUGGACCGCGGUGACGAUGUUUUUUUUUUACCUCCUUACCUCAAGAUCAAUCUUAGCAUACUGGCACACCUAGAUGUCCCUGCCCGAGUGGUCAGUGUGUUCUUCUUCGUGGCAACAUUGCGGCCCAUAUAGCCAUUGAGUCACUUCAAGCUAGUCUUCGGUACACUCUUCGGUAGUCCCUACCCGAUCAUGUUCAACCUCGUCAUGCUAGCACAAGUAGUACACCCAGAUGUCCCUACCCGAGUGGCUAGUGUGUUCUUCUUCGUGGCAACAUUGCGGCCCAUAUAGCCAUUGAGUCACUUCGAGCUGGUCUUCGGUACACUCUUCGGUAGUCCCUACCCCAUCAUGUUCAACCUCAACAUGCUAGCACAAGCGGUACACCCAGAUGUCCCUGCCCGAGUGGUUAGUGUGUUCUUCUUCGUGGCAACAUUGCGGCCCAUAUAACCGUUGAGUCACUCAGAGCUGGUCUAUGGUACACUCUUCGGUAGUCCCUACUCGAUCAUGUUCAAUUUCAACAUACUGGCACAAGUGGUACACCCAGAUAUCCUUGCCCGAGUGGUCAGUGUGUUCUUUUUCAUGGCAACAUUGCGGCACAUAUAGCUAUUGAGUUACUUCGAGCUGGUCUACGGUACACUCUUGGGUAGUCCCUGCCAGAUCAUGUUCAAUCUCACCAUGCUGGCACAAGUGGUACACCCAGAUGUCCCUACCCGAGUGGCUAGUGUGUUCUUUAUCGUGGCAACAUUACGGCCUAUAUAGCUGUUGAGUCACUUCGAGCUGAUUUACAGUAUCUUCGAUAGUCUCAACAUGCUGGCACAAGUGGUACACCCAGAUGUCCCUACCUGAGUGGCCAGUAUGUUCUUUUCGCAGCAACUUUGCGACUCGUAUAGUCGAUGAUCCACUUUCACAACUCCUUUAUUUAAAAAAAAGAAAAAAAAAGAAAAAAAGGAAAAAAAAAGGAAAAAAAGAAAAAAAAAAAAGGAAAAAGAAAGAAGAAAAAAAAAAGGAAAGCUCACCAGCUUGGGUGUUCUAUCUUACUUCAUACCCAAUCCGGUGGGGGGCAUUUGUUGGGCCUGUUUGAAAUAAUAUAAGAGGCCCAACUUAGGCUAGUUUUGAUCCAAAUCUAGACUAGCUACCUAAUAUAUAUAUAUAUAUAUAUAUAUAUAUAUAUAUAUAUAUAUAUAAUGAAUAAAAAAAAAGAGAAAAGAAAAUUGGGGAGAGAGAGAACAAUCUGAUUCUUUCUCUCUUUCUCUCAUCUCUUUCUCUCUUUUUCUCUCUUUUUCUCUCUUUCUCUUUCUUUUUCUCUCUUUCUCUCUUUUUCUCUCUUUCUCUCUCUUUCUCUUUCUUUCCCUCUUUUUCUCUCUGUCACGCCCCGGGGUCCCUUUUAGUUUGAAACACAACGGAAAAGCGUCUAAAUUUUUUUUUUAUUUUUUUUUAAAGCGUAACCCCAGGGUAUGCCAGAUCCGCAAUAAAUACAGAAAAUUCACUGUUCACACGGACAGAGUCUUCCCUAUAUUUACACGGCGUCGCACAAGUACAAAAGUACAAACAGAGUAUAACCAGGAUACAACCACAAUACAUGAAUAUACAAUACUCAACAUUCAUUCACCAUUCACCAGAUAUUUACCAUUCAGUGUUUAAACAUAAAAGCCACGAGAAAACUCUUUUGAAAGCUGUUUUCCACACGGAAACCUUUUCUUUUUAAAAUACGCUACCACGAGGGGUAGAAAACUAUUUUUCCUUUUCACAAAAUCCACGAGUUCUAUAGUUUAUUCAAAAUCACAUGAAUUCGAAUAAUAUAAACCAACUGAACUAUGAAAUAUUAAAGCUAUUAAUAACAAAAGUAAACAGGGUAGGAACUAAACCAACAAACUGGGUCGGAAGCUCUAGCGACCACUACAAACGUGUCUCACGUCUCGUCUCCGCUCAAUCUCACCGCUCUGCCAAUACCGAAAAAUGUGGGAGGUCGCGAAGAAGCAUGUUAAACAUGUGUCAAAACCCUCCAGUGGUACCGGCAACCUAUGAAGUAGAGUACUCCACCGUUACCUCCGAGGUCGAAGAAAUAUCGAGCUUUAGCCAAAUUGCUAAAGCAUGGCGAAUAAGAGAAAUUGGACGAGUUCCAGUUAACAUUCUCAUCAAGGUUGUAGGGGUAAAUGAGUUCUAAAACGAGUUAAAGAAAGAGUAUUACGUUGUUCGGCGCGAAAUAAGAGUCGAAAACAAGCUAAAAACUAGUCCUGGACAUUGUGUAACCGUACAAAACAGUUGACAUGGUUGUACCGGUACAACAAGCGACCCGAAGAAUAGCAGCUCUCGGUUUGAGUGAAAAAAGCUGUUAAACCCGGUGACACUUGAACUCUGAAACUCGAUAAAUCUUGGCGGACAAGACCUGUACACCUUUGGCAGAAUGGCAUAGGAAUUAGUCUGCUGCAAUUAAAAAAUUGGAGGGGUUAGUUGCAAAUUGUACCUAAUGAAUAGCCUAAACCCCUCUCCCUCUACAGCAGAUCUGCUCCCUCUCUCUCUCUCGUGUCCUCCCUCUCUCUCAACCGGUUGCAAGAAAAGAGAAGGAAAAAGAAAGACGAAGAAAGGAAAAGAAGAAAAGAAGGGAUAUGGAGAAGAGGAAGAGGAUCAUCACCCAUAUCAUCCCUCUUCAUGCUUUUCUCUCCUCCCUUGAGGCUCUAGGAGAAGGUUAAGACUUCCAAGCCUCCAUGUAGACUUUUUGUAGAAUGGUUUAAAUUCUAGAGUCUUUGUUUGAUCUACCUACAAGUCUUUAGAACUUCGAGAGGUCAAGAACGACAGGGAGAGAUCCAUGGUGUUCUUCAUAAUUGGCUCAAUGGUGAAUGUUUCGACAAGGUUUGUUUAAACACCCUAUGAACGGCGGUUCUAAUAGGUUCUGACUAAAUGAGCUUUCUAAGCAACUUGGACAACGCUCUCUUUUGCUUGUUUGUAUAGAAUGAAAAUCGGAGUUAUGAGCAUCCAUGUCAGCAUAGGCUGCCAUCCCAAAGAGGGUUUUUGCUCAUAUGCCGGGUUGAUCUUAUUUUGACCGCUUGGAAACCUAAUCCAGGAGCCACGAACGCGUUGAAUAUACCGGUUUGCACAAUACCGACGAGUGUAACCAAGUUAUUUGACGAAACGGUCCGUUGUUGGUACACAUAGUUAGCCAGCACGCGGAAAUAAGUGUCUAAAAACGGAGAUCCAACCGCGAGCAUCUUGGAGUCAGGAAUAGCCACCGUAAAAACGGAUCGCGAUUCGGAGGCGUUCGUUAAGGGGUCGCGUUAAGAUUACAGGGCCCAAACGGUUGCCGAGUGCGCCACGGAAGGCCGAGCAAGUGUCGAAAAAGCAAUCGGAACGCGAAUCAAGGUGGGAUUGUGAUUACCGAGAAGCCGCACUUUAGGUCGCCCUUUAUGUCUUAGCAAGUAUCAUCUUACGGUGAUAGGCAGUGCAAGUAGACAAGGCUAAAUAUGCAUUAGUAAAAUAUGGCAUAAGGUAAAAGGCGUAAAGUAAAGGGAUGCAAUGUUAAACAAUGAUGCAUGAUGUAGGAAGAAAUGCAUGAGAGCAUUCUUAAAUAAUUAUACAUGCAAGCAUGUAAGUGAAGAGGAUCAUGAAUGAUAAGAAUCAUAGUGUGGAGAGAUAAUCAGGUUAAAAUAAUGAUCAUAGAGCCAAUACUAGUAAAUGUUAAGUAGAGAGAAUGAUUAAUAUAAGAACCCAUCGCUAUAAUGAUAAGCAUGCUUAAUAAUUAAUGCAGCUUAACCCGUAAAGAAUGCACGUAAUAUUAUUCAUACGAUGGAAAUGGCUACAGUUGGAGAGCAUAAUGAGCAUAGGCACGUAUAUAAUGCUAGUUACAAGUAGAGAAUGGCAAAGUAGCUAUCAUGAGAGCUUAAAGUAGAGUGACAUGAGGAAUCAGGUAAAUAGAAGUUAGUUGACAACUAGGUGUCAGAUAGAUCGAGUGCAAUCUAACCUGUUGUUAAAAGAUAAGGAUGAAUUAUAAACCCUAGAGUCGAACAACUAGUGUUGUGGUAUUUUACCUAGUGUAGUAUAACCUAUCGCGUGAACUAGUAAAUCCUAGACAGUGGACAUCUCAGGCCGAAUGCAAUGACAAGUAACCUAGCGAGUGCUAUCUACGGGUUAAGGAAAGUGGAACACAGAACUAGAGUAAAUGGAACUUAAGGUUGAAUGAAUGAUAAGUGGUUAUAGCCACUAGGAGUAGUCUAGGGUCGGAUAGGUAUAAACGGUUGGCUAUGACCCCUUCCCGUGGUAAGUGGAUCCGGAAUCCGCGGAGACUAUAGAAGUCUCGGGUACAGGGCUAGGGCGUUCGUGGCGACGACUUCGCCGCGAGCUGGUACCGAGGUAGAUUGGGGCGUAUCACAUGAGAUCACCGCCCGGGGCUUGAACCAUGCGUGCGCGGUUGUGGCGGAAACGAUUUCGCCGCGGAUGUAAGCCAUUGAGGAUCAGACCGCCAGAGCAGUACUGAAUCAUGCUGGGUAAGUACAUACGGGUGCCUCAGGUGUCUAAGUCUGACAUGACCGUUGUUGGGUGUGGUGGCGACCGCUUCACUGCCAGACGGUAUGUCAUGUCUCGAGGCUCUGACGCUGGUUUAAGUGCAAACGGGAUCGCCACCAGAUGGUAGUUCUGGCCGACCGAGCCGUGUUCAGCGGUGCGCGAGUUCGGCCGCAUAGGAGGUCUUGAUCAGAGAGAGGCGUAGGGGCCAGCCUUGUGCAGCCAGUCCAGUCGCGCGGACUCAUCCGCAAUGACUUGAACUCGAAGCGAGUCGGUGGUUAGCUAUGAAUAACCUGCGUAGAGGAACCCGUUAUGAGCUAGAGAUCAGCAGGCUUGAGCCUAAGGUAAUAGAAACCUUAGAAGCUAGUGGUUAGUGUGUGAUCCUAAGAGUAAUAGAAACCUAGAGUAAGUUAUGGCUAAAGUAAAAAAAAAAAAAAGUGAUAAUCAACGAAUCUACAUUUUGCCACUGAAUUUGCUAAUCGCAUAUGGUGAGCAGACAUGUAUUUCAAUUAAUAUAUAUUAUUUGUUGUAUAUCUGUUGACUAACAUGUUCAAGUGCUCCUGCCGCGGCUCCAUGUCGAAGACCUUCGCUGGUGGUCCGUAUCACCAUGGACCAUGGAUGUUUCACCCCACGUAGUUUUGGGUGUUUUCAGUCGUCCUAGAGUUAAAGAAUAUUGAAGACCGUCGCAGGGUGUGCGGACGCGUGACGAGCGCGAAGCGAGGCGUAGCUCCAGCGAUAAGCAGCCUCUCAGCACAAGAAAACGAGGUAGUCAGUAACCCUCGGGCUGAGUGUAUGUUGGACAGUCUAGCUAUGGGAUCUAGGAAGAUAAAAGCAAAAUGUACAAACUUUGUAAAUCUGAUGUUAAUAAAUAGAUUGAAUGUGGAAGUAAAAAUGAAACAAAACACUAGUGAUAAAAGAGUGGUUGUAAAAGAAAUGCUUGUAAUAUCAAGGUAGAUAUGUAUUUGAUACUGUCUUAUUGCAAUCUGGAAUUGGAUAUAACGUUCCUGAUUGGAACAUUCGUUGAGAUAUUUGGAUUGCGUUACUGACCUUGGACUACUAGGAGACUCGGUAACUGUCUGCGUAGCAGGGGAAAAAUUCCCUGUCCGUAUCGUGGACAAUUCUACGGUCGUCCGUCGCGCCAACUGCGACCCGGUCCAAAUAAUGGGCGUUGAUCGACGGGAAAGUGACAGAAAGAUGGAUUAUUCAUAGUCAUAAAGUAGAAAAUGGGAAAGCACUUUAGGUUUUAACAGAACACUAAGGGAGACCUAUGAUAGUGAACAUAGGAGAAUAGAGGCUGCGUAGAGACAAGGACUGUAGUUGUGGCGAAACAGUGAAUGGACUUGGGUUGUGUAUAACCUCUAAAGAUGGAUAUAAGAGCAAGACCAAAUAAUGGUUUAUCGCGACCUAAAGUGUGUUUAUGUCGUGGCGCUGCACAACAUAAAGCGAGGACGAGAAUAGAGUCCUGUUGACUUCGUCGCUGAUUGGCUUUUGAAGCCGUGUUAGUGGGCUCGUGUUCGACCUAGGUUGUAGCAAGGAGCUAAUCGAGUUGUCGUGUUUCAUGUGAAAACGAUGGCACCUGUAUACACGCGUAGGAUCUUCGUGCUCCAGAUCGCCGCGGGAGGGGGACAAGUGGCGUCCCUGGAGCAAAAUCGAGGCGAGUGGAGACUUGGAGCGUCGCGAUCAUGGCACACACUCAUUGGAGUGAUGCGGCAACAUUAUGUGGUGCAGGCGCAGCAGGAGGCUGCUAUGCGCCAAAGAGAAGCGAAUGGAACGACUUCCAAGAGACUGUGACGCUGGUGGCAGCACCAAGCCUGGCGGCUGGUCGAGGACAGCCGGGAGUUGCGGCAGAGCUGUUUCCGUCGGGGUCGGGCGAUCUGACCCUGUUGGCCCAGAGGUUAACGGCGAGAGGGAGCGAGCUUUAGGCGCCCUCUCUGACUUUCAAAAGUUGAUACCGCCUACUUUGAUGGUAAGAUAAUCCCGUGGUCGUUGCAAUGUGGAUGCGAUUCCAUGAAAAAUUUCGAGGAUCUGUACACGCUGGACGAGACAAAGUGAAAUCUAGCAGCGCAUUACCUGCAAAGCAAUCAGCAAGGUGUGGUGAAAGGGCGUCAAGCGAGAUCGACCGGCUAGUCUCUCCAAUGACUUGAAGAGUUUCGGGGAAUGUGUUCUAUACAUGUUAUUCCCCGAUAGCGAGAAGCGGAAACUUCAGGAAGGUUUUCUUAAAGCUCGGCUAAGGAGUCGGCAGGCGGUCCAGGCAAUAGUUUGUUGAGCGGGCAUUCUCUCUCCCCGUAUCGUGCAUCUGUGUCCCGAACGUGUGGCGGGAUGACAAGGACAGAGUGCCCGCAACUUUGCUUGUAACGUGGACUUCGGCCAGACCUUAAAAAAAAUUUCAGACGGUGCUUUGCUCAGUUAUGCAAACAGACUUUUGCUGAAGUCCUCUGGAUCGGUGCAUGUGGCAGAGAACAAGGAAAUGCAUUCUUGCGGGAGGAAGCUGAAGCACUUUACAAGGAAAAGGAAAACCGGCCAGUGAGGGGAGCGGAUGGUCAGUUCACGUUCACCAACGGACCUCAGUGAGGACGCGCUCGUCGAUCUACGAGCUCCGGGACGUAUCAUACUCGCCUUCCGCGGCGAGAUGUGCCAAUUUAUAAGCCACUCAUUUUCCACAGGUAAGUGAACAGCGAGAGGCAAGUGCUUCAAGUGGGCCUGCGCGGGCCAUGUGCGGGACGAGUGCCACAGGUGAUAAACCGGGCCUUGACACUGCGGACGGCCCAUUCCUCUGGGAACAGCGGCGUGCCACCUCGCAUGGUCAGGGGGGAGCGGCCGUUUGAGAGUGAUAGCAACCGAUGGUCGCGAUCGGCGCGCAAGUGGCAUGGAUAGCGACCGCAGCUACUGACGCCUCGCGUUGCUGAUUGACGUUCUUGGUGGUCAGUAAUGAGUUAAUUGAGUGCAAUCAUAUUUGCAUAGCCUAAGUUGGGGCAAGCAUUUGCGUACAGUUAUUAGUCAGUUGCACUAUGUCCUCAUUGCAUAGUAGGGACCGUGAAUAGUCGAGUAAUAUAAUUCGCCGGAGCGUAAGCUUGCAUUGUGAGAAUUGCACCUGUCUGGUGCGAGUAGAAAAAGCCAAUGGUACUAGCAAUGGCUAGUGGUGAUGCUUGGAUAGGAACGAGCUUGCAUGGAAACCGAGUGGGAAAGGACUCUCAAUAGCAAAUGGUUAUGAAAUUACGAGAGUCGGCGCCUUGCAGUUUGGGAACGGCCCGAUCUAUCAAUAAGUAUUUCGAUGUGGAUUUGGAAGAUCGAACAGCGAAGAUGAACCCUCCAGGCGAAAUUGGUCGGGUUAGCUGCCGGAGUUUGUGCCUGUUGGCCAUAUUAGACCUCGAUUGAGGUGGAUGAUUAUGCCUUGUGCAGGUUCAUACCAUAGGCCUAAAGCUGGCUGAUGCAAGGCUUCCGUGUGAGACGCUGUAGAGGCUUAAAGCGUUCGAAGUAUAAAGAUACUCGAGAGUACUGUUUCGAUUCAGCUCGGUCGAGUGAGAUUGGCAUACAACUUUCAGCUGGGGCUAAGUGUGAAGCGGGCCAUGAUCACUCGUGAGGGCUGGUGGCUCGCACCUACAGUGCCUAAGCCUGAUAGAGGUGUAGCUCGUACGAGAAGGCGUGUUAGGACACGAUGCCGGUAGGGCUUGGGGAGACGACCCGUGCUUGGACGGCAUUUGUGGAUGUGGAGCGCGGCCAUUGGGCAGCCAGCAGCUGAUGAAGACAGGCGGCCGCGAUACCCUAUAGGUAGGCGGAGAGUUUUGUCCAGGACGGUAUCCAAGCUUAGACCAGCCGAGUACUGCGGAUGCCCAACGUGAUAAGAUCAUGAGAUUGAUGACGCACCGAGGUGUGUAGUGAAGCCACCCACCAAGAACAUUGAAGGUGGAUUGGUCUUGAUAGCUCCUGGUUGAGUGUGUGUAGAGUUUUCCAAAUGAGAAUGUCGCCUCAAUGAUGAUUGGUCUACGCUUGCGAGCGAGAGACGGCUAGGCGUCGUUGAGGACGAGUUUAGUCGGUAGCCUAACGUAAGGGUGGGGUGACUGUUGGUCCACCCGUAAGCGACCUGAAUGACCCGCGUUGAAUUGAGCCUAAGCUCGAGUUGUCGAAACGAAAGGAUUCGUGCAAAUUCCACAGCACGAGUAGAGCGGCGUUGAUGCGUGGCUUAAUGGUUUUAAAGGAUAAGAGAAACCGAAGUGCUCUAUAAAACCCACGUGAGAUAUUGGAGUGAUACGCUCAAUAUGGAACAAGUGGAUAAUCCUCUCAGGAUUUGAGGUUGAACGGCCGAAGUGUGCCGUCUCGUGAUAGGGCAAAGAUCGGAUGAGAUUGAAGCACGCGCGAUUGAGCCGAUGCACCAAUGUAUGGGAUAUGCCAAUGCCGGUGGUUCGAAUCGAGUGGAAAGGUAUAUGGUACCGCUCAAUAACUCGGUAAGGACAGGCCAAGUUGAUGUGUUUGAAUAUUCGCGGAUGAAAUUCUUAAGGUGGGGAGAAGUAACCCCCUGAGGUUUCGGAGAAAUAUCGGCUUUAGCUCAAGUGGCUAAAGCAUGCGAAUAAGAUGAAUGGACAGUUCCAGUUAAACAUCUAUACAGGCGGAGGUCUGGAGCGCUAAAGAGGAGUUUCGGUAAAAUAGUAGAAAGGUUUUAGCGUUGUCGGAAAGCGAAAUAGAGCGAAACAAGACCUAAAAAUCAAAGUCCCUGGAGCAUUGUGUAACCGGUACAGUUGUAGUACAACAAUGUGGGCAUCAGCUCCUCCGGGUUUGAGUGAAAAAAGGCUGUUUAAACCGUGACAUGCUCUCGUCGGGAAAUUGUUACGCGUACACUUUGGCAGAAGCAUAAGAAUAUGCUUGCAAUAUAAAUACUGGAGGGGUUAUUUGCAAUUUGUUACUAAUGAAAGCGCCUAAACCCCUCUCGCCUCACAGCAGAUCUCUCCCUCUCCUCUCUCGUUCUUCUCUCUCUCAACGCGUGCAAGAAAGAGAAGUAAAAAAAGAGAAGAAAGAAAAGAAGAAAAGACGGAGAGAAAUAUUUGGAGAGAGGAAGAGGAUCCAACACCAUCAUCACUCUUCAUCUUCUUCUCCCCUUGGAGCUUAGAGAGGUAAGCUUCGCAAGCCUCUCAUGGUAGAUUUUUGCAGAAUGGUUAAAUUCUAGAUCUUUGGUUGUGAUCUCGCUACAAGCUUUAGAACUCCGAAAAAAAAAAAGAGGCCAAGAACACAUGAAAUUCAUGUGUUCUCAUGAUGCUCUAUGGUGGACUUUUACAAUAGAGUAAGUUAUGGGCUAAAGUAAAAGUGGAAUUCAAACGAUCUACUAGUUGUUGCAUGAUUUUCAUAUCGCAUAUUGUCAGGCAUGGCAUGUAUUUCAAUUGAAUAUAUAUAUCUGUUGUAUAUUGUUGAACUAACAUGUUGCAGUGCCUCCUCGGACCUAUCGGUCGAGCUUUUCCCUUGGGUGGCCGUACCCACUGGGAACCAUGGAGUUGGUUCUCACUCCACGUGGUUUUGGGGUGUUUUCAGGUCGUUCGUGUGCGGCGCGGCGGCGCGAGGCGAGGGCGUAGCUCAGUAGAUAGCGCCCCACCACAGAGACCGAGGUAGCAGUACCCUGAGACAGUCUAGCUUAGGGGUGUAGAAGAUAAGAAGAGAAAAUGUAUCAAACUUGUAAACUCUGAUGUAAUAAUAAGAUUGUAAUUUGGAAGUAAAAAUGUAAACUGAAACUGUGAUGUAAAGAGUGGUUGUAAAAUGAAUGCUUGUAAUAGCAAGUAGAUUAUGUAUUUGAUACUUCCUUAUGCAAUCUGGAUUGAUAUCCGUUCCUUGUUGGAACAUUCGUUGAUUGUUUGGAUUGCGACGCCUUGGACGUACUGGGGAGACUCUGUCCGUGUACAGGGGAAUUCCUGGUCCGUUCGGCGGUUUGUCGUCGGCACCGCGACCCGGUCCAAAUAGGCGGUUGGUCGCGGGGCGUGACACACCGGAUCAGGAAGAGAAAAACAAAAUAUGGGUAAGUGAAAUACUAAAUACAGUAGCAACAAUAAUGAACGAAAGAGAUAGAACUAUAAAUGAAAGCACAACUACCGCUACUGUAAUGAACAACUGAAAGUAUACAUGCAGCUAAACUAUAGUAGCAAGACAAGUGUAAAGAAAGAACUGAAGGUAUACAAACAACAACAGCUACUAUAGCUAUAUGCGUCAACCGAACAAGAAGUCCAAAUAUACCCAAUCUGAAAUCUGCUGCUCUAUUGGUCCGCACCGGAACCUCAAGCCUGUGCCCUGGAGGUUCACACCGGAGACCUCCCGACAGUACCACUGCCGCUCUACCAUGCAUCUAACCCCUCUAGGGCUCACGGGUCGACACCUGCAACCACUUUUCCAGAAAAGAACACCCUCUUGCGGUGGAUCAGACCGCUGGUGUUCGUGAAAUGCGAACGAGUCUCGGGCGAUCAAUGCUGAUAUGCUCAAAGGCCAAACAUCGGCAACCAGCCGACAAUCCUGCCCACAGGGCUCAUCGACCGUAUAGGUCAUCAACUAUAAGGAAGCACAAGAACCGACCACUCAGGUCAACCAGGAUGGGACAACAUCAACAUCCUCUCAAUCAUAUGCAAAUAUUGCUCAAUGAACCACAAGGACUGACUACUCAGGUAAACUAGGAAAUAUGCAUAACGAAUCGACGAAUAGGUCAUCGGAGUGUAUCAAAAGAAUCCAGAACUACCGUCGGCCACUAGCCAACAAUCCAACCCCUCUAGGGUACAUCGACCACAACGUUCAUCGAACGACAGAAGUCUAGGAACCGACCAAAUGUGUCACAAAUACGAGAUACGAGAACCAACCAACCAAGUCACUGAUACGAAGUACAAGAAUUGACCUACCAAGUCACUGAUAUGAAGUACAAGAAUCGACCAACCAAGUCAACAGAUACGCACAUAGAUAGAACCACUCUACUCCUACUCAGGAUACUAAGCAUGCAAACAACGAGUAGAGUAUAAUGGAAUAACAUGGGUGCAAGGCUCAAUAUAUACUAUGCAAUAAUAACAACAGAAGAGUAAGGGUAAGAAACCAUCACCAAGCGUGCACCACUAUACCGACGUCGGAUCGAAGUACCCACCUGAACAAAUGUCGCGCCUGUCUCCUGACUGCAAAAGAACGUCAACCGGACCUAAGGAGGGCCCACUGGGUUAGUGUCUAACCCACAACUAAGAAACCCUAAAAGCAUAACCCCACAAAAAAACCCACGAGAAUCGGUUUCCCAAACCGAUCGCCGUACUACGCCGGAAGUCCCGUAAUCGCACCGAGACUCCACCGGGACCCACGGACUGUCCCGGAACUCACCGACUCGAACCACGAGUCACCCGCUGCCACUAAAUACAAAUUUACGUGUGACUUGGCAGCAAAGACCUUAACUCACUCCAAAACGAUUAUCGUCGAAUAAUCGUUCCGAUCCGGGCUCCCGGAAGUAUCGAUUUCGACACCGGAACCCACCGUCGCUCACUCGUCGUUUUCGAACCCUCGAAACAAUGCGAGUGACUAGCCAACAAGGCUCAGCGACGUGGCAAAAGGUCACCAAGUAUCGUCGGAAGAGUUCCGAACCGAAAUCGCGUUUCGUCGGCGGAUUUAGCCGAAAAACGCGCCGAAAAUUUAUUUUCGAUCUUCGCAAAGGUCUGGGGCCUUGGACAAUCAGUCCAGAGGUCACCCACUGCUCACCCAUGCUGUCAACAGCAGCCGUAACAACCCAGAAUACAUAAAAGCCCUCUCGAUUACUCAAAAUCGCAUUAUUUCAUGCGAUUUCGGCGCUUUUAUGGUCUGUCUACACAAACCAGAAGUCAAUCAGCCAAAUUGAGACACCCGCUGACAGGUCUCCGCAUGCUGGAGGCCGUGCUCACCUUUUGGAGCAAUUUCGGCCACUGCGGCAAGAGCGCGAGCGACACGAACUUCAGCGAAACUGCGCGCUGAAACUAAAAAUGCUUCAAAUUCACUUAUCCGGGGGUCUUUGACCUUAAAUGAUGCGAGCACUGUGAUCAGCACUGACCGACGAUCACUGUGCUCACCUCUGGAGGCACCAAAACAGCCUCAGGUCGCCGAAACAUUGAUCCCAAACCGAAACAAUGCGCAGAACAGCAAAAACAUUGCUUACCGGCCAGGGCAGAGCUAGGGCUGGCCGGCGGCAGCCAGAAGGCGUGCGCUCCGGCCGGGGACGAGCGCGGCCGGUCGAUGGGGUCUAGGGUAGGUGCUGGCCAGCGGUGGGAGGCGGCCGGUGGCGCGGCGGCUGCGAUCCAAUCCGCCAAGCUGCUCUCGGUUUCAAGGGCGCCGGCGGCAAGGCGACGGCCGGAGGAGGUCGGGGCGACGUCGAUCCGUCGCCGGAGGCCGAGGGGAAGGUGGUGCACCCCCUGGUGGGCGGCGGCGAUGCUUGGAAGCCGAGCGGGCCCGACCUCGGCCCGCACGGGUUUGGGCAGCCGUAGGGGAUUCCAGCGGCUGCCGGCGGCGCGCAGGGAUGGCGGGGGACGCGCGCGCCGGGUUUCCAGAGAUCGCCGGGGCCGACAGGAGGGUGGCGUGUCCGAAGGGAGGCGGUGGUCGCAGAGCUCGAGCGGGCUCGGUCUGGGCUGACCCGAGCUGGCUGCAGUUCACUCAAAUGGCUCCGGCGGCGCACGCCGACGGCGGCAACGCCCGACGACAGUUCAGGAGGUUGGUCUCGGUUUGGGGAUGAUGGAGCUCGGCUUAGAUGUUUCUCCCGAGCACGACAACCACAGGCAUGGCAAGUCGAAGCUAGAGGAGAACCGAGAGGAGGCCGGGGUGGCUUUUCCGGCGGCCGGAGCUGCUCGCCGGCGGCCGGGGCGUGCACACUGGUUGGGCAGGGUGGAGUUAAGGCGGCUAGGGUUAGCUGGAAGGACUAGAGUAGCCAAAAGGUCAAUGAAACCCUAGCUACCAUAUUUAUACUAAAAUGUAUUUUUGCCAGAAACCCCUCCAAAGCAUAAUAUUUACAGUCCAGCCCCUGCCAACGUGUGUAACUUGCACGUACGUACCCCAACGAUCGAAAUCACGUGAAACGGCGCAUAAAAUAUAGGAUCUUUUCGCGAUUAAUUGAUUUUGCUAAAUUGACCUCUUAGCGGACUUUUCACGAUUCCCGAAGAUCCGUCCAUCGGAUUUCCGAUCGGAUCGCGCCAGGGCGAUCAGCACGACAGAGGCUUUGAGUCUAGCAUUUCGUUUUGCCCGAAAAAGUCUACGAUUUGCAACAAAACCCACCCUCAUUGGUUCCACCAAAACCACAUAUAGGUAUAAUUAUAUGUAAAAACCAUUAAACCCCUUUUUCUCAAAAUCCGUGCAUCCAAAUCCAAAUCCGUCAGUGCCAAUGGGUCCAGGAUAGUCGAGCCGUUGAAAACGAGCUAUUGGACGACUAUGAUCGGAGUUCGAUAUGCGUCGAAAGCCAACUAUACUCCGUGGCCUCUCCGGAAAAUCGGAGUUACUAUUCACUUAAGUGAUUCUUUCGGGUCGCGUAACUUCUGCGUCUUAACUCGUUUCCUCCUGAAAUUUGACGAGUGCUUAUGUAAUUAAAUUACACACGUAAACAUCGUCAAUAGAGAGUUUAGUUGCACUGUCAAAAUCUCAGUCCUUACACUCUCUUUAUCUCUCUUUCUUUCUCUCUUUCUCUCUUUCUCUCUUUUCUCUCUCUCCUUCUCUCUUUCUCUCUUUCUCUCUCUUUCUCUCUCUUUCUCUCUUCUCAUCACUUCCCAGAGCAAACCCAUCUCCCUCCAAGCUCUAUAAAUAGCUCGGGGGAUCGAACGGGAUGGGGGGAGGAAGCUGUGCGAGAGGGGAAUCACCCACACCCAGUGUAAAUACACUCUCAGGUUGCAUUGCUUAAAAAAAAAAAAAAAAAUGUGAAGAAGAAAGAGAGGAGAGCAAAAUAAUAAUAAUAAUAUAUAGUUAGUAGAGGGGAGCUGCCGUCACCGCAUCCACCGCAUCCGCCGCCGCCGCUGCUGCGUUCCUCGCCGUCGUUACCAAGCCGCCGCCGACACCGCUCGACGCCACCCGAGCCGUCAAACCUGAGCCCAACGCCAAUCGAGCUGCUGCCGCGCCCACCACGUCCGCCGCCGCAUCCGCCGAAGCUGCCGUCGCCAUACCCGUUGUUGUCGUUUCGACGCCGACUGAACUCGCCAUCAGUCGCUGUUCACCCGAGCCUUUGCAGCGAGGUCAAGGAUUGAAACCCAACUGUAGUAUACUGAACUUUAGCAAAUUGCGAAGUUCAAGUAAGAAAGUGCGAACUUUAGCAAAUUGCGAACUUUAGCAAGUUUGAGAGUGAUCGAAUUGUCGGAGAUAAGAAAGUGCAUUGCAAUUUCGAGUUUGGCAUUUUCUGCAUUGGUGUACCGGUACAAACAUAAUGCUGUACCGGUACAGCAAGCAGCAGAGGUAGCAGCUGCGUGGCAGCAGGGUUGAAUUGGUCUUUUUACCUUUCAAGCUUAUCUUUAAAAUUUAUCUCGACCCUUGCAGCUUCUCUACAGUUGCUGGAGCUCUCAGAAACAGGGUAAGCAACUUCUCUUUCUCUCUCUAGGGUUCUUCUCUGUGAGACCCCAGAUAGUCCUAUAUAUGAGAUAUAAUAUGGCUAAACUCUUAACCCGGCUUAACCCGGCUUAAGCAUUUUGGGUGGUGGCAAGGCCUAAGAGGUUAAGAGAGUUAAGCGUGCUAGGACGGGAGUAGUCCUAGGAUAGGUGAACCCCUGGGAAGUUGGGGCGUCACGGUUGGUAUCAGAGCCAAUUACCAGCCGGAAGUGUGAGAUGAGUCUCGGCUGAGCCAGGGUCUGGAUGACGGGCUAGCGAGAUGAGUCUCACAUCGCCUGGUACUUGUGAGUCUGAGCCUGACGAGGACGUCAGGGCUUAAAGGAGGGGAGAUUGUGAGACCCCAGAUAGUCCUAUAUAUGAGAUAUAAUAUGGCUAAACUCUUAACCCGGCUUAAGCAUUUUGGGUGGUGGCAAGGCCCAAGAGGUUAAGAGAGUUAAGCGUGCUAGGACGGGAGUAGUCCUAGGAAGGGUGACCCCCUGGGAAGUUGGGGCGUCACAUUCUCUUUCUCUCUACAAGAUGAAGCAAGGUGUGAAGCUUAGUUUUCUCCUUUUCUUUGAGGGCUGCUGAGAAGAGGGACUUGGUUCAGCUGUGAAGAAGGUGAAGGAGGUGUUUUGGGAAGGAGUUCGCAGCUCCUUCACAGCAGAUAGCUGAGCAGAGGUUUGCUAAGGUAACUAAACUAAUUAUUCUUUACCUUAAUGCCUUAAUAGUAAAGCUGAAUUUGAUUUCGAGUUCUUUGUACUCAGCUUGAGGGAGGGGAGUUCUAGCAGUCCUAGAAGCAGGACUUGAUGUGGUUUUGUAACCUGAAGCUAGAGGGAGGGUAAGAUUUGAGCUUAGAAAUGGUAAUUAAUUAAACUAACAACUCUAUGUCGAGCAUAUAUAUGAUGUAAAGGGAGUAGAGAUGCUGACUUUGGGGUUGAUAUGCGCAGCUCCGAGCUAUCCAUUUUGAGCUGAAUCAAAGGGAGAUUAUGAGCUAAUUUGGAGGGUUCUAAUCUCAAUGGAAGUGAAGAAUUAGUCCAAACCUGAGAUAAGGUGAGGAUUUUACCGAAUUUGAGGUUCUAAUGGUAGCUUUAAUGCAGUUUGCUAAAGUGGGCUACAGCAGGUUCGAGUAUUGUUCUAAACUGAUCAUUGGAGCUCUUUUCAGUUGGAAUGAGCUGAAAGGAAGGUACUUUAAUAUGAACCAAAACAAGGGUUCAAGCUAUAACUUCAUAUGAGGUAAAUAGUUGCUGAAAUUGGAGGGUUAGUACUAAGCUCAAGGCAGUUUUUUUAAUCAAAUUGCCGCAAGAUUGAAACUUGAUUGAGUUAAAUUUCAGGGCUUAUUUGGGCUGGAAUGAACUGAAUUCUGGGUGCUUCUACUUGGAUUGAAAAGUAGAUCUAACUUCUUCUUUAACCUAAGUAAGUAAUUAUUAUCUAUUCGAUGAAUAGGCAAGGUUUUAUUAUAGAUAAUUUAAACUCAGCUUGUAGCUGAUUUAGACUCAUGAAUUAGGAACCUGGACACUUGGAUUGCUUACUAGUGUGUGUAUUUGGCAAAGGACAUCAACUAGUAGGUGGGUUUGAUCUAACCAGAGCAAGUGAAUUUUCCUCUAUGUUCCAUAUGAUACUAUAGAACUAUUAAUUAAAUGGCAUUGGAAGGAUAUGUAUGUUUCGUUUGAAUACAUCAUUAAUUAGUGACUCGAUUAUGCUUUUGCAAAGUAGGAAACAAGGACAUUCAAAUUAUUGUGUAACAGUAAAUGUAAAUUGCAUACUUGUUAUGUAGUCAUUCAUCUAAUGGAUACUGGCAUUCCUAUUAUACUUAGAUUCCGACCUGUUGGUCGAGAACAGGAACUUACAUACUUGAUACAUGAUAAUUGAGAACUGUUAGACUAUGGAACAUGCUUGCUUGCCAUUGUGCUCAUUCGCACAUGCUUGUAAGGGUCGCUCCCCACAAGCCGACACUCCGGAGUUGGCCUACGCGACAGAUUGCUUGCCCGUGCGGGAUUGGGUGCUGAAGUGGAUUGCCGUGGGGAGUGUAUACUACCACGGGGCCAUUAGGCGCGGCGCAAGCUGAACUACCUUGAUUAGAUCCUUAUAAAUUAAAUCAAUAUAUUAAACGAUAAUAGCAGAGGAUUAUCAUUGAGUAGUACACAGUUACAUCUUUACUUGACAUAUUCAUGUUCAUUACGAUUACCUUACCUAUUUUACUUGAUAAAUAUAUCUGACAGCAUGACACAAUUUCAUAGUUCCUUAUUGUUGAUUAAACUUACAUGUUAUGACUGUGCUUACAUUUCCUUUAGUAUAUCAUCAUGAGCCUAGUGGUGUAAUUCGCCGAGGCUGGCGGCUUACCCACUGGGAACUAUUGUUUAAUAGUUCUUACGCCCUUUUUGUUGUUGUUUUUACAGAGCCAUCUACAGAAGAGACUAGGGAUCAUGGCAAGGGGGUUGCGUCUAGCUAGAUAUAGCUUGGAGCUUGACUAGAUAAUCACCUUGCUGCUAGGGCUACGGCCGAGGGUGAUGUCCCCGUAUAUAGAGAGACUAUCAUUGUACAUAUAUUUUGUGUACCCUAUGAUGUAUAUGUAACUUGAAUCAGAGAUUACAGUUUUGGUGUAUUUCUGUGGAAUUGAGAGUCUGAGCUGUUUAUACUUACUGUUUCUGAUAGUUGUAUUAUCAACUUAUACUUUGAUCUGAUAUCAGGUAAGAAUUCUGCUAUGUUAUCUUCUUUUUUUUUUUCUUUUUCGACAUGCUUCUUUGUAGACGCCUUAUAUACUGCAGGUGUAUGACGGGUCUGUACAUAUACCGGGUAGGCUUCCGCUGAUACCCGAGCGUGACACCAACCCUUCUUGCCUGGGGAGCAAGAAAGAACAAAAACAAGAAAAGGGGUGGAUUAUACUGUUUCCGUUGCUUACUUCAAAAUGUACCCAUGACUUUUAUUUUA
This 123107-nucleotide long non-coding RNA is filed under the name Ananas comosus (pineapple). Its description in RNAcentral is "long non-coding RNA (ACOM_LNC005592)". The record is from RNAcentral. Lineage: Eukaryota; Viridiplantae; Streptophyta; Magnoliopsida; Poales; Bromeliaceae.